AUACUGAUCGUGGAAAGGGUGUUGCGAGUUAGAGCCCUUCCUGACGAGUUACAGAGCUAGAGGAGUACCAGCUACAGGUAGUUGUAGUUUUUGGUUGUUAUACAUACUAACGUUGUAUCUCGCUGGAGCGAGUAAUUUUGUGUAUCAGAAUAUUAUGUAUGUAAAUGGAACCACUGUUAUUAUAUAUGUUUUAUUUCUUUCUAGCAGCUCUAUACUACAAGUUCGAGUGUUUGACUUGUGUUCCGAGCUUUUCCACAUUUUUUGGUGGGUCGUUGAGAGUGUUCUUACCUAUGGCUCGCAUCCCAAGCAAUGUACACUUAUCCAUUAAGGAAUUGUAGGACUUUGUCAAACCAACUCUUUCAUGCUCGAGGCUCUUGGUUAGCGAAUCUAGUUUCGUGUUCUUUUCUUCCAAUUCGAGCAAUCUUCGCCGUAAUUUUUUAUUGUGCUUCACCAUUUUCUUCGACUCGACAACCAAUUGAUGAUAUGCGGUGACCAUAUCAUCUUCAUUCGAUUCUUCAUCCGAUGAGUUCUCCGACGUAGAUUUUUCAUGCAAACGAGACAUAGAGAUGGAGUCAGUGGAUGCCAAACACAUAAAAUUAGAAUCAUGUGCAAUAAGCGCCGUAGCUUUUACAUCCUCAUCACUUGAAGAUGACUCAUUCGAAGAUGAAUCAUCCCAAGUGAUGGCUUGCAUCGCUUUCUUUUUCAAGGACUUCUUAUUAGGACAAUCCGAAGCGAUAUGACCAAAUCCUCUACACUUAUAGUAUUGGAUUUGACCUUCAUUACUUUUCUUCUCUUUAGAAAAAUCUUUUGAAGAGCUUUCGAAUUUUUAUUCUUAGAAGAGGAAGAUGAAGAAGAACUCCCUUUAAAUUUGUUUGACUUUGAGGAAGUAGACUUUGGAGGAAACUUCUUUCUAAAGUUCCGACGGAACUUCUUCGUUAGAAGCGCCAAUUGUUUUUCAAACUCCUCCAAUGUUUGAUCCGAUUUCGAGUCCGAUGAAGUAGUCGAGUCAUCUCCUUUUGUUGAUUUUAAGGCCAUACCUGAAGCUUUAGAAGAAGACUUGGAAUAAGACGAAUUAGAAGGAAAAGUCAUCUCAUAAGUUUGAAGUGCACCAACCAAUUCUUCUACUUUUAAUUCAUCCGGAUGAUUUACCGUUUCAAUGGCCGCAACCUUUGGACGAAAUCGUUUGGGAAGGGUUCUCAAGAUUUUUCUAACAAUUUUAGAAUCCAGAAUCUUCUCGCCUAAGUUAGCAGAUGUGUUUACAAUAUCUUGCAAACGAGUAUAAUACUCGGUAAAGGAUUCAUGUUCUUCCAUACGUAUAGAAUCAAAUCUACUUGUAACCAUUUGUAAUUUUUGAAUCUUUACCAAGCUUGUACCCUCGUGUGUAACUUGUAAAGUAUCCCAAAUUUCUUUGGCGGUUUCACACGCCGAAACUCGAGAAAAUUCGGUUUGGUUUAAAGCAUUAAAGAAAGCGUUGAUACCCUUUCCGUUGAACGAAGAUAGUUCGUUUUCCUCUUUCGUCCAUUUAUUUCUAGGUUUAGGACCGGUAACAUUCUCGGCAACUUCGGUAGGAUAUUUCCACCCGAAUUCAAUGGCUUGCCAAACCCGCUCGUCGAUGGCAAUAAGAAAAGCUCUUAUACGAACUUUCCAAUAAGCGUAAUUAGUGCCAUCGAAAAGUGGGGUUCGAUUAAUGUUACCGCCUUCGGCCAUGAUUUACAACCUAUACCCGCUCUGAUACCACUUGAAAGAUAUGAAUUCCGAGGAUCUAAAAGGUAAAUCACACCUAGAGGGGGGUGAAUAGGUGUAAAACGGCAAAAACAAAUAAACCCGAUGCAAAUUAAAAGAGAAUGCAGAAAAUAAAAACAACACACCGAGUUUUAACGUGGGAAAACUCCAAUUCGGAGAGAAAAAUCCACGGGACCGAUCACACGAUGAAAUCCACUAAGAAAACUUAAGUACAAGUGAUUUAACAAAAAUACACGACUCAAUUUACCGAAUCCUCGUCGUAGAUUGUCUUCGCCGGUCCUCGAUCGCUUGGAAUCCUCCAACCGAUCACGCCGCAAGUCCUUGCCGCGUCAACGCCUUGACUCCUCGAUGCGUCCACCAAAUCCUCGGCCUCACACGCGAUCCACGCGCAAAUCCUCCGUCCGGAGCUCGUAGAGAAGAUGAUUUGUGGUGAUUUGAUUACUUGGAAAGCACGUAUAACAAGAGGAGAAACCCUUCUUAGAAUAUCAUCAAUUUGAUCCUCAAGGAACAAUUGAAUUGUAAUCAAAGAAUCAAAUUGAUGAUCUAAGAACUUGAUAUUUAAAACAUAGAUCAAAAGCUCCAAAUCAAGUUUUUGAGUUUCUAAACGAUUAUCUUUCAAAAGCAUAUCUCAUAUGGGUACCCUAAUAUCAUAUUUAUAGGUUUAGAAGACUCAGAAGCCAACUAGGAUUGCAAAAAGCCAAGUUUAAAAACUGACGACGUCCUCAGGGACCGGUCCUCUCGAGGAGACCGGUCUUUGGGAGACCGGUCCCUCGAGUGGGAGACCGGUCCCUCGUUGCGUGCCUGAAAAAAACGGCUUUGGGAACCGGCCUCUCAUCCAGAGACCGGUCCCUCUCUGCGUGACAGAAAAUCCAUCGCUCUGGAACCAGUCUCACUUUUCAGAUACCGGUUGCCUCAACUUUCCACGCAUAGAGGACCCUCGGGGACUGGUCUCUCAUCUCAGGGACCGGUCCCAGAACACUAAAAUGUUCAGAUUUAGCUUUUUAAGGCAAUCUAAGUCUUCUAAACUUAUUUUAAUCAAUUAAAAUCACCAUAAAUGAUCUAUUCUUCAUACCUGAGGUGCCGAGCUUUCCGAAUGAGUUUUUGAUCUUCAAAUUGAAUCUUAGUUUCAAAACUCCGUGUUUGACUCUUCAAGACUCCAUUCGACUUUACGAAAUCCGCAAACCUAGAAAAUCCUUAACAAUCUCUCUCUUUGGCGAUUUUGUGACAAAACAUAUUACAACGCUCAUACACAACUCAGAAACAAUAAAAGAAGAUCAUCGCAAUCACCAAACGACAAUCUCCUGCAUGAUCGAUCCAAUAACGGAAAAAUUAUAAUUUUUUUCACAAUCCUAAUACAAACUCUAUGACUUAGACAUGGAGUCUUGAAGUCUUGAACAUUCCUGCAAAAACAUUCUUAAAACACAAUCAAGAUUCAAGAAUACUUAUCAUAUCAAAACAUAGUCAUCAUUGUCAGUCAUAAUUCAUCUAAGUACAUCCACAAUCUAAGUAAGAUAGUAAUAGCAGGUUUCAAUCAUCUAAGCAUAUAAGUACAUGACUAAGCAAAGCACCAAAUUGCAUCAGCAUCAUAUCAAAAGAUCAACAAUAAGCAUAAGCAUCAUCAUCAUCUCCCCCUUUUUGUCAAAAAGCACCAAAACGACAAAAAGAGGAACUCUAAAACACUCAGUCUGAGCCAUCACCCUCCGGAGGAAGAUCAGAACUACAACAACCCAACUUAUCAAAAAUCGCCUUCAUCAACCGUUUUAUCUUGCUCACAUCCUUUCUUAUCCGAGCCUAAUCCGCUGAUAAUUUUUGAAGCUCUUCUGAUAACCGUUGUUGCUCACGAAAAACGGAUGACACCGAGACAUCCUCCUCAGAAAUCUCCAUAGAAGGACGUGAAGAAGCAGGAGCAGGAGGUGGAGCAGCAGUAGGUAAAGAAGGUCGCUGUGACGAAGUUCGAAGCUGCACAAAUGAUUUUACAAACGUCGACUCACUGAUCCGUCCCAGACUAUGCUCAUAGGAUGUACAACGUGUAUCCACAUCAUAAAGUCGCAGAAUCCUCAUGAUGAUCAAUGGGAAAGGCAACCGCUCAUUCUGACCUGAAGUCUUAACAUCCUUCGCCAUUCUCCGCCAAAUCAAAAACGGGAUGUUCAUAGUAAUGUUCCUUGCCUUAACAAUGUCCGGGCUCCCCAACAGAUACAUAUAGAGUAUGCGAUCCCAUCUCAAGAUCUUCGUGUUCGCUAGGGGCAAAUGUUAUAGCACACUACGAAGUUUAAGAACCUGUAUUCCAUUUUGAGAUCUUUAGACAUUACCAUAAGUCCAUUUGAUUCUAUAUCCGGCAUACAAAUAGCAUUCACAACACGCUUCCAAUCCCGAAAUGAGUCAAAACCGGCCUGCAAGUAUUCAACUCCAUUAGUACGAGCUUCCACCUCCAGUACAGAUGCUAUCAUAUCGGGCGUGAUAGUCAACUCUACACCACGUACCGAAGUGGUGAACAUGUACGGGCCGCCGUCAGAUUCAAUCAGAUGUCCCGCUCGCAUAUAGAAUUUUCGAAUAAGCUCCAAACAAUAGCCCGUUUGCUCAGGGAAAUUGCAAAUCUCAUGUAAAUUUCCAUGUUCAAACCCCAAAAAUAUGAAACUAAAGCACAUUUUCGGAUUAUAUGACAAAGGAAAAAAAAAUCCAAAGAUCUUACCAAAAACACAUGUAAAUUGACGAAGAAUGAAGGCAAAAUCAUUCUAGGGAAGUUGAAAGCUCGUGGGAGAAAGAUUAGAGUGUUUGGUAAAGUGUACAAAGAGCACCGAACAAAACCCUUGGGUCGGGCGGAGGGACCGGUCUCUCCAGCCAGGGACCGGUCCAACAUUAAAAAUAAGCAAUUUUUCGUCCCCAAUGACCUUGAAUAAAAUUUCACAAAUAUGUUUAACAAAAUCAAUUUCAAAAAUAUUCAAAAUUGUCAAAAAUUGUAUAAAAAACAAAUCAAUUAAAUUCUAGAUGAGUAUAAAGCCAAAUUCUACACAUCAAGCGAGAUCUAAAAAUUAAUUAUAUUGUUUUAUCAUCAUACUUGCUAAAAUGAUGAAUAUUUUUGAAAUUGAUUUUGUUAAACAAGAUAAUAUGGUCAAAUUCAGUUAUGCACAUAAAUCGAGAAAGGAGUGGCUCUUUGAGCAUCUUUUAGUAAUCCACCUUAUAUCACCUAGGAGAUGUAUUGAACAAAUAAACUAGAUUUUAUCAUCUCCGGAGCACCUCAUUCAAUUUUUUUUUAAAUGUUUCCAUUCAUCAUCAGAUAUAAUUUUAUUUUUAUCAUUAGAGAUGCUUUGAUCAAACAUGUGGUAGCUGCACACACUGACCGGACAAUUGGGGUGGUAGCUCUUUCCUCCAUGUGGUGGCAGUUUUCACACUCCGAGCAGGGAUGUAACUCUUUCCAUAUCUUUUCAUUUAUAAUCAUAAACCCUGGAAAGACUCCCCCUAAAUUAGUGCAACCCUGUAGUUGAAGAUAGAAUCACAAUUUCAAAACCAGGGAAAUAAUUGUUCAUAUCAUAGCUCAUACUCAAACAAGACAAAGACAACUUUUAAAGUUCAAAGCAUGAGGUGUUGAAUUUAAUAAUGUAUGCUAAAACAGAAUUUGAAUGAUUCAUUCAUUUAAGAAUUAUGACAAUGAAGAAUAAGAUUGAUAGUGACUAAGCGAAACAUAUUAUGAAACAAUCAAAGUCAUAUCAUGGGAUUCUAAAAUAAAUCAUGUAAAACUGAAAGAUAUGCAACGAAAACAAAAUGAAAUAUGUGCAUGAUCUAUAACCCACAGAAUGCAUCUAGAUUGAAGGAUUCAUACCAAUAGCCUUUCUCAAAUGAAGAAAACGUUUUUGAUCUAAAGGUUUCGUCAAAAUAUCAGCAAGUUGAUUUUCAGUAGAAAUAUAUUCAAGUUGAAGAACAUCUGAUUCGACUAAUUCUCGUAAAAAGUGAUAUCUUAGUUCAAUAUGCUUUGUUCGUGAAUGUAAAAUAGGAUUUUUUGAAAUAUUUAUGGCACUUGUGUUAUCACAAAGAAUCGUAAAUAUGGUGGAAGAGAUCCGAUAGUCGCUCAGUAAGCUUUUCAUCCAUAAUAAUUGUGUGGAGCAACUACCAGUCGCAAUAUAUUCUGCCUCGGCAGUGGAGAGAGCAAUACAAUUUUGUUUCUUACUGUGCCACGCGACCAAACAAUGUCCAAUGUAAAAACAUGCUCCACUUGUACUUUUUCUAUCAUCUGCUGAACCAGCCCAAUCUGCAUCCGAGUAACCAAUCAAAUCUAGAGAUGUUCCCAUUGGAUACCAUAGGCCAUAUGCAAUUGUGCCUUUAACAUACUGAAUAAUCCGUUUAACUGCUUUCAAAUGUACUUCCUUAGGAUUAGCUUGAUAGCGAGCACAAAUUCCCACACUAAAAGCAAUAUCCGGUCUACUCGCGGUCAAAUAUAGUAAGCUUCCAAUCAUGCUCCUAUACUGUUUCUCAUCCACACUCUGUCCUUCAACAUUCAUUCCUAAUCCUUUAUUACUUGUCCCCAUUGGAGUAUCAAAGUCCUUUGCACCGUCCAAUCCAAAUUUCUUAACCAACUCCUUAACAUAUUUGGAUUGACACAAGUGAAUUCCCUCUUUAGAUUGUUUAAUUUGAAGUCCGAGAAAGUAUGUAAACUCCCCCAUCAUUGACAUCUCAAAUUCACUAGUCGUUAACUUUGCAAAUUCAGCGGCAUCCUUAUCUUUAGUUGCACCAAAAACUAUAUCAUCCACAUAAAUUUGUGCCACAAUAAAAUCAUUUUUCGAGUGUUUUACAAAAAGAGUUCUAUCCGCUCCCCCUCGGUUGUAACCCUUUUCUAAAAGAUAUUUUGUUAAACGUUCAUACCAUGCCCGCGAAGCCUGUUUAAGUCCAUAAAGUGCCUUUUUAAGACGAAAAAUAUGGUUUGGAAAUUUUGAAUCUACAAAACCUUUCGGUUGUUCCAUAUAAACUUCCUCUUUUAAAAAACCAUUUAAAAAUGUACUUUUAACAUCCAUUUGAAAAACAGUAAUUUUGAAAUAACAGGCUAUCGCAAACAAAAUACGAAUAGAUUCAAGACGUGCAACCAGGGCGAAGGUUUCAUCAAAAUCAAUUCCCUUAAUUUGUGAAUAGCCCUGAGCAACAAGUCUAGCUUUGUUUCGAACAAUUGUACCAUCCUUAUUUUUCUUAUUUUUAAAAAUCCAUUUGGUACCUAUAAUAUGUUGUUGCUCAGGUCAUGGCACUAAUUCCCAUACGUCAUUACGAGUAAAUUGACCAAGUUCUUCUUGUAUGGCAUUUAUCCAAUAUUCAUCACGAAGAGCUUCGUCAAUAUUCUUUGGCUCAACUAAAGAUACGUAACACGCAAAUUCGCACUGAAGUUGACUUCUAGUUCGCACACCUGUAUGAGGAUCUCCUAUGACAUUCGAUAAAGGGUGAUCUCUUGACUCUCUCAAAGAUGUAGCCUCAGAUGACGUACUUGGUAUUUCAGAUGAGUUACUUAGAGUCUCAGAUGAAUCAUUUGAUGCAAUAAUUUCAGGAGAUGCAGAAAUAUCAGAUGCAAAAAUAUUAUCAUUCACAGGCAAUACGAAAGGAGAAUCAUCAUCAUCAUCAUUCAACAAAGUAUUGAAAAAAUCAUUCACGGAAGAUUUUACAGAAGAAGCUUCAUCUACUUUUAUAUUAAUAGAUUCUAUCACCGUCUUAGUACGCCAAUUGUACGCAGGAUAUGCUCGACUUGUAGUAGAAUAACAAAGAGAAAUUCCUUCGUCACUUCGGGAGUCAAAUUUUUCAAGUUUUUCAUGAUCCCGAAGGAUAAAACACUUACUCCCAAAGACACGAAAAUAUUUGAUAUUUGGUUUUCUACCGAGCUAUAGUUCAUACGGAGUGUUUAGAGUACCCGGACGCACAUAAAUCCGAUUGAUGACAUAGACGGCAAUGUUAACCGCUUCAGCCCAAAAAUGUAAAGCAACUUUCUUACGAUGAAGCAUAACACGAGCCAUCUCUUGUACAACCUGAUUUUUGCGUUCAACUACUUCGUUCUGUUGUGGAGUAUAAGGAGCAGAGAAUUCAGGUUUAAUACCUUUUGAAACAAAGAAAUAAACAAAUUUUGAAUUUAUGAAUUCUCUCCCUUGAUCACUUCGAAUGCGCACAAUUUUAUCAUUACGUUCAAUCAUAAGACGAAGACAGAUUUCAGAAAAAGAGUCAAAAGUAUCAGCUUUUUCACGUAAGAAAGUACUCCAUACAAAACGAGUAAAAUCAUCAACAAUGAGCAAGAUAUAUCGCUUUCCACCUAAAUUUUGAAUCCUAGAAGGCCCCAUCAAGUCCAUGUGAAGUAACUCUAAAGGUUUAGAUGUCCCUAAGUUGUUCAAAUUCUUAUGUGCGGAUCUAGUUUGCUUUCCCAGUUGACAACCCCCACACAUAGUGUUCUCUUUGAAAUCUAUCUUAGGUACACCUCUAACAAUUUUCUUCUUCGAUAAUUUCGAUAGUUCCUUGAAGUUUAUGUGACCUAAACGUUCAUGCCAUAAAGUUUCAGUCUCUAAUGUCGCUAGGUUACACUUUUCAGAUGAAGCACUAGGAACUACAUAACAGUUAUUCUGAGAUCUUACACCUUUUAAGAAGAGAUAAUCAUCACGAGUUACAUUGCAUUCUUUAUCAGAAAAUUUCACAAAGUACCCAUCAUCACACAAUUGGCUUAUGUUUACGAGAUUUGAUUUAAGCCCCUCAACAUAGAAAACAUCAUUCAGAGUGGGGCCAUCUGAGAUAGUGACAUUUCCUUUUCCAAUAAUUUUAGAUGAUCGACCGUCUCCAAAAACAACAAGUCCUCCGGAGAUUUUAUUCAAAGAAGUAAACCAAUUUUUAUCACUGGUCAUAUGACGGGAACAACAACUAUCCAGAUACCAAGAAGUAUUAUCGUAAGCAUGAAGUGAAGUGUGAAUGACAAGGCAAGGAAAGAUUUCACCUUUGCGCACCCAAACCUUACGUGUUUUGGGUUGCGUCGGCCGAUUUGAUUGUGACAUUCAUUGCUUGUCGACGAUUUGAGUUAUUUUCUUCUUAGGAUCAUCCUUCUUUGGUUUCCAUGAUUGUUUCUUUUUAGGAUCAUUCUUCUUUGGUUUCCAUGAUUGUUUCUUUUUAGGAUCAUUCUUCUUUUGCAUCCAUGUUCGUUUCUUCUCAACUUUUGAAUCUUCCCUUGUUGGCUUCCAAGAUGUCCUCCGAUCCAAGGGUGUUGUAGAGCUCUUAUCCUUUUGUUUGCAAAAUCUUUUUAUAUAUCCUACGACACCACAAAGAUGACAAGUUUUGUUAGUAAAAGAAUUCUUAGGAGGAAUAAACUUAUCAUAAACCUUAGAAACCGAUUUUGUUGAGUGUUCGUCUACUUUCUUCAUUACUUGAUCAACAUACGUCCGUUCGUAUCCAAGUCCGAAUUUCUUUGUUUAACCAAGUCCUAGCAUCUUGUUAAGUUUACUAGAGCUAGACGAAAAUUGAUUUAAAUCCGAUUUGAGUUGAAUAAUCGUCUUGGUGAACUCCAUAUUGGAUUCUUUAGCUUCCGUGUACUGCUUGGUAAGGAAGUUGAUAUUUUCUUCAUAUGAUUCCUUUUCCUUUUCAAGCAAUGUACACUUAUCCAUUAAGGAAUUGUAGGACUUUGUCAAACCAACUCUUUCAUGCUCGAGACUCUUGGUUAGCGAAUCUAGUUUCGUGUUCUCUUCUUCCAAUUCGAGCAAUCUUCACUGCAAUUUUUUAUUGUGCUUCACCAUCUUCUUCGACUUGAUAACCAAUUGAUGAUAUGCGGCGACCAUAUCAACUUCAUCCGAUUCUUCAUCCGAUGAGUUCUCCGACGUAGAUUUUUCAUGCAAAGGAGACAUAGAGAAGGAGUCAGUGGAUGCCAAACACAUAAAAUUAGAAUCAUGUGCAAUAAGCGCCGUAGCGUUUACAUCCUCAUCACUUGAAGAUGACUCAUUCGAAGAUGAAUCAUUCCAAGUGAUGGCUUGCAUCGCUUUCUUUUUCAAGGACUUCUUAUUAGGACAAUCCGAAGCGAUAUGACCAAAUCCUCUACACUUAUAGCAUUGGAUUUGACCUUCAUUACUUUUCUUCUCUUUAGAAAAAUCUUUUGAAGAGCUUUCGGAUUUUUUAUUCUUAGAAGAGGAAGAUGAAGAAGAACUCCCUUUAGAUUUGCUUGACUUUGAGGAAGUAGACUUUGGAGGAAACUUCUUUCUAAAGUUCCGACGGAACUUCUUCGUUAGAAGCGCCAAUUAUUUUUCAAACUCCUCCAAUGUUUGAUCCGAUUCCGAGUCCGAUGAAGUAGUCGAGUCAUCUCCUUUUGUUGAUUUGAAGGCCAUACCUGAAGCUUUAGAAGAAGACUUGGAAGAAGACGAAUUAGAAGGAAAAGUCAUCUCAUAAGUUUGAAGUGCACCAACCAAUUCUUCUACUUUUAAUUCAUCCGGAUGUUUUACCGUUUCAAUGGCCGCAACCUUUGGACGAAAUCGUUCGGGAAGGGUUCUCAAGAUUUUUCUAACAAUUUUAGAAUCCAGAAUCUUCUCGCCUAAGUUAGCACACGUGUUUACAAUAUCUUGCAAACGAGUAUAAUACUCGGUAAAGGAUUCAUGUUCUUCCAUACGUAUAGAAUCAAAUCUAUUUGUAAGCAUUUGUAAUUUUUGAAUCUUUACCAAGCUUGUACCCUCGUGUGUAAUUUGUAAAGUAUCCCAAAUUUCUUUGGCGGUUUCACACGCCGAAACUCGAGAAAAUUCGGUUUGGUUUAAAGCAUUAAACAAAGCGUUGAUACCCUUUCCGUUGAACGAAGAUAGUCUGUUUUCCUCUUUCGUCCAUUUAUUUCUAGGUUUAGAACCGGUAACAUUCUCGACAACUUCGGUAGGAUGUUUUCACCCGAACUCAAUGGCUUGCCAAACCCGCUCGUCGAUGGCAAUAAGAAAAGCUCUCAUACGAACUUUCCAAUAAGCGUAAUUAGUGCCAUCGAAAAGUAGGGGUCGAUUAAUGUUACCGCCUUCGGCCAUGAUUUACAACCUAUACCCGCUCUGAUACCAUUUGAAAGAUAUGAAUCCCGAUGAUCUAAAAGGUAAAUAACACCUAGAGGGGGUGAAUAGGUGUAAAACGGUAAAAACAAAUAAACCCGAUGCAAAUUAAAAGAGAAUGCGGAAAAUAAAAACAACACACCAAGUUUUAACGUGGAAAAACUCCAAUUCGGAGAGAAAAACCCACGGGACCAAUCACACGAUGAAAUCCACUAAGAAAACUUGAGUACAAGUAAUUUAACAAAAAUACACGACUCAAUUUACCGAAUCCUCGUCGUAGAUUGUCUUCGCCUGUCCUCGAUCGCUUGGAAUCCUCCAACCGAUCACGCCGCAAGUCCUUGCCGCGUCAACGCCUCGACUCCUCGAUGCGUCCACCGAAUCCUCGGCCUCACACGCGAUCCACGCGCAAAUCCUCCGUCCGGAGCUCGUAGAGAAGAUGAUUUGUGGUGAUUUGAUUACUUGGAAAGCACGUAUAACAUGAGGAAAAACCCUUCUUAGAACAUCAUCAUGAUCCUCAAGGAACAAUUGAAUUGUAAUCAAAGAAUCAAAUUGAUGAUCUAAGAACUUGAUAUUUAAAACAUAGAUCAAAAUCUCCAAAUCAAGUUUUUGAGUUUCUAAAUGAUUAUCUUUCGAAGCAUAUCUCAUAUGGGUACCCUGAUAUCAUAUUUAUAGGUUUAGAAGACUCAGAAGCCGACUAGGAUUGCAAAAGCCAAGUUUAAAAACUGACGACGCCCUCAGGGACCGGUCCUCUCGAGGAGACCGGCUUUUGGGAGACUGGUCCCUCGAGUGGGAGACCGGUCCCUCGUUGCGUGCCUGAAAAAAAUGGCUUCGGGAAUCGGUCUCUCAUCCAGAGACUGGUCCCUCUCUACGUGACAGAAAAUCCAUCGCUCUGGAACCGGUCUCACUUUUCAGAGACCGGUUGCCUCAACUUUCCACGCAUAGAGGACCCUCGGGGACCGGUCUCUCAUCUCAGGGACCGGUCCCAGAACACUAAAAUGUUCAGAUUUAGCUUUUUAAGGCAAUCUAAGUCUUCUAACCUUAUUUAAAUCACCAUAAAUGAUCUAUUCUUCAUACCUGACGUGCCGAGCUUUCCGAAUAAGUCUUUGAUCUUCAAAUUGAAUCUUAGUAUCAAAACUCCGUGUUUGACUCUUCAAGACUUCAUUUGACUUUACGAAAUCCGCCAACCUAGAAAAUCCUUAAACCAGGUUUGUGACCCCUCCACCUCUCCUCUUUGAUUUUCUUCUCUUUUUCUUGGAUUUUUAGAGGAUUGAUCACCUCUUUUGCUCCUUUUUAGCUUUUUGGGUGAUUUUCCACCAUUGGAGAGGCAUUGGAGCAGGGUUUGGAGCUUGUUGGAGGAGAGAAUUUCAACCCUAGUUGAUUUCUAUCCUUGUUUGGAGCUUCUAAAGAUGUUAGUAAUAUGUUUCUUUCAUUAGAUUUAUGUUUUGAUGGAUUUCUUAAGAUGAAACCCUAGAAAUGGAAAAUCUAGGGUUUAUUUGGGGAUUUUUGAUUAGAGACUUUUGGAACUCAAUUGAUUGAUUUAGAACCUUUGUUUAGGUUGGAUUUGAGGGGAUCUUGCUUUCAUUUGGAGAUUGAGAGAGGUUUUCACCUUACAAGGUGAGUUUUUGCCAUUUUCUUAGGUUGAUUAAAGUUUGAUCAUAAGGUUGUUCGUUUGUUGCGUUUAACUCUCUUAAUAUUACAUUUAGGGUGCUAGGAGAGUAGUGGGCACCUUCGUCGGCGCAAACCAAGAGUUGCGAGGAGUCUCGGUGGGUUUGACCUCAUGGAAAUGAGAAAAACUCCUUCUAUGUCAAUUUUUAAUUAUCAUAAAAUUGAAAUGCAUGUAUAUUCAUGCUAGAUAGAGCAUACAAGAUGUUUAGAAUGCUUAAAAUACAUGUGCUAUAUUUUAUGAAAAUUACCUUUAUAUAGUAGAGAGAGAUAUAUGCAUUGUUAGCAUGUAUGAAAAUAGCAUUCUAUUAUAUGGUUUGGAAUUAUGUUUCCUGGGCCCAAUUGCACUGACAAAUUUUGGAUUUGACGAUGAUUUUCGAGAAAACUAGAUUUUAUCGCAAAGUAAACUUUUGUUCUUUACCCUUUUUGUUUUUUAAAACUUCUUGUUGCUCCGUUUUGAGUUUGGACUCUCGAGUGGGGAUCUUUCUACGUGGUGGAGGUUUGUGUAGAGGGAUAUGCGCGAAAUUUCAUGAAACUUGGCAGGCUGAUGCGUGAGGUUGUCAUACACACGUGGUUGUCAACAUGUCCAACCAUCUGUACACUACCGCCGCGCUACCCACAGCCUUUAUCACAUAGGUCAUGGCAUGUACAAGAUAAAUAGAUGAUAGCUAACUCACAUAAGUCAUGAGCAAUUGAGGACUCCGCAAGAUGCACAAGUUGUCGACUGGCCUCCCACGACCAAAGUUAGAAUAUCUUGUAACGACCCAGCCCACUAACAACAAUAAAUCGUUGGGCCCAACCACUGGCCCAAAAUGCUUAAGCCCGAUUAUUAUUACUAGUGUCUAAGUCUCUUAUAUACCCAAUCACAUCCACAUUCCUAUCCGAUGUCGAAUUAUUGGGGUGUGACAGACUCCCCCCGUUAAGACCCUGACAUCCUCGUCAGUCCAAUCACACACACAGCCCAAGAUCACCAGGCGAUGUGAGACUCGUCUUGCUAGCCUUGUCAUCCAGACCCUGGCAUAGCUGGUCACCUUAUAAUACAGACUCUGGCAUAGCCUAUCACCUUGUCUUUCAGACCCUGACUCAACCGAGACUCGCCACACAUUUUCGACUGGUGAUUGGUUCUGAUAUCAAAUGUAACGACCCAGCCCACUAGCAACAAUAACUCGUUGGGCCCAACCACCAGCCCAAAAUGCUUAAGCCCGUUUAUUAUUACUAGUGUCUAAGUCUCUUAUAUAUCCAAUCACAUCUCCAUUCCUAUUCGAUGUGGGAUUAUUAGAGUGUGACAUAUCUACUAUGAAAUAAUACUAACUGUCAUCACAACACGACGAUCAGACAAUGGGAUUGUCAAAGAAUCACACAAAAAGCCCAACGGUCUCAACACAAUCAUAAAUGUCCGAAAAGCUCACACAUGUCUCACUAAUCCUUGGCCACAAAGCAUCCAAAAGAGCGGCCAUCAAAAGUUUCACGAAGCCUAGACCUCUCGCAGGUAACUCGUGGCAUGCUCAAGACAAGGAAAAUAAAAUAAAAUAACUCACGUGCAUGCUUCAAUUAUGAUAUGGACAUACUCAUACUUCAUAUUCAAAUACUCAUGUUCAUAUUCAUAUUCAUGUUCAAAUACUCAUAUGCUUGGUAUCAUAUUCAUCCUCAUGUUCAUGUUCAAAUAUUCAUUUGCAUGGUAUCGUAUUCAUCCUCAUGUUCAUGUUCAAAUACUCAUGUUCACGCUUGCAUAUGAUGUUUCUUGUUCAUGCAUCGACUAUCUCGAUAUGACGCUUGAUACCGUAGAAUUCAUGUACGAAUGCUCAAAUACUAAAUACGGCACCAAAUAGACACAGAAGGAAAUUCGUUGUUUUCGGCGACUCGAAACCCACCUCAACGCGCUACAUCGACUCGGGGAAGAGAAAUGCUACUCGCGUGCUUUUCCUCGGCUCACAAUCGCCCGGAACUACUAAUCAAAGCAAAACCGUCAGAAUUACGAUGACAAUGCAAAAUUUUCAAUUGAGCUCAAUUUACGUAAAUUGAAAGUCAAAUACCUUAAAUUGCAGCUAAUCAGAUGUGUCUAGGACUCUAAUUCACACUCCCGGACACCCUGCAAGCGUCAAUUUGAAGUUUAAAAGUGCGAAUUAUACCAAUUGCAAUGUCUAGUUCACUAAUUUCCAUUCCUUUCUUCCUCUCUCAUUUUUCCUUCUCCUUUCUUUCUUUUCACCUUUCUUCCUCUUUUUCUCUCUUUCUCUUCUUUCAUGUUCAUCUAUGUUUCUCUUUUUCGCUCUUUUUUUUUUCUUGCUCCCCCCUGCAACAGCAACUGCUAAGGCAGCUUGCAGCAGCAGCAGCAGCAGGGAGGGAAAAGGGAGGAAAGAAGAGGAAAGGGGAAGAAAGGAGAAAAAGGAAGGAAGAGAAAGGGAGGAAGGAAAGGAAGGGAAAGAGAAAGAGAAGAAGAAACUUUACCUUCUUCUUCAAGUUUUCUUAUUCUUCUUUUUCUUCUUCUCUUCUUUCUUUUCUUUCUCUUUUCUCUUUCUUUGGUUUCAGCCCUAGAAAAAUCUGAGAGGAAAAGAGAGAAAGAGAGAUAUUUAUCACCUCUCUUUAGUGGAAUUCCACUAAGGUGUCAAUUGCACUUUAGCCCAAUAAGAUUUUCUACUUGCAAUUUAUAGUCCAUUUCAUGAACAAUUGGCCUAUUUCAUCUCUUGGUGUGUCCAUCUCGCCAAGUUUUAGGACUGUGGCUACUUGGCGUGUCCUUCUCGCCAAUUCCUACUUGGCGUGUCCAUCUCGCCAAGUUUUAAAGGACUGUGGCUUAUAGUUGGCGUGUGAACAAGGAAAGGUAGAACAUCAAAUUACUGUUGGCAAGUGUCAAGUCCUUCAUCGGCAAUAGGACAUGGUCUUGAUAGUUUUAUGUUUGGGUUUUCGUGAUUUCAGAGCGAACUAAAUGCGGUUUGGAUAAUAGGAUAUCGAGUGACAAGAUCGGCAACUUGAAGACCAGUCUAGAUAAUAUGGUCUACGAAACGAUUUGUUUAUGUUUUGCUUGAUGCGGUAGUGAUGCUACUUGGCGUGUCCAUCUCGCCAGUAAAAACUACAAUAACAGCAGCGGGGAGGGCAUAGGGAGGAAAGAAAAGGAAAGGGAAAGGAAGGAGAAAAAGGAAGGAAGAGAAAGGGAGGAAAGAAAGGAAGGGAAAGGGAAAGAGAAGAAACUUUACCUUCUUCUUCAAUUUUUCUUUUUCUUUUUCUUCUUCUUCUUCUCUUCUUUCUUUUCUUUCUCUUUUCUCUUUCUUUUGUUUCAGCCCUAGAAAAUUCUGAGAGAAAAAGAGAGAAAGAGAGAUAUUUGUCACCUCUCUUUAGUGGAAUUCCACUAAGGUGUCAAUUGCACUUUAGCCCAAUAAAUUUUCCUAGUUGCAAUUUAGUCCAUUUCAUGAACAAUUGGCCUAUUUCAUCCGUUUUCACGUUGAUUUCACGCCAAAAUGGAUUCACUGUAAUUCCACCCUCGCGCUCACAUGUUCAUAAGUAACAGAAAUCAAUAUUCUAUGAGAAAUUUUCCAACUUGGUCCACUAUGUUUGCUAUUUGCACUUUAGUCUGUCGUAGUAAAAAAUUGGCCCAAGUCAACCAUUUUGCACCACAAUGGUUUCACUUCAAUCCACUUCCAUACCCACAUGCUCCCCGACAACCUACACACAAAAGAAACGCUGGAUUUACAAGAGAUCUCAUCCAAUGAUGCACCUGCUAUACCUGGUAUAGACCUUAGCAAUAGACCACAUAGGGCUCACGGAUCGGAAGUGCAACCAUUUUUUCGAAAAAUAACACUAAUGCGGUGUCCAAACCGAUGGUGCGCGCAAAAUGCACACGAGCUAUGGUGAUCAAUGCAAUAUGAUCAAUAGCCAUCCCUUGACAGGUACCCAAUAGGAGAUCCACUUGGGGGGAGUACCAACCAAUUAUGUCACCCAAUUGCAUAUAUGUAUAGCACCAACCAGUAGGUCAAACUAAUAUCAGAAUAGAUAAUAAUGUCCAAUGCUGUACCACUCUACCACUAGAUCAAGAUGAUCAUGUGCAACGAUAAAAGUAGAGAAAUAGAAGAUGAAGUCAUGUGAUGAUCAAGUGCUCAACAUACAAUAGGAAAAGAAUGCCACUGAGCUAGCAUCACUAAAUCGACUUCAAAUCGAGCAAAAGAAUGCCGCUGAGCUGGCAUCACUAAACCGACUUCAAAUCGAGCACCCACUUGUAAGAGACGAUGCACCUAACUCCAAGUAGUCCUAACUGUCAACUAAAACUAUGAAAGAUCCAUAGAGUCAAGGACUAGAUAAGUGACUUACAAAUCACACAAUCCCAAAACCAUUAGAAAAUUGGUUCCUCUUACUGAUUCCUGAAAACUGUCGAAAUUUUUCAAAAACUUACCGAAAGACUUCUGAAACCCUUGCAGUGUCUUAGAAGGUACAAAAUCAUGCUUUAAACCACCUGCUCACCCGAAAUGCACUAAUGUAGGUGUCCGCGCAGAAAAUACAAGAUCGACUAUUAUUAGGUGUAUUUAAUAAUAACUACACCAUAUCGAGUUCUCGAAAAUGCCAUUUUCGGCUUUGAAACCCUCUGCUGCUCACCUGCUGUCUCCGGACCAUAGUUAGUUAAUUCGGAUUCGGCAAAAAUUCGGUACGGGUAUAAUUUGGAUAAAAUUCGUCUUCUAAUUUUUAAAUUCGUUGAAAAAUACGGCUAAAAAGCGGAUUCCUCAAUUAUUCAGAUACGUGAUUUAUACGGAUAUUAUACGUUCACCAAUUAAAAAUUCAGGAUCAAAAAUUUGGCUAUUAAAUUAAAUUUUUUUCUCUCAAGAUUUAUGCUAUUAGCAUAAAUAUUCAUAUUUCUUAAGAAUAUAAGAAUAAAUAGCUAUAAAAUUAAGCUAAUUAAGUAAAAAAUUCGGAAAGAGUUUUUUUUUUUUUGUUUUGGGCGAGGUGUUUGGAAAGGGUUUUUUUUUGUUUUUUCCUGUUUUGGGCCAGCCGGCCCGCGAGUGCGUGCGGGAGCGCGUGCGGUAGUGCGCGGGAGCACGCGCGGGCACGGGCGGCGUGGGCGCAACCCAAACUGAGAAUGCAUUCGAUCAACGCUUUUGCCGUUAAACGCACCAACACCCUAAAUUAUGCUUCGCAAGGCCAUCAAACCUAAUAUGAUUAGUCCAAAGAUCAUAUACAAUGGAUUUACACUGCCUGCGAUAGCCCAUAAGGCCAAAAUUGCAAAUAAACCCCUAAACAUGAAUCUAUUUGCAUUUAGUAUAUAAAAUAUUAGGGUUUUGACUUGUUACCGAAUUCUACAAGCUUCAACCAACUAGCGGUGCAGAUCGAUAGGUCCUGACGUUCUAAAGUUCACGUUCGCUGUUGGAAAUGCAAACAGUAGCCGAGAGCGCGCUGAGGCUAUGUGAAAUGUGGUAUCUAAAGUCACCGGGAGCGUCAAAAAUAAAUUUGCAAUCUAGGGCCUCACUUUUGGAGGAUUAUCGGCAACCUAGGUGGCCGGAACAGCAAAGCCGACCCAACUCAGCGUAGCUUGCGCAAGAUCCAAAGCAAGAAGACACUUCUUGGAUUUUGAUGGCCUGGGUGUCACACCCCAAUCCCCGCCAAUUUGGUCGGGUUCGGGUCACGUCAACAGACGCCGAACGAACAGCAUCUCCCCUGUACGCCUAAGGCUCUAACAACAAGUAUAAUUAAGCAAUCAAACAAAGAGAUAUGCAAUUAUACAAAGCUUACACGAGGGCAAGCAACAACGGAAGCGAAAGCUCUAAGCUAAAAAUACAACCAUACAUGAUAUUUGAUUAUAUUUUAACCAAAUACAAGUAAACUACAACUAUUACAUUCUUUUUCCAUUCAACCAUAAUUUCUUACAUUUUGUCAUUCACCAAAAUACAUGAUAUGUUUUCAACUUUACAAUUCUAAUUCAACAAAAUAAAAGUUGAUACAUGUAGGCAAAGGACUGACUAAAAAUGUAUAAGUCCUAGUGGCCACUAGCUAUGGCGCAAUACCCUUGCCACGGUCCUCCGCCGCCCCGCUCGUGCUCGAACCUGUAGGGUUAGUGGUGUGAGAACUACAACGAAGUUCCCAGUGGGUUCGGCAACCGACCUCGCUGACUUACCCACUAGGUCUAUUCAGGCAUAAGUAUUUCAAAGGAAAGGAAAGUAGUAACCAUACUAAUGCUAAUACUAUGACUGCAAGAAAACUGUCAAUGGAUAUAUAAUUAAAGCAAUAUUAAAUAUGCAUGCAUGCUUUUCAUGAUUUUACUUUGGCUUUUACCCAAUCUUACCGGUUAACUUUGUUAAUCCCAAUAACUCACAACCCAAAAUCUCUUAAUAACGGGAGACUCGAACCACCCUAGGGACCGUCCUCUGGGGGGACUUUACCACGCCCAAUGGUGACCAACUCCGGAGCGCACCGCUCGAGGGGGAGCUACCUCCCUCAAGCCAAGACUUAUCGUGAGUAUCGAUCCAAUCCUCGACUUGAGGAUACACAGCCACUAGUCACAAUGCCAUUGUCAUAAUAGGUUUCUACCUAUUUGUUCAUGCUACUUUCCAAGUCAUACUUGUCACAAUGUCACUAUGGUUAAACUAUGUUUAACAACCAAUUUCUCAAUGCCAAUCAUGUCUCGAUUGUCAAUGUCACCUUUGUUUACUAUUGUCAAAGUCCAAGUCUCACAUUCAUACAACUUUAGGGUCUCUACCAUACAUGUCCAUUAUGGUUCUAUCAUUCUCUAUGUUCAACUACAUUAGAAGCAUAUAAAUCAUGUCUAACCAAGUUUCACAUGUAAAAUUACCCUAUUAUGCAUGAAUAAUUCUAUAUACAAGUAUGCUCAAUAAAGGUGAAAAUAGACAUAAAGGGGAAUCCGAUGAUUCUGGCGUGCACCCCCGACCUUGAAUAUCGUAGAAGGGUUGUAAUUCGACCCUCGUGAUUUUAGGACGCCUCUCCCGCGACCUAAACCCAAAAUAAAGCCAAAUUAGGCCCUAUAUACUAGAUCUCUUACUUAACCUUUUCGUAACGUUAAACGGAGUUGUCACAAGCGUCGGGAAUACCCCCAAUUAGGUUUCCAAGAGGUCAAUUUACCUCAGAAACAACCGGAGGCGAAAGCCCGAAUUUCCAAGCCCUAACAAUACGAUAAUGGAAUUUCUCCUAGAUUGAUCUCAUCUCUAAGCAAAAAUUAGCUUAGAAUCAAUUAGGAAGCAUUCUAAUACCAUUACUAAGCCCCUUGAACCAUUCCUAGGGCAUCUACUUUGGAUUCUAACAAUCCACCAUGAGAGCACCUUGAGAAAACCAUGCUUUCAUGGUGUUCUAAGCUCUAGAGGGUUUCUAAGCUUAUUAGAGGAUCAAAACUCCAAAACUUAAGGUUUAAAACCAAACCCUAGAGUUCUACUUGCAAGAUAACUCACCCUUGCCCAAGCUACACCAAGCUCCUUCUUGUUGGAGAGCUUCUAGCAACUUCAACUCCACCAAAACCACCUUCUCCUUGUUUCUUCUCCACCUCGUCCUUGCCCUAGAGCAAGAGUUCUAGAGAGAGAGAGAGAAAUGAGAGAAAGAGAGAAUGGAGGUCCCUGCUGUGAAGAGAGGGAAGAUGGGCUCCUAUAUAGUGUGCAACAAUUGCAAUUAAGCCCCCCAAAAGUCUUAUUUGCAAUAGACUUCAAAACUGCUGCCAGACCAAAGUGUACCGGUACACUUUGGGCUGUUACCGGUUACACGAUUACGCAGGGCAAACCCGAGAGCGUUUCCCUCGGAUUUUACCAAAGUAUACCAGUACACACCAAGGGUGUACCGGUACAUUUUCUAAGAAAAUCUCAAACCUGAGAGCUUACUCUGCGCGUGCUGCUGGGCUGUUACCGGUGACAACUUGAUGGUUGUACCGGUACACUUUGGCCAGAAUGCAAUUUUAGCUCCGAUUCGACUCUAUUUCGCGUCGGUCGAUGCUAAAACCCUCCUAACUCUUUCUAAACUUACUUUUAGCCCUUCCAACAUUGUUGGAAUGCUAAAUGCAACUCAUCCAUCCAUCAUUUUCGCAUACUUUAGUCAAUUUGGCUAAUGUUCGAUUAUUUCUUCCGGGUUUCAAUACGUUACAUUCUCCACCCCUUAAGAUUAGUUUCGUCCGCAAAACUAACUUAAUUGCAAUCUAAAACUCAUACCUCAUCUUAGUUCUUUGAAGAGAUGAGGAUGACGUUCUUUCAUCGCAUCCUCAAACUCCCAAGUUUCUUCCCGAUCGUCGUGUUCACUCCAAUGAACCUUAACAUAUGGAAUUUCACGAUUCCGUAGUUUUCGCACCUUCCGAUCAACAAUGUACUCCGAGAACUCCUCGUAAGUCAUAUCCUCUUGAAGUUCUAUCGGUAUAUACGAGAGAAUAUGCUCCGGAUCAUGGACAUACUUGCGGAGAUUGGAUACAUAAAACACAUCGUGCACCCCCGCAAGCCUCGGUGGUAAUGCUACUUUGUAAGCCACCGCACCAACCCUUUCUAAGAUCUCAAAGGGUCCGACAAAUCGGGGACUUAGCUUUCGCCGGACACCGAACUGCUUAACACCGCGCAUCAACGAUACCUUUAGAAAUAUGCGGUCUCCAACCGCGAACUCGAUAUCUUUCCUUCGCUUGUUGGCAUAGCUUUUGUGCCUCGAUUGCGCCGUCGCUAAUCUUUGUCGGGCAAGGCGAACUUUCUCCUCCGCCUCCCGAACCACAUCGGGGCCAAGGGCAACUCUCUUGCCCACAUCGCUCCAAUGAAUAUGAGAGCUAUAUUUUCUUCCAUAAAAGGCCUCAAAUGGCGCCAUUGCAAUACUUUCUUGAUAGCUAUUGUUGUAUGUGAAUUUCGCCAUCGAUAAAUGAUCAUGCCAUCCGCCCUUAUAGUCGAGUACACACGCUCGAAGCAUGUCCUCAAGUAUUUGAAUGGUCCUCUCCGAUUGGCCGUCACUUUGAGGAUGGAAUGCCGUACUAAAGUCGAGCCGUGUGCCUAACGCGUCUUGCAAGCUCUUCCAAAAAUAUGAUGUGAACCUCGGGUCCCAAUCUGAUACAAUAGAUAUCGGAACCCCGUGAAGUCUCACAAUCUCGUCGAGAUAAACCUGAGCUAGCUUGUCUCCCGACCAAGUAGUGUGGAUCAGUAAAAAGUGUGCCGAUUUCGUCGACCGGUCCACAACUACCCAAAUCGCAUCAUGUCCACCUUGGGAUCUAGGCAACCCCGUCACAAAGUCCAUAGCGAUAUUUUUCCACUUCCAAACGGGUAUAGGCAAACUUUGUAACUUUCUCGCCGAGAAUCGCCGUUCCGCCUUAACUUGUUGGCACGUGAGGCAUUGUACCACAAACUCCCAUAUGUCCUUUUUCAUGCCCGGCUACCAAUAAUGUAGCUUCAAAUCUUGAUACAUUUUAGUGCCGCUCGGGUGUAUACUAUAGGGAGCUUGAUGCACUUCUUGCAUAAUCGCCCUCCUAAGAUCGUCAUCCUUGGGCACGCACCAACGAUUCCGAUAUCGUAGCGCGCCAUCGGUCCCAAUGCCAAAAUCAUCGGCACUACCGCUCUCAACUUUAUCCCGCACUUUUUGGAGAAAUGAAUCGAAAACUUGGAGUUCUUUAAUCCUCUCCAACAAGGUCGGUUGUACAAUCAACGUGGCAAGUGUUGCCGGCACUCCCGGCGCCACAACUUCAAGUCCAAACCGUUGCAUCUCCUUUUGCAAAGCCAGUUGGGAUGUAAUUGCUGUCGCCAAAUUUUCCGCCGACUUUCUACUUAAAGCAUCGGCCACGACAUUUGCUUUUCCGGAGUGGUAGAGAAUCGUGACGUCAUAAUCUUUUAGCAACUCCAACCACCGCCGCUGUCGCAAAUUUAAUUCCUUUUGGGUGAACAAGUAUUUGAGACUCUUAUGAUCGGUGUAGAUCUCACAAUGCUCACCAUACAAAUAAUGCCUCCACAAUUUUAGUGCGAAGAUAACCGCCGCUAGCUUGAGAUCGUGAGUCGGGUAGUUUUUUUCAUAACUCUUUAAUUGAAGCGAACCAUAUGCUAUAACUCGGCCAUUUUGCAUCAAAACACACCCGAGACUGAUAUAAGAGGCAUCACUGUACACUACAUAGCUCUCCCUCGGCGUCGGCAAAGCAAGUACCGGGGUCGACGUCAAUCUUUCCUUUAACUCCUUGAAGCUCCGCUCACAUUCGGCGCUCCAAAUGUACUUCAUCCCUUUGUGGGUAAGGCGCGUUAAUGGAGUAGUUAUCUUGGCAAACCCCUCCACGAACCGCCGAUAGUAGCCCGCAAGUCCCAAAAAGCUACGAAUCUCCGAUACACUUGUCGGGCGAGGCCAAUCUUUAAUAGCCUCCACUUUCUUUGGGUCUACCAAGAUGCCAUCACCGAAUAUAACGUGACCCAAGAAAGUAACCUCCGAAAGCCAAAACUCACAUUUCUUUAAUUUUGCAUAUAGCUUCUCUUUUCGGAGCGUCUCCAACACGAUUCUCAAAUGCUCCUCGUGUUCUUCCUCGGUCUGAGAAUAUACUAAUACGUCGUCAAUGAAUACCACGAUGCACCGGUCCAAUAGCAAACGGAAGACUCGAUUCAUUAAGUCCAUAGAAGCCGCCGGGGCAUUAGUAAGCCCGAAUGGCAUGACUGUGAACUCAUAGUGGUCAUACCGCGUACGGUAUGCCGUUUUGUGCACAUCCUUGGGCCGUAUCUUCAAUUGAUGAUACCCCGAUUGAAGAUCAAUUUUAGAAUAUACUCUUGACCCUUGCAACUGAUCGAACAAAUCGUCAAUUCUAGGCAACGGGUACUUGUUCUUGAUCGUCACUUUGUUCAACUCGUGAUAAUCAAUGCAAAGUCGAAGCGUGCCAUCCUUUUUCUUUACAAAUAGCACAGGAGCUCCCCACGGAGACACUCUCGGCCGCAUAAAGCCUUUAUCGAGCAAGUCUUGCAAUUGAGCCUUUAAUUCCUUAAGUUCUACCGUUGCUAUUCUAUACGGAGCCUUCGAAAUUGGCGCCGCCCUGGGAAUUAAGUCAAUGACGAACUCGACUUCCCUGUCCAGUGGCAAUCCCGGUAACUCCGCCGGAAACACAUCCGGAUACUCGCAUACUACCCGAAUACCUUCAAGUUCCAGGUACUCCUUUUGGGCGUCUACGAUGGUCGCCAAAUAGGCCUUACAACCACCCUUAAUUAUUUUCCUCGCUCUCGCUGCCGAUACGGUCGCCGCGAAGCGCCUACUUUUACACGCCCGGUAUAUCAAUUCUUUUUGAUUAGGUUCACCGAACGUGAUCACCUUACUUUCACAAUCUAUGACCGCGUAAUACUUGGAGAGCCAAUUGAUCCCCAAGAUCACAUCGAAGCCCCAUAUUUGAUUUAACACCAAAAGGUCGAUCGGCAUAACCCAAUCACCUAUCUGUACCGGACACGCUAAGCACUCGUCAUGUACAUGAAACGAAUGCUCUGGAGUAUUCACCAACCAAUAAUCUUCAUUAUGUGUGAUCUCAAUGUCAUGAGUCUUAGCGAAUGAUGCAUCAAUGAAUGACUGAGAUGCACUCGUGUUGAAUAUAGCUCUAGCUCUAGUGCCUCUGAUAAGAAUAAUACCUGCCAUGACGUCGUCGGGGACUGGAAUCAGCUGCUCCUCUACCUGAGUGGCAAAAACCCGCCCACUAGGUGCUCGAGAAGCCUCCGGCUGAUGAGGCACUGAUAAAUGUCCAGCAGAUAUAGCGGGUGGUAGUCCCGCCAGCUGUCGUGGAGUAUACUAGACGGAAGCUGAUGACGGAGCUGGGGAUGCGCCGCCCGGGCACUCUCGGCUCAUGUGCCCCAGUUGGCCGCAUUGGAAGCAUCGCCCUCCCACUGUGGACAAGUAGCGACUCUAUGAUCUCCGCCGCAUAUCACGCACGGGUAGGUAGUCUGGCUCUGUGUCUUACUCCUACCUCCCCGCCACUGUGAUCGCUGAUAUCGAGGGGGUCGCUUAGAACUUGACUGCCCCGCGGAUACACUAGAUGCCCACUUCUUGGACUUAUCCCUUUCCUUGUCCUUCUCGAGAGCCUCGCGCUCCUCUCGCGCAAUAGCAUUACCGUCUCUACCCAAAGCACGCGGUCAAGUACCUCCUCGUAGGUCUUUAACCGAAAGGCAUGAAUAACCUUGAAAAUCCCGGGUCGCAACCCGCGCUCGAAUGCCUCCGCCCUGUCCCUAUCACCAUGAACCAAGCUCAGCACGCAAUUGACAAGGUGCGUGAACUCUCUUUCGUACUCCCGCACUGUGCGACUUCCUUGCCUCAACUUUCGAAAAUCCUCCUUGAUUUUCCGCUUGUCACUCUCGAAAAAAUACUCCAUCAAUAGCAUCUCCCGAAAUGCCUCCCAAGUAACAGAAGCGGAAUCCAACAAGUGAUUCUUUUUCGCUUGAGUCCACCACAACCGAGCCGACCAGUCGAAACAGUGAGCCGCAAGGUGAACCUUAUCCUUCUCGACGGUGUAAAUGUCCUCAAACAACGCUUCCAUCGUGGCCAACCACGACUCCACCAACCAAGGAUCCUUCAUAUCGCCGUUGAAGGUCGGAGGGUUGAAUCACUUGAAUGCCAUCAGCGCCGCCAACAAUCGCUCCUGCUCGGCCUCAAGUACAUCGAGAAUAAGGGCCGAUGAACCCGAUGCCAUUGGAGGAAUAGCCGUCACUGGUGCUACCGCCACCGCAGGAGGUGGUGCUAUAGGAGCAAUAGGUGCGGGCGGAUCCCUCGGCACAAAUGCCGCCGCCGCCGCCUGUCGCGCCAUCAACUCGUGGAGCUGUCCAAUUUGCUCCCCCUGUAGCCGCAUAGCCCCGGCCAAUGCCGCUACUUGGGCUCGCAGCUCGCGCACUUCAUCCGUUCCCGUCUGCUCGGGCACUUCAUCAGGCAAUGCCGAAGCGGCUCUACACGUGUAGCGUCUCGGGGACAUUGUUCCUGAAACGUAUCACAUGCAUUAGUACUCGAUACACGUGACUCUUACACGUUCCAAAUAAUUACCCCAUUAAGCGAAAGCAAUCAAGUGUAUUUAUUUCCAACCCUUGGCAUCAUGUGGUCGGCCAGCCCACACAAACCCCUUAAGUAGAAAACAAAUAAACACUUGAAUCCAUCUCUAAUUCCUUUUAGAGAAGUACCAUCAUUAACCCAAUCAACUAGCUUUCGCAAGUACCAAGUUCACGUUAAACGUUUCCUAAGUCCCUAAGGUCUCCAAUCCUAGGGUUCCUAAGUCCAUCCUAGACUUUUGCUUUCUUCCAUAGCUCUGAUACCAUUAUAUCUGUCACGCCCCAAUCCCUGCCAAAUUGGUCGAGCUCGGGUCACGUCAACAGACGCCGAACGGACAGCAUCUCCACUGUCCGCCCAAGGCUCUAACAACAAGUAUAAUUAAGCAAUCAAACAAAGAGAUAUGCAAUUAUACAAGGCUUGCACGAGGCAAGCAACAACGGAAGCGAAAGUUCUAAGCUAAAUAUACAACCAUAUAUGAUAUUUGAUUAUAUUUUAACCAAAUACAAAUAAACUACAACUAUUACAUUCUUUUUCCAUUCAACCAUAAUUCCUUACAUUUUGUCAUUCACCAAAAUACAUGAUAUGUUUUCAACUUUACAAUUCUAAUUCAACAAAAUAAAACUUGAUACAUGUAGGCAAAGGAAUGACUAAAAAUGUAUAAGUCCCGGUAGCCACUAGCUAUGGCGCAAUACCCUUGCCACGGUCCUCCGCCGCCCCGCUCAUGCUCGGACCUAUAGGGUUCGUGGUGUGAGAACUACAACGAAGUUUCCAGUGGGUUCGGCAACUGACCUCGCCGACUUACCCACUAGGUCUAUUCAGGCAUAAGUAUUUCAAAGGAAAGGAAAGUAGUAACCAUACUAAUGCUAAUACUAUGCCUGCAAGAAAACUGUCAAUAGAUAUAUAAUUAAAGCAAUAUUAAAUAUGCAUGCAUGCUUUUCCAUGAUUUUACUUUGGCUUUUACCCAAUCUUACUGGUUAACCUUGUUAACCCCAAUAACUCACAACCCAAAAUCCCUUAAUAAUGGGGGACUCGAACAACCCUAGGGACCGUCCUCUGGGGGGACUUUACCACGCCCAGUGGUGACCAACUCUGGAGCGCACCGCUAGAGGGGGAGCUACCUCCCUCAAGCCAAGACUUAUCGUGAGUAUCGAUCCAAUCCUAGACUUGAGGAUACACAGCCGCUAGUCACAAUGCCAUUGUCAUAACAGGUUUCUACCUAUUUGUUCAUGCUACUUUCCAAGUCAUACUUGUCACAAUGUUGCUAUGGUUAAACUAUGUUUAACAACCAAUUUCUCAAUGCCAAUCAUGUCUCUAUUGUCAAUGUCACCUUUGUUUACUAUUGUCCAAGUCCAAGUCUCACAUUCAUACAACUUUAGGGUCUCUACCAUACAUGUCCAUUAUGGCUCUAUCAUUCUCUAUGUUCAACUACAUUAGAAGCAUAUAAAUCAUGUCAAACCAAGUUUCACAUGAAAAUUACCCUAUCAUGCAUGAAUAAUUCUAUAUACAAGUAUGCUCAACAAAGGUGAAAAUAGACAUAAAGGGGAAUCCGAUGAUUCUGGCGUGCACCCCCCACCUUGAAUAUCAUAGAAGGGUUGUAAUUCGACUUUCGUGAUUUUAGGACGCCUCUCCCGCGACCUAAAUCCAAAAUAAAGCCAAAUUAGGCCCUAUAUACUAGAUCUCUUACUUAACCUUUUCGUAACGUUAAAUAGAGUUGUCCCACGCGUCGGAAAUACCCCCAAUUAGGUUUCCAAGAGGUCAAUUUACCUCGGAAAUAACCGGAGGCAAAAGUCCCAAAUUUUAAGCCCUAACAAUACGAUAAUGGAAUUUCUCCUAAAUUGAUCUCAUCUCUAAGCAAAAGCUAGCUUAGAAUCAAUUAGGAAGCAUUCUAAUACUAUUACUAAGCCCCUUGAACCAUUCCUGGGGCAUCUACUUUGGAUUCUAACAAUCCACCAUGAGAGCACCUUGAGAAAACCAUGCUUUCAUAGUGUUCUAAGCUCUAGAGGGUUUCUAAGCUUAUUAGAUGAUCAAAACUCCAAAACUUAAGGUUUAAAACCAAACCCUAGAGUUCUACUUGCAAGAGAACUCACCUUUGCCCAAGCUACACCAAGCUCCUUCUUGUUGGUGAGCUUCUAGCACCUUCAACUCCACCAAAACCACCUUCUCCUUGUUUCUUCUCCACCUCCUCCUUGCCCUAGAGCAAGAGUUCUAGAGAGAGAAAGAGAGAAAUGAGAGAAAGAGAGAAUGGAGGUCCCUACUGUGAAGAGAGGGAAGAUGGGCUCCUAUAUAGUGUGCAACAAUUGCAACUAGGCCUCCCAAAAAGUCUUAUUUGCAAUAGACUUCAAAACUGCUGCCAGACCAAAGUGUACCGGUACACUUUGGGCUGUUACCGAUUACACGAUUACGCAGAGGCAAACCCGAGAGCGUUUCCCUUGGAUUUUACCAAAGUGUACCGAUACACACUAGGGGUGUAUCGGUACAUUUUCUACGAAAAUCUCAAACCCGGGAGCUUACUCUGCUUGGGUUGCUGGCCUGUUAUCGGUGACAACUCGAUGGUUGUACCGGUGCACUUUGCCCAGAAUGCAGUUUUAGCUCCGAUUCGACUCUACGUCGCGCCGGUCAAUGCUAAAACCCUCCUAACUGUUUCUAAACUUACUUUAGCCCUUCCAACAUUAUUGGAAUGCUAAAUACAACUCGUCCAUCCAUCUUUUUCGCAUACUUUAGUCAAUUUAGCUAAAGUUCGAUUAUUUCUUUCGGGUUUCAAUACGUUACAUUGGGAGUGCACACACAGGUUGACAAAGGGAGGUAAUCGAUGAGGGACAAUCGGCAGGGUCGACUGUCGACAGUAGGAAGCAACGGCGGGGACUGUCAAGGAACUAUGGUCGAGAUUAAAGGGGCUCAAGCUAAUGUAUUAGAGUCCAGUGUUAGGGGAGGUCAAGAAAGGUCAAGGUGGUGCCGGUGAGUGUCCUGGGGUCCACUUGAGCCAGUGACGAUAGCAGGGCUCGACGACAGCGGUCGCACAACAACUGCGGCCCAAAACCUCCAAAUGUUGGAUUUUAUAAUGACAACCAUAGUUUCGGGGCUACAGCGGCACUAAACUAGAUGGGGUGGCAUCACGAGGGCGCGAGGGGGCGGCAUUAAGGUCCAAUGGUGGCGUAGCUAUGGGAGAGGGGUUUCAUGUCAAGUUGGUCGAGAGGGGGAGGGAAAGAGAGAGAGAGAGAGAAAUGGAAAGUUGACAUGGGUGGCUUUUGGCCAUCUUCUAGCGGCCGGGGGAUGGUCACCGACAAUUGAGAGUAGUGUAGUGCUGGUGGGGGAAACCUCUUAGCAGCUAUGGGGCUUGAGAAUAGAGGGAUCAUGUUAAGGUUAGUAAACUCUAACAUACGCAUAUAUAGGGUUUGGAAAGUUGCAACUUAACCCCUCUAUUGUCAUUAUUUUAUUCUCAAUCCGUGUAAAAUGAGUGAAGGCACCUUCGCCACUAAUUUCACGCAAAUCUAUACAUAAAAUAUUGGGAGUUUUCCGUAAAAACUCAAUUUGCGUUUCAACCUCCACCCAAGUUUCAUACUUUUUCAUGCAAUCGACAUGCCGAAUUUCCAAACGAACUACACCGGGACUUGUACACCAUCGGACCAACACGCUUCAAAAUAUCGAACGGUCCAACAAACUAAGGCUAAGCUUGUUCCACAAAUAGAACAGCUUGAUCUCCCUAGAUGGCGACACCUUGAGAAGCACAUGCUCAUCAACCUAGAACUCUAGGUCACGCCAUCACUGAUCUGCGUAGCUCCUUUGACUGCUCUGUGCGGUCAAUAGUUGUUGCCUUACAAUGCAAAUCUUGGAUUCCGCAUCCUCUAUCGAGUCUAGCCCGAUCACCCGGCGCUCACCGACAUCGGCCUAACAGAUCGGGGACAAACAUUAUCGCCUAUAUAUUGCCUUAUGCAGUGCCUUCAAUGCUUGCCUGGUAAUUGUUGUUGUGAGCGAACUCUACCAAGGGUAGAUACUCGAACCACCCUUCACCGUAAUCAAGGACACAAGCAUGCAGCGUGUCCUCGAGACUCUGAAUAACACACUCAAACUGGCCAUCACACUGCAGAUGGUAAGCAAUGCUGAAGUUCAAUUUUUUUUACAGAUUUUAGUGCUAGAAUAUUUCAUAACGAGUCGUGACAAGUCGUUGUGGGUUGAGUUGGAAUCUUGAAGGUUUGAAAAAAUAUAUAUAUAUGAAGUUUGAAGACUCGAACACUCAAAAUAUGUUUUCACGAUACUCAGUAUGUUUUUACAAUGUUAGUGGCGAUUUAUGAAUAUAUAUAGUCAUUGAAAGUUAUUAGAAUUGAGAAAAAUUAUAAAUAUUAAAAGUUAACAUUUUUCAAAGUCCAGAUCCUAUCAAGGUUGGGACCCUAAAAGAAGGUCAGGACCUUGAACUUUUCAGGAUCCGGACCUUGCAAGAAGGGUCCGGACCUUGAUUUUUAGGAAAUAUCAACGUUCGAACCCUAUUAAAGAGUUCGGACUCUGAACCCGUCGCGAGUUUUUUAAAAUAAAUUCUUUAGUAAUUCUAAUUGUUUCCAAGCCUACAAAUAAGAUGUGGGGGUGUCUCUAAAUAUAAAAAAUAAUAGAUAAUCUUUUAGAAAACCUACAAGCCUCUAGAUACUCAUUUUUCUCAUCUUUUAUAACAAACUUCUCUCAAAUUGAUCUUUGGCGCCUUAAUUCUUAUUGUUCUUCUAAAAUCAAUUUGAGAAUUGCUUAAAGUUUAUUCCCACAAAUCUUUAAUGUUCUUCUACGCAAUAAAUCAGCAACCUUGUUCAUCUUCCUCCGGAUAGAGUGCGCUAAUGGAUUUGAGUAGACGUCGUGGAUUCGAACGUGGGGAGUGAACUAUCCAUUGGUGUGUGCGAGAUCCAAAGAAAAUAAAAGAGAUGUUUGAGUCCGUGGAGUCUGUAAUCAUCUCAUAAUCUUUUGUUUCUUAGUGGAUUGCUAUCGCAUAUUGGUCCUAUAGAUUUUUUUACUCCUAGUUGGAGCUUUUCAUGUAAAUCUCGAUGUGCUAUUUUUAUUUUUCGUAUUUAUUUUUAUUUCAUCAAAUUUUGUAUUUUUAGCCUAUAUGCCUAUUCACCCCCUUUUAGGUAUUUUAUAGAUCCCAGAUAAAUAUUGACUUCGUUGUAUUGUGAACGUCGAAGGUUACACUGGUACGGCUACGUACUGCACUGUUUAAAGCUCUGUUGCACCUUUUUCCUUCACGUUGCACCAUUAUUCUUCUUGUCGGCCAUGUAUUCUGCCCAAUUUACCGUCAAAAUAUUUAAUUUCGAAAAUCCGAACAGCAAACCCCGGAGCUGGUGAAUAGCGGGGCCAAUUUGGUUCGCAUUCUGAUGAUAGAAGGCUGCAAAACCACAUGCGGGGCGCAUUUAAUGUCUGCCUAGGUGCUAUACAGUAAGGUAUAUGUAUCUGAGCGAAUACGAAUAAGGCGGAGGGAGAUGAGGGGCAUUUUCAUCGGAUGGCGAAAAAUCUGGACCGAAUCUGCAAAAUCAAAAAAGACAAGCCAAAUUUUAUAAAAGCUCAAAAUUGUGAAUUUUUUAUACAAAUUGGCCGAUUAAAAUUGUGAAUAUUUUAUUUUAUGCAAGGAGGCAUGAAAAAGAAAAAAGGAAAAAGAAAAAGAAAAGACUCAAAAACCCAUGAGACCCAAAGCAAGGAGCGACCGAGCCCGGAUCCCGAACCCCGAAGGCUGGCCGGAUCCGAUCCAUGCGGCUUGUUGUUAAAGCCGUUUUCGUCUACUCCGCAUGCUCGUCGACGAAGCGAUCCUUCCCACUCCUCCUCCUCCUCCUCCCCGCUCUCCGCCGCCGCCGCCGCCGCCGCCGCCGCCGAUGUCAUCCCCCUCCGCUCCUCCUCCGCCGUGCUCCCACCUCGCCGCCUACCGCUCCAGCGCCACCCGCGGCUCCGCCGCCCUUCGCCACCUUCCGCCGCUGCCUCCGCGUCCGCCCCUCGGCCGCCCCGAGAUCCGCCGGGACCCUCCGAGACCCCCCGCUGCGGCCCCUGCCUCCUCUCCUCCUCUUCCUCCUCGCCCCCGCCCCGCCCCGCCCCCCUCGCCCGCCUACGCCUGCAUUCCUGCGCCGCUCGUCCUCUGCCCCGCCCACGCCCCUCCACCCCCUCUCCUCCCCUCCGGCCACGACAUCGCCGUCGAUGUCGACCGCGCCGAGCUCUUCUUCUGCCCUCUCCUGCCGCCGACCAGGUCUACGAUCUCCGACUUCGACGCCGCCGUCGUCCUUCGCCCAGUCCUCCUCCUCCCUCCCCCUCCCUCUCCCUCCCCGAAAGGCCCGUCCGGAAACGCCGCCGCGUCGCCUUCCGCCCCUGGUCCCCCGAUCCCGCCGAGCGCGCCGUCGUCCGCACCGGAUCCGUCCCCCUCCGACUCCCCGGCUGCGACGCCGACGCCGACGCCGCCGAUCCCUCCUCCUCCUCCUCCUAUUCCUCGGCCUUCGCCCCCUCGUCCCCCCCGCCCUGGGGACUGCGCGGACUGAACAACCUCGGCAACACCUGCUUCAUGAACUCCAUCCUCCAGGUCCUCCUCCACGCCCCGCCGAUCCGCAACUACUUCCUCAGCGACCGCCACAACCGCUUCCUCUGCCAGCAGCGGUCGCGCAAGAAGAAGGCGCCCGGCGCCGAUCCGCCGGCCUGCUUAGCCUGCAAUCUCGACGAGAUGUACUCCGCCGUCUUCUCCGGCGAUCGCUCUCCGUAUAGCCCCGCCAAGUUCCUCCAUAGGUCCGAAUCUGAUCGCCAUAAUUUCCCCCAUGCCCCCUUUUUUUUUAUUCUGCUUCUUUAUUAGUAUUCUCCGAUUCUUUCUUGUUGCGUCAGGGAAACAAUCUUUGCGUCAUGGAAAAGUUUCCCUUUUUUUUUUUUUUUUUCAAUGGCUUGUAAGAGUAGAUUAAGCGUUUAUCUAAGAGGAGGGGGGGAGGGGGAAUUCUUUUUUUUUCUUUUUUUUCUUUUUUUGGCGUUUGCGUUGGUUUGAGAGAUCUGUGGUACCGUUUUUUGGGAUUCCUUCUCACAGAACUGUUUAAUGCAAUUAAGGAUCGGAUUUGGUUUGACAAUGCUGUUGCUUCGGAAGUUCAUUUCGUGGUUUAAAACCAUGCGUCUGAAUAUUGGUGCACUAAAGACCAGAAGAUAUGAUCUAUUUUUGGGUGGUAUUAAUGAGAAAUGCAUAGAAAGUUGAGAUCCUUGGCUCACAUCAUCACAGUUACAUGCAAUCUUCAACAGCUUGCAUGCCCAUGAGUUGGCUGUUUAGUGUUCUGAUUUGUCAAAGAAACUUCCUCAGAUCCCCUGUGCUCUGCCUGCAUGGCUCGCCCGGAUUUCCGUGCGAUUUGCAUGAUUUUGAUCUAGUAUCUGAAUUAAAAGAUUCUAUUGCUACUCUUUCUGCUCAUAAUAUUGGAGCUUGAAUGCGUUAGAUAUGCUGUGUAUGUCUGCUGAUGUUGUUCAGUAUUAUGGCUUUGCAGUUGGUGGCAGCAGGCAUCGAACCUGGCUAACUAUGAGCAACAGGAUGCGCAUGAAUUUUUCAUUUCCAUUCUCGACAGAAUCCAUGAAAACAUGGAAGAUGACCAGCACAAAUCUCGAAGCCAAGGUUGUUAUGAUCUUUCUCGGUCCAUUUACUCUCAAGUUUACAGAUGCAUUUGCCCUGGGGGAAGCAAUUUUGAUCUGUUGCUGCAUAAUUAACCCAUCACUGGGUGGUGCUGACUGAAUGAUCCUUGUAAAAGUGUUUUUUUUUUUCUUUAAAAAAAAAAAAAACCUCUUUCUGCUAUUGGGCCACUUCACAUAAUUUUUUUUGACUUAUGAUAAAAGUUUUCGGCUUGGAUUUUCACGUGCCCUAUCUGUUUUAGAAAAUAACGCUGCACAUUAUGUUUGAUCAUCGACAUGACAGUCAAUAGCGCCUGUGAAGUGUCAUUUUUACGGAUCAUAUACCUUACUUUUAUCCCAAGAGGAUGCAGCUCAGAAUUUGUGAUUGGACAGUUGAACGAUCCCCCUUUGUUGAGAUAUUUUAUAGCCUAGAUUUCUUACCAGGCAUUGCAGAAGCCCAGAGAUUUGUUUAUUUUCCAUCUUUAUACAGUUGGAGGUUACCCCUGUCAUCUUUCUGUGCUUAUUUAUCAGUUAUUCAAGUAGAUGAACCUUCUAUCAUAUUGAAGCUACAUUGUAAUUAGAGUUUGGUGGUGAGGUUGGGAAUUACUUUCGAUUGAGUACAAAAUUGAAUUUAAAUUCUUUUAUGAAGUACAUUGCAAAUCCCAAGUUUGCCAUCUACGUCAAACUUUUUGUUUCCCCUCCAGUACACUAUUUCUAUGUCACUUCUGUUACAUAAUUAAUCUUCUUCGUUCAUUUUAACUGAUCUAUUUUAAAUUUGUUUAUUUUAUAACAGGCCAUAGAGACUGUUGCAUCGCGCACAGGGUUUUCUCUGGUGUCUUGAGAUCAGAUGUGACUUGCACGAAUUGCGGUUUCACAUCCACCACAUACGACCCUUGCCUAGACAUCUCCUUGGACUUGGAUUCUGGCCGUAACAGUAUGGCCUCCUUAAAACCACAUAUUCGCAAUGGGGAGAAAGACUUGAGCUAUGGAGUAUCCACACUCAUGAGAUGUUUGGAGAGCUUCACAAGGCCCGAGAGGUUGGAUUCGGAGCAAAAAUUCUUUUGUCAACGCUGUAAAGAUAGGAAAGAAUCCCUGAAGCAGAUGUCUAUAAGGAGGCUUCCAUUAGUUACCUGCUUCCAUAUCAAAAGAUUCGAGCAUUCAUCGGUCAAGAAGAUGUCGAGAAAGGUCGACCAUUAUUUGCAGUUUCCAUUUUCUCUUGACAUGACUCCUUAUCUAUCAUCCUCCAUCUUAAGGAGCCGAUUUGGGUACCGAAUAUUUCCUUCCGUUGGUGAUGAUUCCGAUGCAGCUAAUGAACUAUCAUCGGAAUUCGAGAUAUUUGCCGUGAUUACACACAGCGGCAGAUUAGAUGCUGGCCAUUAUGUAACUUAUCUCCGGCUUAAUGAUCACUGGUACAAGUGUGAUGAUACUUGGAUAACAAGUGUGGAUGAGAAUAUCGUGAGGGCGUCACAAGCGUACAUGUUGUUCUAUGUACAGAAGAUGCUCUGCUAUGAGGCAAGAGAAGGUGUGGCUGCAUCAUAAUUUUAAUGAAAGACGGAUUUGGGAGUUUUUAGAACUAGAUUGACGGCCCUAAAUUUCAUAGAAAAUCCUUUAAUCUCUUUCGUAUGAGAGAUUGGUGGAUUUAGGGCGCUUUCAAUCAAUCAAGAGCUAAAUAGAUGAUCUUGGGAAUUUCGGGAAAGAAGGGAAUUUGAUGGGGAAAAUCAAAGUCAAGACUCAUUUAAGAGGGAAGUGGCGGAGAAGAAAAUCGGUCGAAGUUUGGAUUUCCGCUUCCUAAUUCACCUACUAUUAUAAUUUAAGGAUAGAGAUGGGCGGUUUUCGCAUUGAUGCCAAAACAAUUUUGGCAUUGUUUUGAUGUGCGGCAAUGUUUUCUAACCAGUUAAUUGCUGAUAAUUUAUAAAGCACAAACAGAAAUGAGGAUAAAAGGAACCUAUUUUUUUUGCGGUGUUCCUUCCAAUAGAAAAGCUUUGUACUAGAGUACAAUUUUGCUAAAUGAUCUGUUUCCUCUUAUUAUCUCUCUGUCUUUCUCUAAUUUUUUGCCGUGUUUUCUGUGCCAUAUUUUUUGUGGUUAUGAAAAGAGAAUUCAUGCCUUUAUUUUAGUUUACAAAGGCGGAAGGCCCCAUGCUUUGCGAGAAGUCCCAGUCAGUUAAGAGAGGACGAUACAGAGGGAUAAGGAGAAUAGAUGACGGGAUAAAGAGGGAAAAGGAGAAAGGACGAGGAGAUGAAGAGGGAAAAUGAGAGGGGUGGACAAAGGAGAGAUUGUGCAACAUUGCAUAAGAAUGAUUUCUCAUGUGCAUGAUUUGGUUUCUGCUCUUUAUGACACUGAUACUAAUCGUUUGGAAACCCAUUCUGCAAAUGCAUUGACUGAGACAAAAUUCCUGCAAAUACAACCACUUGAUCAGAAUGUAUUUAGUCACUGUAGAAAAAAUUUGUUCAACAUGUAUAUAUGAUUUCAUAUGAUUUGUGCUUAUUGCAGCCAUUUCAACUGAUAGCAAGUUACUUCGAUGGUGCAAUUCAGGUUUGAUCAGAAUGUGGAAGCUUUGGAUACAUAACAUAAAAACCGCACCCUACAUGGCAUGGUGCAUAGUUUUUUUUUUUUUUUUUGAGAAAAAUGCAUGCGUGCUGAUGUUUAAAGAUGAGUUUAAAAAGCGCAAACUGAAGCGCACGUCAUUAUGCUUAUGAGGGUUGCGGUUGAUAUAUUGCAUUACUGCAUGCGAUUUUGUGUCUACUUGUUUCCUGCAAGUGCAUCAGAAGUCUAUCUGCAGUAGGUAUGCUGUGAUUUUGAUGUUUUAAACAUCUUGCACUGCAUAGAGCCCAUAUAGAAAAUUUUGAAAGUUGACCUUAUGUUUCUUCUUCAUACAACUAAAUUUCUUGCAUUUAUUGCAUUGAGCAUCUAUGUUGGCUGUCUUGUUUUAACAGUUCUGGAUCUCCUUGUUCUACCAGUUUAGCUGUAAGCUAAAAUGUAUAUAUCUCUCGUAGAAGAACAUCAGCUACCCACAAGAAGAGAGAGAGAGUUGAAGAGAGAGACUUUUGACACCGAAAAUUAGCACAGAAGAUACGAAACACGGAAAGAGAUUUUGACCUAGGCUGACUUCAUAGAAAGCUAUGCCAUAGAGUAGUAGUAUGGUUUGUGUCAUGCCCCGGGUCCAGCAUUACCCAGGCUCACCAACAGAUCCGCCGCAUAUAUAGAAAGUCCUGUGUACAUGAAGCAAUAAAAGCAUCCAUAAAUAAUUCAAGAACAACUAUUAGAGUAUAACAGAGCUAUUAAAACAGAAAUAAAUAGUCAUCUAUACACACAUGAAAUCUAAGGUGUACAACAUAAACGAAAAGUACAACAUCACCUGCUCAGAAUCCUUAAUUGAUGAAACAAAAUACAACUGUAUGUACAUGACUAUAAACAACUACCGUCUCCAAAAUGGUACUCCUCUAGCUCAACUUCCAGCGUAAACAGGGAUCUAACUCGUGACCCUCUUAUCUCGAUCAAAAGCAGUAAUAGCAACUAACAGCUUUGUAAAAAAAAAGUGGCAAUAAUAGACGUGAGAACUACUAUAAAAUUAAGUAGUCCUCAGUAGGUAACAUUACCGACCUCAACGGUUUACCCACUAAGUCUACAAAACUAACAAUAUAGCUGUUAGAUAAAAACUACAGCUAAUAUGCCACUACUCAUGUCAUACUCACUGUACACAUAUGCAUCAAUAGCUACGAACAAUCACAACUGACCCAAUCUACAGGAACCACCAACCGGCCAGUCCAGCAUGUGCCUAAGCUACUAAGCGCACCACCCACGGGGACGGCCGACCAAAGUAGAAUGCCUAAAGGGGCAACUGCGACAUCAAUGCACGAAAGCCAGACUCUGGGGCGGCACUCGAGGGCAUGAACCUACCGAGUAUAAAAGCGUGUAUUUUGUCGAGCUCAAAUAGGCUCCCACAGGCUUUACUCGAUGCAAAUGGUCAAAAGAAUCCGAAAAUCAAAGCUCUCGUGCUCUUGAUACAAUCUAAUGCAAAAGGUAAGGAUCUGGGUCCACCACCGUUAGUCCGGACGACACCCGACAAUACAAAACAACCAAAACUCUGCCGUAAAAAUCCACUCGACAUCUUAGCACGAGCGUAAUCUCAACCUAUCCGUGACGCACUAACAUCGGCGAUACAUAGUAAAAACAGCUCCUGAAGCUAAGUCUGAAUCAAAUAGAUGACAAGUUCAAUAGAUGAUGGAUGCAUUUUUAACACAUGCUGAAAUUUCAAUAACUUAGAAUGAAUUUCGAAAAUUUCGGUAAAUUAACCCACCUUAAGUUCUAGUCCACCCACGGCAAGGAACAACUAGCUCAAAAUCUCUGCUCACUGUCCUAAAAUCAAGUGAAACUCCUUCCCAGUCUAGAAAUGCAUUUAGGCAAAUCAUUAACGCAUUUAAAGAUCAAAUAAGUUCAAUUACAUUCAUUUCAGCUACAAAAAUAGAAUCUAGAUCAUAAUUAACCCAAUUUACCUCAUCCACUAGUUAAGGUCAGCUCCAACACCCCAGGAUUUAUAAGGAAAUUUGAUCAAAGUUUCCUUUCCAUACAAUUACACAAUUUGGAAGAAGAAAAAGGAGACCAAAACUAUUAAUUCUCUCAAAUUCAACAUACCACUGACAUUUGCUCCAAUUAAGCUAUAAUUGGCUCAACUAACCUGUAAAUCAAGUAGGGGGAAGCUCUAAAUUCAUAAUAUGGGAAAAACAAACUGUAAUGUACUGAAUCCCUAGUGUGUUGUACUGAACUUUGACCAAAUUGGCCAAAGUGCGUGAGGGAUGAUUUGGAAAGGUCCAUGUAAUUAGGGGUGGAAACGAGCCGAGCUCGAGCGAGCUUAUGUCAGCUCAAAUUCGACUUGAAAUUAAUUUCGAGCCUAAAUCUAGGCUCAAGCUCGGCUUGAAAUUAAUUCGAGCCGAGCUCGAGCGAGCCUAAUUUCGAGUCGAGCCGAGCUCGAGCUCUAAACGAGCCUAUUGAAAUUCUCGACAUUACAUAAUCAAUAGUUUAAUUUUUAUAUAACAUUACCUAUAAUUUGAUGCAACAUGUUCAAUAAUUUAAAAUACAAAAUAAUUGCAAGAAAUGUGAGCUAGGGUGACUGCCUGAUUGGGUGAGGGUUUGAGGGAGAACGAGAGAGAGAGGGGGGGGAAAAAAAUUAGGGAUUUGAGAAUUUGAAUGUUAUCAUGUUUUAGGAUUAUGUGCAACAGUGAAAGUCUGAAAGAGAGAGUGUGUUAUGUAAAUUUAGAGUUGGGGCUCAAUUGCACGGUUGUACUUGUUGGAUUUAUUUUAUGGGCAAACAAUAAUAGCCCAAAUUAAAUUAAAGCAUAUAUAUUAUAUAUAUAUAUAUAUAUUCGAGCUUUUCGAGCUUUUCGAGCCUAAUUCGAACGAGCCGAGUAAUACUCAAGCUCGGCUUGAAAUGAAUUUCGAGCCUUUUAUUUUGUUCAAGCUCGGCUUAUUCAAUUUCGAGUCGAGCUCGAGCGAGCCAAAUAUCGAGCCGAACACGAGUCGAACGCGAGCCGGCUCGCUCGUUUGCCAGCCCUACAUGUAAUGUUCUGAAAGCUUCGGAGCAAUUAGAAGAGAGUUUGGGACCCGGGAGAGCAAAACCUAAAAUUUCAAUGCAUUUGGGCAUUUUUGCUCUCGGGUUCCAAACCCUGUAGUAGGGUCCGGACCCUGGCUGCAAGAAGAUAAAAAAAAAAGAGGCAUUGCACUUGGGUUCUGGACCCUGUUGUAGGGUUCGGACCCUGCACACGCAGAAUAGGUGGUUGGAGAAGGGGGUUUUUUGCAAUUAUCGCAAUACCCUUUAUAUAGGGAUGUUGGAUGGGUUUUCUCUCAUUUUACACACCUCUCUCUCUCUCUUUCACACACUCUCAUUCCUCCCUCUUUCUCUCUCUAGAGAUCGAGCCUCUGACGCCUGAGAAUCCAUCGCUGGAGCUUGAAAAGGUUACAGAGAAGGAAGGUCAAGCUUUUGGAGCGAAAGGAGCUUGAACUCACCAGAGGUGAAGGUGAGAAUCUUGAGUUUUGAGUUAGGGUUUUUGGUAAAUCCUUCGAAAAUAAGAUAAUUGGAAGCCCUACAUGAUUCCAAACUAGAAUAUUGUAUAAAUCACAAAGAUUUUUGGUUAUUUUGCAAAAAAAAAAGGGGGUUUCUAAGGUUUAGAAAGAGGCUUUUUGGAUUUGUAGGGUUUUGAUCUAAAUUGAUCUAAUAAUUCUCUAAUUGAAGGUUGUAGAAAACGCCUAGUAGUUUCGAUUUGAAGAGUAGUAGCAUUUCGGUGGUCGAUUGAGGAAAGUUGAAUCGAAAUUGAAGAAUUUCAUUCGUUAGCACUGAAAAGUGCCGAAUUGGUGUCGGAAGUUAAAUUACUUCGAUUUUUCCACAAUUGACAUCGAAUCGAGCUAGAUGGUGCUAUCCGAAACAAUUGGAUUUCUUGCUAUAUCUAUUUUGCCAUUUUGGUCAUAUGUGUAUACAUUCUAUGCAUAUAGGAUUAUUAUUGUGUUUGAGCUUUCAAUUUCCUUGCAUGCUUCCUAAAGUAGGGUUGGAUAAGUUGGGUUGAGAACUCAGUACUUGGACGCAUGAGGAUUGGGUCGUUGGAUAUUGGGAACACUAUAAAUGCAAAGAGCUAGAAUGCGAACUUAGAAAACAUUGUGAGACAUUGGUGACAUAAACUUGGUGGCAUCUCAUGACUAGUUGUAUUUGAUAGCACUUUGUUGAGUUAGUUGCUAGGGAUUGGUAGAUCCCCGGAUGUUGUAACCCUUGUUUGUAAGGUGUCCUUGAUAUAAGAGGACUAGAUCGUACUCACACAUAGUUUGUCCAGUUUGUUGGUGGUCGCAGCACCACAAGUAGUGAGCUCAUGAGUUGUCACGUAUGGGUUGAGCGGCUAUCUCCCCUACAGACUGCCCUUGAUUGGUUGAGCGGCUAUCUCCCCAUGGGCCUUGGUAUGUGAGUGGGCUCAACCUUCGGAUGAGACAAUAUAAUUGGGUUCAAAGGUAAAAUGGGUAAGCAUCAUGAGCAUAGUAGUAUUUAUUGUUUACCCAAUUUCAUAUUGUAGAGGCAUAGUAGUUGUUUCAGUUGCAUAUUAUUGUUUAUUCCCUCUUAUUACUUAUGCCUAAUUAGACUUAGUGAAAGUCAGUGGGGUCGACGACCGAACCUACUAGGAACUUUUUUUAGUUCUCACACCCUUGUUUUGCAGAACCUGGCACGAGCGGAACGGUCGAGAAUCCAGGCAAGGGCAUUGCGCCCUAGGUAGUGGACUAGCAUGUAUUAGUUCACCGUAUAUAUUAGAGAGGUGCUUGUAUGUUAUAAGAGAACUUGUAGAGGCGUCACUUUAGGAGAUGAAAAUGUAUAUGUCAUUGUAAUAUUGCAUGUGUGUAACAUGUACAGAAAUGGAUGUAUUUUGGCUUGAUUGUAUGUGAAGCUUAAGUGUUUUAGUUGUAUUACUUAAGUAAUCGCUCUCUCGCUCUCGUGUAAUUGCCCUCCUACAAUUCAUGUUAUGUUGUUUUUUUUCUGGGCAAAACUCGAUAAACAUGAUGUUGUUUGUGCCUUGGGCGGACAUGGAAGGCUCUGUCUAUUUGUUGGUCUGUGUGCGUGCCCGAACCGACCAAACUGGCGGUCUCAGAGCGUGACACAAACACCAACCAAUCACCCUACAAGACUCAGCUACAAGAACCAUAUCAAAGAAUCAAUAAAGAUUCACACUACUUCAAAAAUUCAGCUCAAACCUCAAUCUUGCAUCAAUUCCCUACAUACUAACUUUAAUUCUAGCUAGUGUAAGAUGCAAGUUUGAGCUUCGCUAUUUCCUUCUCCUCCCCACGUAUCUUAAUUUUGAAAUGGAGGCUUCCAAGGGCUGCAAUUACUGCAAUGGUUGGCAGCCAGCUACUAGUGCAGCUGCAGUUUGCUUGCUGCCAACCAACAGAGAGAGAUAUAGCCAGCAGGGAGAGAGCGAGAGGAAGAAAGGAAAGAAGAAAAUAAGGGAGUUAUUUAAGUUGACCCUCAACUCCUCAACACAGGUAACAUCCAGUAGUUACCAACAAAUCUUAGCAAGAAAAGCUGGAAAUGGAUUAAAAUCCAAAAUUUCAGCACAAUACUAUAUAGGUUGGAAAAAUCGAGUUAUCCAAAAUUCUCCCUUUACUAACCUCCAAAUGAGCUCCAAUAAUGUUCCAACUAGCUAUGGGUGAAGUUAAGCUUUCUACCUUCCAAACGUUCAGCUAUAGAGGAAAACCCAAGGUAAUUCCAUCAAAACUCAAGAAUCCCGUAGAAUGCAGUAAUUUCCCAUUCGGUUAGUAGAGCCCAAUGAAAAAGAAAUUCACACCAUAACACCUUUUAAUUUAGCUCAAUUAAACUUUUCUCUUGCUCCAAGUGAAGGUAGACUUGUCCCCAACUCCUAAAAAGCUUAGCUAAUGAAACAGAUUAAAAGAAAAUCCAUCAAAUCCAAGAUAUAGUCCAAAAUUCCAUCUCUAAUCUAACUGAAACCACGUCUACUAACCUGAAUUUCUAGCAUAACGAGAGAGUAAACUAAGUUGUAACACUUCAUUCCCCUAGCGCCAUAAAAUUGUGCCAUGUGGUGAGCCGGGAUGCAUCGUGGAAAUAGCUCCCAAAGCCAAAUAUAAAGUGACAUGUGGUGCACCAGGAUUCGAGAAGAAUGCGCCCAAAAACUAAAAAUCGGUUAGACUUGAUGCAGUUAAGAUCGGCCAGGAGCGUCCCGCAGAAAUAAAGACAUGGCUGAUAGUAGGAAUAACUGAAUAAAUAACGGGCGAGACUAUAAAUAGUUAGGAGACGCCUGAAAAAAGGGUCUUUUGCCCCUGAGAACAAGAAAGCCAAUCAAUUUUCGAGGCUUUUCUGCUUUUCUAAGAGUAGUCUACUUAUAAUCUCUCUUUCCAUUGCAUUUCUUGCUUUUCUAGGAAUAGUUUUAAGUUAGUUUCCCUAAAGAUCAGACGUCUUAACGACAUCUACCUUUCUGUAAAUGUUCCCCUUCUUUGGUAAUAAAUAUUCGCAUUAUGCGACUCAUUUUAGCCGAACCGAAUAUACAGUGCAACAUUUGACUCAGCUGAUCAGAUCCCUCAUCAGCUGAAUCACUUGAUUCAGUUAUGGGCACAAAUUUCGAGGGUCACUAUCAAAAGGCACUCUACUUCGUUAUGCACUUUCCAAAGGAGGACAUUUGACUGAGUCAACAAUCUAAGAGUUUCAGCUCAUAAUAAUUUUUUGGUACACUCGAUGGGACUUGCUCAGGUAAUUCCUCAUUCAUUUUGCUCUAAUUAAUGGCGACAAUCAUCAACCAGUGACUAACAAUGAUCGGCUACGGUUGGGAAUAGACAAGGAUAUGUCCUUGCAAUAGUUAAUGCUCAAUAUGGGUAGGCUGGCGCCACACAGGUUCGAGACCUAUUGGCUAUUGGAGCCCUAUCGGUAACGCCAUAAGUGUAGGUUACUAUGCAAAAUAUGGGCUUUGGUCAAUACAACUGAUUUGGCCAAGGUCAGCCUAUAUGGAAUGGUGUGGAGCACCAAAGUCACAAUGGUCAACGUAAUCGCUUUAAAUAGGAAAAACUUGCAUUCUACAAUGGAGGCCAGGGGCAAUUGGUUUUCACCACAAAGUGACUGGUCAGCCUUGCAAUUUUGUAGCAACCUAGCAGGAGCUCUGAUAGCAGAUCAAGAAGAUCCUAGCUACAAAAUUCAACUAAAAUUCAAUCUUCAGACCUCUAGCGAUCAAGGCGAUCCUAGUGACAAAAUUCACCUAAAAUUCAAUCCUCAAGGAACAUCCCUAAUCUUGUUUCAGCACCACCCCUACCUUGCACAUGUUGAAUAAUAUAAGUGGCCGAAGAUUUAUAAGGUACCGAAAUUAAUCAUUUUCUUAGAAAAAAGGCAACCAGUUCACCCAAAAGCACAUUAUGCGUUUUACCACCUUGUAUAGCGAGGUUGUAGCCCAUCCUACCUUAAAGCUGUGGCUCUUAAAGUCUGUCGUUGCUUUCACAUGAUAUAUCAAUCCGCUCGCAAAAGUUACAUGAGUUGUUCUAUAAGGUGGAGCCCGAUGUCUCAAUAGCUAACUGCACGAACAUCAAGCAGUGGCCGAAUAAGUCAAUCGAAGCUUACUUGGCUUGAUUUAAAGCGACUCGAAGCUGUUGUUAUCUGGAAAUCUCAGAGGCCAAAUACACAAAGUUGACCUUUAGCGAUCUUCAAUUUUGAUUACAAGACUAAUUUGAGGGAAUAAAAUUUUUUAACCUCUUCCAACUCAGCUGAUGGUCGCUCAAUAUGAGUAGUUCUGCAACCAUAAAGAUGAGAGGUAGAAAUUUUGAAGGCGUUGCAUGACCGUUAGAAACAACAUCUCAUAUCUUGAGUAUAAGAAAUUUGAAAGUGGAGGGACCCAAACAAAGACUUAGGUGAAGCCGAGCAUGAUGUCUGCAUUAGUCGAGUUAUUAAAAAGCCAACUAUAUAAGCGUUCGGCCUUAAAGCCUUAGAAGUGGGAAAAAGUAAGAAGUCUCAAAAAGACUUACUCUUUUUGAUAUAUUAAAAACUAAAUAGAUAUUUGAUUGUCUACUAAAGGAAGGUCAGAUCAAACUUUCAAAACGGCACGUCCCUCCCUCAAUAAACAACCUUAGAAAGAAAAAUUACUACAAAUGGCACAACUCUUAGAGCUAUCAGACCAAUGAUUGUAUUGCAUAUUGGAUAGAAAUCCCAAAAAAUGAUCAGAGAUGGUUGGUUGAUGUUUGUGUACCAAGACAACGGCAAGAGCAAAGAAAUGCUCAUUAAUACCAAAACUUUCCUAAUGUAGGUGAAUAUAAUAGCAUGAAAGAAAAGAAAUGAUGAGAUGGGGGUGAUGAGGGAAAAUACUCACAGGUCUAAAUCAACUAGAAUGACAAAAGAAACUAUCACAAUAUCACCCUCGAAAAAAAAUGAGACCGGGGAAGGAAACACACCACCAGCAAUAAUAACAGAUAGUUGACCAUAUGACCGACAGGGAGAGUUUUAGUUUGCUCCUUAUCAACACUCGGGUCUUCUUUUGUCUACAACAUGGCCCAGUUCACAUAGUGAGUGUCAAAAGAAGCUAGAGGAAGAAUGUAGGCAAAAUUCGUAGAGAUGACUAUGUUGUCCGGGGAGACUAGUUGAGUAGUAGGCCACACAUAAGAGAUAGAAAAAGUAAGGUGAAAUUUCAAUGUGCGCUAUGAAGAAAACAUUUAUAUUCAGCAGGAAGUGUAAAAGAGAGCUCGUUGAAAGGUGGCUCGCUGAUAGUGUCAGAGAGUCAUCAUUGGCCCUGCCACCAAAGUAGGCUGAGUGGAGGGUCUCGACGAAGCCAAAAAGACCUCUGGAGUAUUUAAAAUUUCUUUCUCAGUAUUAGAAGUGGUGUAUCCUCCUCGAUACUGACAUAAAAUAACAACAGGAUGAAAAAGAAUGCAAUGCUAGAAGAAAAGAAUAAAAAAGGCUUCACAAACUAUAACACACUGGACCUGUGCAAAUUGCGAGGUUUGAGUGCUUGACUUGGAUUUCGAGCUUUCCACACUGGGUGGAGGGUCGUAGAUGGUAUUCCGACCUAAAAGUUCGAAAUUCUGGAUUUUGGCUAAGUCCUUAGAGUUUUCACUCUCGGGGACCGGUCCCUGGUGGAAGAGACCGGUCCCCCCGGAAUAGUGUUGCGGCAGACUUUAGGCAACCGGUCCCUGGUAGGGAGAGACCGGUUCUCGAGAGCUUGUUUUGCGGGAAGGUCCCGAGGGACCGGUCCCAGCUGGGAGAGACCGGUCCCUCUGGGUGAAAAUUGCUCAGUUCGGGCUAAUGCACAGAUUGGAUUCUUAAGGGGCCUAAGUGGAUUUUGUUACAUAAGAGGGCUUUUAGGCCAUUUCCUCUCUCUCUUUUCCUCACUUCUCACUCUCUCACACACUCUAGAAAGAGUAGGAAAAUGAGAAGAAGGAGAAGAAGAAGAAGGAGAAGAAGGAGAGCAAGCUUGGAGGCUUUGGAGCACCUUCCUCUCCCUCAUUUCUCACUAUUGGAGGCUUGGAGCUUGGACUUGGACCUUUGUGGAGGAUCAAUUUUCAACCCUUGAGGAUUUUGAGCUUGGUUUGGAGCAUCCUAGAGGUAAGUGACUAGCUUCUUUCCUCUAGAUCCUAGUUUUGGAGUUUUACACUAAAUGAAACCCUAGAUUUGGAUUUUAGGGUUUAUUUUGGGGAUUUUUGAUUUGAGGGCUUUAGGGCCCAAUUGAUUGGUUUAGAACCUUCCUUUACGUUGGAUUGGAAGGGUUCUUGCUCUCUUUGGAAGCUUGAGAAGAGAUUUCUACACAGGAGGUGAGUUUUGCUCUUUUCUUGAAUCGGUUAAAGAUUGAGCUUAGUAUUGUUCGUAAGGUUCGUUUGACUCUUGUUCCUACAUCUUUAGGGUGCUAGGAGACUAGUGGACACCUCCGUUCGACGAAACAAAGAGUUCCGUUUUUCGGUGGAUUUGACUUCAUAAAAACGGGGCAAAAUGGCCCCUAUGCUUCCUAUACUUAUCGUAAAGUCUUUUUGAAUGCAAAUCCAUGCUAGAUAGGAUUUAUGUGAAUUUUAGAAUACUUAAAAUGCAUGUGCUAUGUGUAAGAUAAAUUUCACUCUAUAUAGUAGAGCAUACUGGGUAAUUCUCAUGCAUGUGAGAGGUGUUCGAGAUAACAAUGAGAAUCAUGUCUCUUAUGUUAAGUCAGCUCAUAAUUGUGUAAUUGCAAACACUAUACUAUGAUUGGACUUAGUGAAUAAAGUGUCAUAAAGGGGCACUUGACUUAGUAACUAUGAAACUGCUAUAAUGAGACAUAGUGAUAGGCUAUUGAUAUCUAUUACUUCCAUAUUUUAGAUAUGAUGACUUAGAGAUAGGCCAUUGAGAUAUGUGACAUAUUCCAUGUUGUUAGACAUGAGGACUUGGUACUUGAGACGGAUCUUACGUUCUUGCCAUUGUGCUCAUUCGCACAUGCUUGUGAGGGUCGCUCCCUACAAGCCGGCACUCCGGAGAUAGCCAUCGCGAUACAUAUUCGUCGUGGGGGAUUGGGCGCCAAAGUGGAUUGCCGUGGGCUAGGCUCAUCCCUAGGGUGGGGAUGUUGACUACCACGGGGCCAUUAGGUUCGGCACCGGCCAGACAGCCUACGAGUGGGUCUCAGGGCCAGAUAACCUUCGGGCGGGUCUCUUCAGAUUUGACUUUGAGCAUUCAUCAUGACAUGUGGACAUUGACUAGAAUAGUAAACUUUUACUAUUACAUUGUGGACUUUAUGUUGGUUGCAUAUUCGCUCGUAUUCUUGGUAGAAUAGCUUUCUUACUUAUGCUAAAUCAUGCUAAGUAGAGAUAUCUUGUGGUAGCAAGUAUUCAUGUUUAUUUACCUGUUGUACAUAUCGCUCUUACUCCUAUUGUUGACUGACCCCUUUUUGUAGCUUCUGGGCCUAGUUGUGCAUUUCACUGAAGUCAUUAAUUGCCCACUGGGAACUAUUAUUUAAUAGUUCUCACGCCCCUAUUUCUAUGUUUUCUUUUCAGAGCCUUCGGCACCGACGGAGGCACGGGGUCGCGGCAAGGGUGUCGCCUAGCUCGAUACAUAGCGGAGCUCGCUUUUGCUCCUAGGUGGUUACUCUCUUUUUGUGUUUUUGUGAGAGAGAGGUUUUGUACCAUGUAGAGAGACCACCUAUGUACCUUGUUUAGCUUUUGUAUUUGGGACUCCUAUUGUACUACUUUAUGUUUUUACAUAGUGGAUUUAGCCUUAUGUUCUUUUCCCUUAUGGUAGCUUAUAGACAUACUUUGCUAUGAUACUUCUAGAUAUUCUCCUUUUGUUGCCUUAUUUAUCGCUUCGUUAUUUCUUUUAUUGUUUUGUCUUAGACGCCUUAUAUGUUUUAGACAUACGGCAGGUCUGGGCACGCGCCAGGCGGGCUUCCGCUGGAUUCCGAGGCGUGACACCAACCAAGAGAACUACUAGUCAACUGUCUUCCACCUAAAUCGCUUGCAUCCACCUCCAAUGGGCGAGCACCUGCAAAAUUGAUUUUGAGUAACAAAAAAGCAAGCAAAGUAGAACAUGGGUAAGCCUUAGAUGUUUACCACAGCACCACGGUAGGAGUGUGUCCUUCUAUCACUGACAUUUUCUUUUCUCUCCAGAAAACAUCAGCUUCGGGGGGGGGCUAAAGACGACUUCAUACUUUCUCUCUUUUUUCUAAUCCAUCAAACCUUGACUGUAGCAGAGGUUUCAAACCCUCAGGAGUUGGAACUUAUUUUCGUUGGCCUUUGGUUGUUUCCAAUGGGAUCGACAUGAAUCUCGCCGAAAUAACCUCGAGGGAAAGCGAGAACGAAAUCAUGUCAUAGGUGCUAAAACAUGAGGUUCUGGCAGUCUUCGAAAGAAAGUAUUUAGGGGAGAAGUCGGUCACAAAGCAAUGAAUGAUGAAGUACUUCUAUGUCCCCCGAAGUUCACAAUGAUAAUAGUCAUCGGCAGAGGAUGAGAUUGAGUAAAGUUGAACUGAUAGGCAAUGAUGUGUAGUAGAUAUACUUCAAAAUCCAGGGAACUAAAACUAAUUUGAAGAUAGCAUGGCACCAGAUUGAAUUUCCAUACAUCGCAAAAAUUUGCCUAGAAUAAUGUGGUAUCGAAGGAAGGUAGUAGAGUACUAAGUCUGGCUCGGAUUCAACCAGGAUUGGAAGAUAUGGAAUCAAAGGAGACAAAUUUUUGAAAGUAUGCACCUCAAUCGUAUAAAAGAAAGAGAAGUGCUGGCUAAAGGAUGAUUUAGGCCAAUCCUUCCAUGCUAAGGUGAAGAGGUAAAGAUAGGUCCUAUAAAUAGGAUGAUCAAUUAAGCCCGCCAUUGGUAGUUUGGGUGUCAACUAUAGGAAACUAAAUGCAAAACUAGAGAUGCAAUAGCCAAAAUUGCUCACAAUUUUUGGACCGGUCCCUAAUUUUUUGAGCAUCCUUCACCGCUGUCGAAAUUUGUUUAUAUAGAUUGGAGAGGAUAUGAGGGUGAGAGCUUAUUUAUGAACCCAUGGUAGGCAGAUUACCAGCUUUAUAUAAUCCUUCUCUACCUUCAACAAAGGAGAAUAGAAUAGGAGUUGACACAACCAGUAAAAUAGGAACGUUGUGUGCUCAUUGUCAUCCACUACGAUUUCUUUUGCAUCGAAGAUGGCAAGGAAAGUGAUGUAGGGCAUAGAGGCAUUGUUGAAUCGACUUAGAUGACUUGUAUCAACCUUCACACAAGUACUGAGGGCCUUCUCGAGGCGCCAGAGGUUAGCGAUGGCAACAAGGUCAAAAGAUGUCGAAGUAAAAAUGCCUUACUAGUAAGAGAAAGAAUUUGUGGAAGUGACCAAAAGGAUAGAGAGGUAGCAAAGAUAUGUUAGUCAGCUUUCAUGGACAUCUUUGACAAUUGAAUAGCAUCGAAAUUGUCUAUAUUAUUAUGGAAAUCACCCUAGGUUUCUUCAACUUAGGCUACCCAUUAAAGGAACUCCCUGGAAGGGCUUGGCCAUGACUAGAGAAUAUAGCUGUGAAGAUGCAAAGGAAAGGGUGGUAGGAAUCUAAAAACAACGAAGAGGUGAUAGAUGGACUAAAGAUGAAAUGGGAGUCCAAGUCAGAAAACAAACGAAGAAUCUACAGAUUAACAAUGGCAUUGUCGAGAAAUGCAUCGCUGUUAGGAGAAAGUACCGAAGAGAAGGCCAUUACAAAGAAGCAGAUACAAGAAAUCAGGAAGAAGGAAGAUGAAAAAUUAGUUGCUUCGGUGAAGAAAGAUUAAGGUUUCAGUGGGAAAACAGCCAAAAGUGGGGAUAUUUAAACGAAUUAUCCAAUCAUUAUGAAAGGCCACCUAUCCUGUGAUGCAACGGUUCACAUCUAAAAGAAUCGUAAUGAUGGAAGUGGACUUAAUGCAUGUGCGAAAAUCCAAUAUAGUGGGUUGCUGCAUGUCGCGUCAAAAAGACAUAGAAUUCAAAGCGGUGGCACUAGGUGAUCCGAUUAUUGCUUGUCACUAUACAAGAAAUGUCGUGGGGUGCCAUUGUUCACACUGAAAAUAGCAUUGAACAUACGAAGCUUCGAAAGAGAUUUCGGUGCAGAUCCUAGCCUUUGGUAGAAGACUAUGCCAAAGAAUACCGGGUUUUGGUUUUGGUAUCACACCCAAAUACUCCAACUUUGGGAAGUAAAGAGCAAGCCCAUUUGAACUGUCAUUCAAAAUUCAAAAUGGCAUGAUCGAGGGUGAGAAUCUCGAAAGUAGUUGAGGAUAGAGGGCUAGCAAAUAGUGGGAGCUACUCUGAUAAUUACAACUGCUUAUAAAAGAAAAUGAACACCUACAGAAAAAGGAUCCAAACAUUAUCUUAGGCAUCGCUCUAUACUUGCAUCCGAGAAGUAGUACUCGUAUUGUAGCUUAAAAGUAGUUGUAAUACAAUUAAGGAGUAGAUAUAAUAUAAUCGCCACCUUCCUUCCGCCACCGUCUCAAUAGUUGAUGACCGCCGACAACUACCACUCCAACCAUUGCCCAACCAUAUCGUCUUCACCGGGAAACGCUUCUCCACACCACGUGCUGUCACCCAUGCAGAUUUACCUCUUCGAAGACCACCAACAAUCAAUGGUCUGUCUCUCUACUUUCGGUCCCGACAACGGCCAAACCACGAUAAGCCGAAGUCACCAAACCUUCAGUUUGCAUGUGAAGACCGCAAGGCUUUUCCUCGAGUUUGGAUCUGACCACACUGUUCCCUCUCCAGUCUUCACCUAAGACCAUGUUAGAUCAAGCCUUCGCAUUGAGGGACAUGUCAAUUGGCAGGCCAAUCCAAUCGCACCAUGUUUCGCUCUGCAAUUUCUCCACCAACUAAUACUUAUUUGAAUGUGAAGUUAUUGAUUAUUUACUUGAGACAGAGGAGAUAGACAUAGGAAGAGAUAAGAGUUAGAUUUGUAGUUUGAUUCAAGAAUAUUUUUGGAAGAAAUGCCAACGAUAUGCAUUUCAUUCGUUCAAUUAAAGCGAACAACAAGUUGUCAUGUGAUAGUUCAAGAAUAUUUUGGAAGAAGUGACAAAUAUAUGUAUUUGAUUCAUUCGAUUAAAAUGAACAACUGAUUAGCAUUGUUUUAGUGGGAUGGAAAUGGUAGGAUUAAUUGUAAUAAUGGCCUCCAAACUUUCAUAAAAGUUUUAAUUUAUCUCCUAUUUUUUUAGCAUGAUUCUAAUACUCCUUGAACUUCUAUAAGUACAUUAAUUUGGCCCAUUUGGUCAUCCUAUGUUGAUUUUACUAAUGGAAAAUGAUCAGAUAGCUUAUUGGCAUUUUGUUUUCUAUGUAUACUCAUACGUAUGCCUAAGGUGUGAAUUAGAGCUUACAAUUUGACAAGAUUAAUACUACUUUUAGGAGAACAGAGGCCUUCGUCCUUCUAAGUCGUUUUAGAUGAUAGAGAUUUCGAAUCGAUGAUCGAAAUUGUUAAAAUUGAUCUAGAUCAGUAUUCAAAGUGUUUAGAAACUAAAUUUCAUAAAUUUUAAAAAUUAUUUACGUAGUGAUCAAAUGAUUACAAAAUCGAUAGUUUUUUACGGCUUAUAUGAGCCAUUUGCUUGUUUAAUGGUAUAGAACAAUCCAAACAAUUUGAAUUUUUAAUAGAAAAUUUUGUAUAUAUUAUUUAGUUAACGUUUGAUAAAUUUGAUCAUGAAUUGAAAAAGUCUAACAUCUAUUUUCACAAGGUUAUUUAUUUUUUACCAUUCAUUUUGCGACUCUUCAAUAAACUUGAUAACGAAUUUUAAAAUUUAUAAAAUUUGGUUUUUAGACGUUAUAAAUACUUUAGAUCAAUUUUAAUGACUCCGAUCAUCUAUCCGGAAUCCCUAUCAUCUAAAACGACUUAGGAGGAUGAAGACUUCCAUCCUUCUAAAAGGAUAGUAGUAACUAGACUCAGAUUAAUACUUCAACUUUUCAGAACAAAGCUUAUUGCAACAGUAAUUAUUCUUUUUUAUGUGGAAAUUAAGGAUUUGAACCAAGAUGUUUGUCAGAAAUGCAAAAUUUUUGUCCAAACCUCAUCCGUCUGCAACAAAUUAACUUAACAUCAGACGAUCGUAUGGAUGAAUCGAAUAAAUAUUUAUACAAGUUUAGAGGGCAUUAAGUUCAUUUUCGAAGAUUUAAGGCUAAAGUGGAACUUUAGGAGAAGUUUGCUGCACCAAUUGCAAUUAACCCACAAUGACGAUGUGGAUCACAUUAUAGCGAAAAUAGAAUAACAAAAGCAACAUCAACAACAUAUAUGCUCAAUCCUCUAAAGCAUGUUUGCUUCUAAUGGUGAUAAUAUCAACAACCGCAUUUUUUAUAGAGACAAAACAAAUAUAAAUUAUAUUAACUAUAUACACUAUCUAUAUCAAAUAUUCAACGAGAUCUCUCGUUUUUCAUCUUUAAUUAAAGAUUAUUUUUCAUCUUUUAAGAGGCAUGAUUGGAAAAUGGCUUUGUCCUUUCCAAAAUUAGCUCUAUGAAUAUCGAUCGGCACCUUAGGUUUAAAGAUAUUUAAAAUAUGUGUGAAUAUUGCCCACACCCCUUACAUUUUUACUGUCAGAUAUAUAUACACUUGGUACAAUGCAUAAAAUCAAAUACCCAAGUUAGUAGGGCUGUUACAACAGAUCCUUUAGUAUUGGAAACCCAAAUUAGUAGGGCUGUUACAACAUACCUUUUGGUAUUGGGAUUUUAGUUGAUUAAGGGGGUUUGUUGCCUAUUUCCAUAAUACCCCCCCGCAAACAAAUGGGAGGAAUUGAUCGCCAUAAAGCGAGACUUGUUGCAAAAGGCUUUCAUCAACGGCCGAGUGUGGACUAUAUUGAAACCUUUAGUCCUGUCAUUAAACCUGCUACAGACCCAUUAGAACUUAUUUGUUCUGAUUUAUGGGGUCCAGCCCCAAUUCCUUCUUCUGAUGGUUGCUUAUAUUAUGUACUCUUUUUUUAUCACUACAUUAAGUACACUUGGAUAUACUUUCUUCACCACAAAUCUGAUGUGUUCAAUUGUUUUGUCAAAUUCCGGGCUACAGUUAAAAAAUUUUUUGGGAAACCUAUCAAACAAUUCCAAUCCGAUUGGGGAGGGGAAUUCCAAGCCCUCAGACAUUACUUAGCUGAAAAUGCCAUUAUACAAAAAAGCUCUUGCCCACACACACCCGAACAAAACGGAUGUGCUGAACGAAAACACCGCCACAUAACUGAAACAGAACGUGCUUACCUAUUUCCAUAAUAAGGUUAUGUACUAUAAAAUGAAGCACAACAACCGUUAACUUGUUUUCUCAAAAGAUCCAUCCAUAGUAUAACCUGCUUAUUUCAACUCAAACUGUGGAGUGAAACUUUCAAGCGUAUGAACCUAGAAAAAUCACUAUUUAGCUCAUGCAAUAAAUUUUAUGGGAAUUGUUUGGUAAAAUUAGACGUACAAAAUUUAUCUGGACUACGAUUAUUUUUUUCCAGCCUUUUAAACUUUUGAUUUUACUAUCCGACCAUUUAAUAUAUUUAAUUUGAGUCGGUCAACAACAUUUUGAUUUUAAAAUUUGAAUGUAUCGUUCAUUAUUGCAUAUUAAUAUACUUUAUACAAUUCUUGUAACUACAAAUGUACUAAAAUAAGUGACUAACGUAAAUUCCAAGUCAACCUGCCAUUGACAGUGGCGGAUUCAAAAAUUUUUCCAAAUGUGGUCAUAUAUAUUAAUAAAAUAAAAAAAAGUAAAAAAAAAUAAACUAGUCAUUGAUAAUGUAUAAACAUAUAAUAGUCUUAUUUCGUAACAUCGUCGAAUACAUCUUUUUUUAUGUAUUUACUAGUCAAAAUUAGCGAUAAAUAAAUUACUUUCUUACAAAUCACAUUAAAUUAACCAUAUGCCAAUAGCCAACAAAAUAUAGAAAAAUAAAUUAAUAAUAUUUUUAAGAACUUAAGAGCACAAGGGUUGCUGUGCUCCUAAUAGCACAGUAACCCUACUCCAUAAAUUAAUAUACUAAUUAUAUUUUUAUAUACAAUAAAAACUCAAAACAACUACUGUUCAUAAAUAAAAAAAAUAAAUUCAUAAUUAAAAAAAUAGUAAAUAAAUUAUUCUAAUUACUGACCCUACUUUCGAGUCAAAGUUGACUCUAAAGCCGAGCCAAAAUGACAAAGGAAAGGCCAUAACGAUCUUUCUUUCGCUAUCACAGUAAGGUCAACAGGGUCGACACUGACCGUAACUAAUCAUUAAUCGACUCAAAUUAAAUAAAUAAAACUUUUAAAUAGUAAUAUUAAAUUUUUUAUUGAACGGGUCUACUUUCCGUCAAUCACCCAUCAGUGAAGCCGUUUCAUGGUCCCUCGAUCAGCGUGCAGCGUAACAAACAUCAUAAGAGCUCCCUUUCAUUUGAUGGUUCAACGAGAAUGUUCCGAUUGCUUCAUAUUGGUAAAAAUGCAUGAAGACCCCACUAACCUAUAAUCGCUCUCAAAUGGCCCCCUCAACUCUUUUUUCUUUUUUUUUUUUUUUGACAUUAAUUGUCUCACCAUUUUAUGAAUUGCAAUUGAGUAUAUUCAAUUUAUGACUAAUUUAAUCAAUUUUUAGCAAAUAAGAUAAAUCAGAUAACAGCUAAUAGCUACUAUAAUCGUUAAAUAUAUGAAAUUAACUUAAUGACUUAAACAAACAUAAACUAAAAAACAAAAAUAUUAAACUUAAGCGAGUAUCAAUUAAAAAAUUGGGUCAAUUUCAUAUGUUAAUAUCACAAAUGCCCUACCCAUAUUGACAAUACAUAAUCCGUCUGAAAAUUAAAUAUAAUUCUCAUGUUUCCCAUCAUCUAUUAUCUAUUUGUUUUAAUAAACUUAAAAUCUUUUCCUUGAAAACAUUAUAAAUACAAUUAAGAAUAUACUAAUCAAUGGAAAGAUCUUUUGCUUGAAAACAUUAUUAAUUAUAAUCAAAUGUAUACUGAAUUGAAACUAGUUAAUUAAAACAAAAUUAAAUUACACAAAUAGAAAACAAAAAGAAAAUCAUACUAAUUUAGACAAAAUAGAAAAUAGAUUCACAAAAAGUAUAAUAUAUUUUUAAUCUCAAUUAAUUUUUAAUUAAAAUGAACAUGAGAUCCAUAUGAUAUUGAAUUAAAAGAAAAAAAAAAAAAAGAUGAAGAGACAUUAAUAAACUAAAUCACAAACGAACAUCGGGUCAUUUUUCCAUGAGAAUAAAUUUAUCAGCCCCACAUAAUACGAUAUGAUUAUUUAUAAUUUAUAAUUAGGAGUCUAAACCUCUUAAUUAAUAUAACGGAGGACAAUUCUUUAUAUAAUUCAUUAAUGGGUAAAUUACACUUUUUGGUUCUCAAAGUAUAGGGCACAUGACACUUUAGUCCUCGGACUUUAAUUAAUUCGUUGUAAUUUCUGCCUCGAACUUUCUAAUUUUUUGUAAUAAAGUCCCGCAACCCAAUUCUUUUCAUUAAAUAUUGAUUAAUUACUAAUAUUGAAGAAAUGUAGCGAUACUGUAAUUGAUGAUGCAACAAUAGUUAAGACGCUACAUCACUUCUCCAUUAGGUGGUGUUUGGUUGUCUGUAAAAAUAUCCUAAAAAUUUUUUUUCCAUUGAAAAGUAAUUUUCUCUUGUUUGGUUGCUUGUAAAAGUAGGUGCCGGAAAAAAAAUUUUACGGAUUCUGUGUAAAAACCCAACUUUUCGUUUUCCGCCCAUCGCGGGCGAAAAACAAAAACUUGAUCCCAAAGUCAGGGCUACAGACGUUUAAAAAAAACGCGGUCACGAGAAAGUCUUGAUUCUUCGUGGACCGCGUGAGUGGUCCAACUGUGGACCACUCACUCACCCUCUCUUCUCUCAUAUAUAUAUAUAUAUAUAUAUGAGAUGGUAAAAAUAAUUAUAUAUAUUUAUAAAUAUAUAUAUAUAUUAUAUAUUUAUUUAUAUAUAUAAUAUUUAUUUAUAAAAUUUGUAAUUAUUAUUAAUAUUUCUAAAUAUAUUAUAUAUGAUGUAAUAUGUUUAUAUUAAUUUUAAAUAUAUUUAAUAUGUAUAUAAAAUUAUAAUAAUAUAUAAAAUAUAUUAUUAUAUAUAUUAAUAUUAUAUAAUAAAAUAUAUUAAAUAUUUUCAUCUAUUUUUUUCUUCCAACCAAACAAGCUUCAUGCGAAAACUAUUUUUUUUUCCAACAAACCAACCUUCUUUUUUUUAAUUUUUUUUCCACCGAAAAUUUUUUUCCACAGUUUUACAUGGAACCAAACACACCCUUAGUAAUUUGUCAAUAUUUCGUCAAAUAAAUUAGAUUGCAAUGUGCGAUUGUAAUAAUUUAAGAAAUUCAAAUAAGAAAUUGCAACGAAUUAAAGUUUGGGAACUAAAGUAUCACAUGCCCCAUAGUUUGAGGACCAAAAGUAUAAUUUAUCCUUGAUUAAUUUGUAGUGAAAAAAAUAAAUAAUAUUGAUAAUUUCGAUAGGGUAUCUGAACUACUUUGUUAUAACUUUUGAGAGGCGCAUCUGAAAUUGCUCCAAAAAAAGUUGAGGUCAGUGGGACACUUUCAAAAUGGCCUAUAGGUUAGGGGUGUCCACAAACUUUUACCUAUAAAAUUAUAUCUUUAUAAAAAUUAGUUCAACGGUUGGAUCGAAGUCUCCGGUUUGAACGAAGAAGAGUUAAUAAGCCCUUUUUAUUGCAGCUACACAGGAGAAAACAACAUUUGCUUGCAGUGUCAGUGAAAGAGAUGGAAAACUCCUGAAACUUCACUUUGAUUGCAAUUUUUGUGGAAGGUACUAGAAGCAAGAGGGUUUUUGGAGAUAAAUGGAUACAUUGGUGGAGACUUCUCGUAACAUCCUGUAAGAUUCAAGUUCUCUUAAAUAGGAAUACGAAUACCCCUGGGUUUGUAGGAGCGGAGCUUGCUAGCAGGAGUAAAGGAUAUAUUAGAGGCCCUGGUAUGACGGGACUCGACAAGUCAGUUUCUUUUUCUUUUUUUUUUUGAUUAAACAGGGAUAUACCCUAUUUGGAACCAGGUACAAGGACCACAGGAGAGAAAAGAAAACAGAGCCAAGACCAGAACAAGAUACAAAGUCUGUUAGAAACAAACUAAAAGAGAUAGUACCACUCGAACCAGAGACAAAAGAUUAGAAGCAGACGGCGAUCUUAGCUUCCUAUCGUUGAGACCCAUUGGCUGACCGUGUCAUUGAUUCCUCUUGCCAGCUUUUCGCUCCAUUGUAUCUUGUUGUCGAAUAAUCUCCUAUUUCGCUCUUUCCAUAACUCCCAACAUCCCGCUGCGACGCAGAGAUCAAAACUCUUCUUUGGUUCCCCUGUUAAUAAUUUUCUCGAGCGGCAACAGCGAGCCGCUAACUCACCUGGUGAGGUGGACAUCUGAUGUUGCGCUAUAGAAGCAAAACGCAACAACAGAAUCCACACUGAUUUGGCAUAGUAGCAAUCUAACAGAAGAUGCUCCAUUGUUUCAGAGUUUGAAUUGCAUAGCACUAAAACAGAUGGACCGUGCCAAUCAUGCUUGGCUAGAGCAUCGGCUGUCAACAACUUAUUUCUUGCUGCAAGCCAUAAGAAAAUUUUGACUCUAAGAGGUAUCUUUAGAUUCCAUAGAAAGGGGAUUUGGCGGUUGUUGAUUCCGUCGUAGAUCAGGAAAUCAUAAGCGCUUCGCGUAGUAAAUCGUCCAGAAAUAUUCCAUCGCCAAGAAAUCGAGUCCAAAGAAGGCUCCGAAAGAACCAAAUUGCUAAUCAAAUCCGCAAGCUGAUUGAGCUCCAAACGAACUUCGGCUUGUUCCGGUGUGCAGAAACCCAGAUUAUGUUGCGACCCAAAGCGUUGGAUCCACUUGUUGACUGAGAGAUGAUUGCGGGUUGAAGCUGCAAAGAGGUUGGGAAAGCGGUUCCUUGGGGUAAGAUCCCCACCCCAUCUCGCGUUCCAGAAAGAUGUUAACUUUCCAUUACCUAGAGAAAAGUUGACCGAUGUAAGGAACGGAGCAGCAAACUUGAGCAAACCUCUCCAGAUUGGGCUGGUACCAAGUGGACUAGAAGCGGUUAGGUCCAGUACUCGUCGUUUGUAGUGUUUUUGCAUCAGAAGCUGGACCCACGACAAGUUUUGAGAGUUGUAGAAGUUCCAAAGACCCUUCAUGAGUAAAGCAGCAUUAGCGACCUGCAGGUUUCGAAUCCCAUUACCCCCCUCCCUCUUUGGUCGACAGAUAUGUUUCCAAUUCGCAAGACAAUGGAAGCUGUUGUCGAGCUUCUUGCCUCUCCAGUAGAAGCCAUGACGAAUUUUGUCUAUCGCUUUUAUCACCUAGGCUGGAAGAAGGAAGCUCGAGCGAGCAAAAGAAAGCAGGGAUGGAGGUGAUAACCGAGUUGAGGAGGACUAGGCGACCACCUCUAGAGAGUGUAGCUCCUUUCCAACCAGCCAAGCGAGUGUCCAUCUUCUCAAGUAGCGGUAGAUAAUCAGAGUUGUGAAGCUACUUAGGGGAAAGAGGUAGCCCCAAAUACUUCAACGGGAAACUAUGCGUGGGGCAAUCGAAAAAGGUGGCUAAAUGUAAAGCCUAAUCUGCGGACAAGUUAAUUGGGAUUAAGGCACUUUUAUUGUAAUUGAUCUUGAGCCCCGAGCUUAGAGAGAAGGCCUGUAGGAUGAUCUUUAUAGUAGCCGCUGACUUGAUGGAACCAUCAAAGAAGAGGAGAACGUCGUCGGCUAAUUGUAGGGUGAGUAGUUUAACAUCUCCUAUGGCAAAAGUAGGAAGAAAGUUGGAAGCGGCCGCAACCUGAAGCAUUCUGAAGAGGACGCCGAUACAGAGAAUAAAGAGGAGGGGAGAUAAGGGAUCUCCUUGGCGCAGGCCUCUUUUGCAAGGGAAAGACGCGCCCGGAGCUCCAUUAAGUAGCACGGCUGUUGAAGAGGAGCGUAGCAAGUCAUUCAUCCAACGAAUCCAAAUCUUGCCGAAGCCUCUAGCUUUUCGAAGUUCCAGCAAGAAGUCCCAGUUGACGUUAUCAAACGCUCGUUUCUUAAGCAGGGCCGCCUUUUGUUUAGAAGAGUGAAGAUGAUGUGUAAAGAUAUGAGUAGUGUAAAAGUUGUUGAGGAUAUGAUGCCCCUUGAUGAAAGCAGUCUGAUACGGAUUGAUCAAACAGUCCAAGUGUGGUUGAAGUCGCAAUGCGAGUACCUUAGAGAUGAUUUUGGCCAAGCUGUGAUGAGGCUGAUUGGGCGGAGAUCCUUCGCAGUCGUGACCUCGCGCUUUUUAGGAAUUGGGCAAACCCAACAGCAAUUGAUUCCACUCAGAUCUUGAGGGCCACUAAAGAAGCUGUUAAAGAUUUCCAAGAUAUCACCCUUUAGUAUUUGCCAGAAGCGCCGAUAGAAGAGCAACGGGAAUCCAUCCGGCCCCGGAGUCUUUUUGGGAGCGCAGGAAAAGACUGCCAGUUUCACCUCUUCUUCAUUGAAAGGUGAGCAAAGACUAGAAAGGACGAAGUUUUCGUCACCGUAGAGCGAAGGGAAGUGGAUGUAAUUUCACUGAGACAACUCGACUCCAAGCUGGUUGUGAAAAAAGGAGAAUAGGAGGUUAGCAAUGGAAGCCGGGGAGUUGAAUGUUUUGAUGCCAUCCGAAAGAUGAGAAAUGUUGUUCUUGCUUCUACGACAGCUAGCUUUGAGGUGAAAGAACUUGGUAUUAGCGUCUCCAGCCAGCAACCACUGCACUCUAGAUCUUUGUUUCCAUAAAAGUUCCUCCUGCAGACAGAGCUCCUCAUAUCUUCCUUUGAGUUGAGGUCUCAGGUUGCGUUCUGUGUUGGUCAAUAACCUUCUCUCUUCAACGGAGUCAAGCCAGUCGAUCCACUGGAGGCAGCAUGCGGCCUACUUUCUCAAAAGAGAGGUGCGGCCUAGGCUCCAAGUUUGAAGAGCAUGAUGGACACAAUUGAUUUUCUGGGUGAAGCGACCGACGGGCUCAAUUGACUGAGAGAUGGAGUUCCACGCUUUGGAAGUAACCUCUGCCAAGAAAAGAAUGCGGAGCCAAUAUGACUCGAACUUGAAAAUAUGAGGGUGGGGCACAAAAGUAAAAGCUGAGAGAAUAAGGGGGCAGUGGUCUGACCGAGGCCUCGGAGCGCCUUGAGCGUAGAGCGAGGAAAGGAGAGGCUCCAGUCAAUCGAGAUGAAGGCGCAGUCAAGACGCUCCAGAGUCGAAAUGCUCCUUCCGUUUGACCACGUGUAGGAUCUGUUUAGCGGGGGGACAUCGAUAAGCCCGAUGUCGUUGAUGACCUCCCUAAAGUUCAGAAUGUCCGAAAUGCAGGUCGGCAGUCCGUUUUUAUCUUGUAAGGAGAGCAAAACGUUGAAGUCCCCGAGGGUGGCCCACAAACCACUGGAGUGAUCGCAGAUGCUCCUAAGUUCCUGAAAGAAAUGAGGUUUGAGUUCGGCACAGGUGGGGCCGUAUACAUUCGCUAUCAAAAAAAGCUUCCCAUCCACUAUUUUUUUGAGGACAACAUUGAGCGAGUAUACGCCCACCCAGCAAUGUACAAAAUCAAAGAGAGCAUUGUUCCAUGCAGUAAGGAGGCCCCCUCUUGACCCGCAAGCAUCUAAAGUUCUGAAAUCUUGGAAUUGGCAACCACAUAUAGACCAAAAUUUGGAGAAACAAGUAGAGGAAAGCUUAGUUUCUUGGAGACAAAUGACGGAACAUUUGUUGUUGCGAAUAAGGGAUCUAACAGUAGUGCACUUGGCUUGGUCAUUCAGGCCUUUUACAUUCCACGAUAAAAAGCGAAAGACUCUAUUUCUAGCCAUGACAAAAGAAACACAAAGCGCAAAUAUACUAAUCCCAAUGUAGUCACACCCCUCCCGAGUGUUCACCGACCUCCAAAGCAUGUUCUGACAUCGUCGGAGACCUCACAUCAACAUUCAAUACUCCGCAAGUGGCCAAGAUCGUUGGACUUCUCCUAGGGUGGGAGGAAUUGCAGGGUCCUUUACUAAGGAGGACGUCAAAUUGGGCACAUCCAAAUGCUCAUGUGGGGAAAGGGGGUUCACAUCUGUCAUGCCUCGAACCCGCCUAUUUGGUCGGUUCGGGCACGUCAAACAGACGCUGAACGGACAGCACCUCCCCUGUCCGCCCAAGGCUCAACAAGACAUCAAUCAUGUAUAUAAUUUGCACAAGCGGAAACAUAAACAUACAUGGCUUGCACGAGGGCAAGUAAUAGCCAAAAGUGAAAGAUUCUAUACUAAACAUUCAUACAAGUACUAUGAUUACCUUUUAAUCACAUACAUGCAUUCAACCACAAUUCACACUUACAUCUUUUCAUUCUUUUCUUAUACAUCACAUUUCAUCCAAAAUAUAGGCUCUUUUACAUUCAUGCUUCAUUUAUACAAUUUGCAUCAUCAAAUACAAAAGAUGAUAUAACUAGUAUGAAACUAAACAGGUAUGAAACUAAACUCCGGUAGUCUCUAGCUAGGGUGCGAUAUCCUUGCCACGAUCCUCGACCCCCUCGCUCAGACCUGGAUCUGUGGAAUAUAGUAGAGUGAGAACUACAAUAAAGUUUCCAGUGGGUUUGGCCGCCGACCUCGCCGACUUUCCCACUAGGUCUAAAUCAGGCAUAAUAAAAUAAAUAAGCAGAUAAAUAAGUAACCAAGCUAUACAAAUGCAGCUAAUAUGCCUGAACCAGAUAUAACAAUAAGGAUGCUCAAUAAGAAUGCUCAUGAUGCAUGCAAGAUCUCAAUUCCAAUACCCAAUCCUCUUGGCUAACCCGUAGGUUUCGCCUAAAAGCAACUCACCAACUCAAAUCCCUAAUAUCGAGGAGACUCCUACAACCCGACGGGACCAUCCUCUGGGGAGACUCCUACAAUCCAGUAAUGACUACUCCGGAGCGCAUCACUCAAGAGGGUACGACCGCCCUCAAGCCAAGACUUACAGGUGAGUAUGAUCCAAUCCUUAGCUAUAAGGAUGCCAAGUUCAAUCCAAUCCUUAACUAUAAGGAUGCAAUGCUCAAUCAAUUCCGUAACUAUAAGGACGCCUCAACUAUGAGGUUGUCAAAUUGGCAUAUGCCAUAAUACCAUGUUUCAUUCUUUAGCAUUUUUUAGCUCUCUAGCAUUUAUUAUACUCAUUAAUGCCACACCACUAAGUGUCUCAUUUCUAGCAUUCAUGACUUAUUAAUGCCACACACACUAUGUGUUCAACUAGCAUUCAUUUUACUCAUUAAUGCCACACUACUACUUUACUCAUGUCAUAGCGUCACUUGCUCUUUGUCUUGCUAAGUUCUUGUCACAAUUCACACAUUCAUAGGGUUUACAAACUCUCAAUAGUUCACUAUCAUCUCAUAUGCAUCUUGUACUCAAAGCAUGCAAGCAAUAUAUUCUCACUCAAUCCUACAAUGCAUGAAAUUCAUAUACAUAUAUAUGCUCAAGAAGUGACAUUUAGACAUAAAAGGAAAUUCAAAGAUUUCGGAUAGCACCACCCACCUCGUAGGGUUGCUAAGGUGCUACGAUUCAAUUUUCGUGAUUUUUGGUCGCCUAUUCUCUCGACUGCGGCAAAAUGAAGCCAAAAUAGAUUUUUUCUCAAUUUCUUUGCGUAGACUCGUCGGAUUUUCGAACCGAGUCUCCCAACGCGUCGGUUUUACCUUCAAUUAGGUUUACAAAUGGUCAAUUUAACCAUAAACCCUAAUUCUACAAAAACCCUAAUUCCAACCCUAGGGUUUCAUGCCAUGAACACUAUGGGUUCAUCAUGAGAUUUCUAGGGUUAUCUAGGUUUCUAAUCUUACAAGAAGCUCAAAACUAAGAGAUUUAGGGCAUAAAACCAAGCCCUAGCAAAGAUCUUGCAAGAUACCUUACCUUAGCCCACUAGCUCUCCAAGCUCCACCUUGUAGGAGAGCUCUAGAUCCUCCAAAGCCUCCAAUCCUUUUUGAAAUCUCCUCCAAUCUCCUCCAAUCCACUUGGGGAAGAGCUCCUAGAGAGAGAGAGGAAGAAAAAUAAGAGAGGAGAGUGUUCUUUUGGCUGUGAACAAGAGAUGAAAGGGUGUGGGGCUCUUAUAAGCCGCCACAAUUGCAAACAAGCCCUCCAAACAUUUCUAUUUGCAGCAGACUAAAACUGCUGUUCGCAGCAUUGGGUACCGGUACGCGGGCUGGAGAACCAGUACCCCCGGGUGACCAACCAAACCCGAGAGCAGCCAACUCUGCGCAGACCGCCGAGUACCGGUACACGAACUCGAGUACUGGCACACGAGCGCCCUAGUACCGGUACGCCUUAUUUAGUACUGGUACGCCACUUCGCAGAGGCCAAACCCGAGAGCAAGCUUCUCGGUUUGCCUACCUGGUACCAGUAUCUCUUCCUCAGUACCGGUACGCAGUGCCAAGACUGUAGUUUUGGCAGUGCUUAGGCUCUAUUUCGUGCCGAGCAAUGCCAAAACCCUUCCAUCUCACUUGGAACUCAACUUUAACCCCUCCAACACUGUUGGAGUGUUGCAUGGACUUUGUCCAACCAUCACUCUCGCCACACUUUGGUCAAUUUGACUAAAGUUCAACAUAACCUAUGGAGAUUUCGGUAUAUUACAAUAUCAAACUCCGGUGCAGGGGGAUCCACCGCGGAACUAUCAGCGGGCGAGGAGGUAGCCGAUCUGGAGGAAGGCGGGCACACAUUUUUGGCGGCAAAUCUCAUCAUCUUAAUCUUCUUACACAUGAUUUCUUGCGCACGUUGAAGGGUAGAUUUUUUGGCGCCUCUGCAUUUGGCUGCUAGGCGCGAGCUUCGCCUGGAGGGAAAGAGCUUAGCAGGGGCGGAACAAUUCACACCCAUAGGUCCAGCUCGGAGAAUGGGUUGGGCGUCUAAACUGCUCAAAGAGGAGCCCAAAAGGGAAGGCUCGCAAAGCAUAGGGGAGCCCAAGGGAAGCAAAGGGAGCACUAGGCUAGCAAAGUCAGUGGGCUGACUAUCAGGGGGGGUGGUGGAAUCCACCAGCGCUAGUGGACUCGAGUUCGCACGAAAGGGGCCCGAUGCACCCUUAACUUUUCCCUUAGGGCCCAAGCACGGAACAGACAGCGAGGUAGGAGGGCAGCUCGAGUUAGAAGGGAUGACUAGCGGUUCGGCGGGGGUGACCAACGGUCCAGAGGGAGGAAGCAGCAGUUCACCUGCUCCACUGACACUGAUCGGGACGGCUGUGUCAGCAAGCAUGUACGGAGGAGGGGGAGGGAGAGAGAGUGCGAAGUUCGAAUUUGAAUUCUCCCCUGAGGCUGGUAGACCGUCCAGUACGGAGCGCCGAUGCUCAGACGAGCUCCUCCGAUCGGUCGGGUUGGAUCUCGAGUCUUAGUGAAGAGCACUCGUAGGAUUGCGCAAGGCGGGGAAGGCGCUGAAACUAGUUAGCUAAAGGAAAGCAUCUUGCGUCUCCAUCGAGACGAGGCCCAGGCGGUCGUUGAGGUCCUCGCUUAACAAGAUAGGGUUGGCCUGCUCCCACUAUUCAAUCUCAAUAGGGAUCCUGAAGCGUCUGUUGUCCACCGUCAAAAUCGUGGCCUCAGGGAUGGUAUGGACGUUCUGGCAACGGACGCAAGCACGAAAGAGUGAGACGUCGGCCCUCCGUUCACUAAGGGGGUCGACAUCCCAGAGCUGUCCGAAGCCGCUAACAGCUGCCUUGAUGUCUUCCUCAUUCUAGCACAGGAUCGGCCAGUUGUGCAGCCGAAUCCACGCUUUGUGGGCGAGGUGGCCUCUCUCCAUUUCUCCCGCCUCGACCCAGUUCGAGAGAAAGAAGUCGAUUCCCUCAAAUCAAAACGGGCUUUGGCUUAUAGCCGACUCACGCACCACCCAACUAGGAAAGAAGACCGCCAUAGUGGAAGCAUGAAAAUUAGCUACCAGGUACUCCCUACCAGACCCUCCAAAACACGCCGCUAGCCCACGUGACAGGAUCUCCUUUGCGUUGCCGUUGAGCUGUCCUCGAGUCUCCACCAAGGCAACACAACCCGCCAGGGAAGGAAGCCCUAUCCGCGUGGGGGGGGGGGAGAAAAGACGCGAUGGUGCUCGGGCGACCUGAGGAGGGACCGGGUUUCCAUGAUUCUACGCAUCGGAGAGCGCUAGAACCUGCAACUAGAAGCCGAAUGACUGAUCCUCAUACAAAGAAGACAGCGCCGCGGCUCCCUACAGUGAGCAGCCCUGUGCCCCCUUUCAAAGCAUCUGAAGCAACGACCCUUCAGCGAAAGGUUAAGAAGGAACUUCGAAGGGUGAAGGGGUAAAGCUGGGUUGGAGAUAAAUGGUUUGGGAGUAGAUCGAGAGGUGGUUUGGAAUGGAUGAGGGGCUAGGAUCGCAUCCUUGAAGGAGAAUCCAUGCCGAACGCGUGGCCUACUAUGGGAAGCCGUAUGACUCCUGGUAGAGAAGGAUAAGGUGGGUGGUGAAGGGUGGGGUGGGGGAGGGGCCAUCUCGCUCUCUUUCUCUCAGUUUCUCUCUCAACUUUUUCUCAGGUUUCAAAAUCUAAUAGACAAGUCAGUUUCUUGUCUGCAAUUUGCAGACCACACCUUACUACCUCUGUGAAGCAAUUAAACAAUAUUGAACCGGUAUGCUAUCUCAAAUUUCUAUUAAGAUGUUUCGGGUUAUCUUCAGGGCUGAGAAUCUAUUUCGCAAAAUCGAGUCCAGUGAUGUUGUGUCACAACGUAGAAUUGGAAAGAGCGUUAGUUCAAGUACUGCUACGAUGCAAGGCUGAUUUCCUUCCCAAUAAAUUAAGUACAAAGCUCAGAAAACAAGAUCGGCAAUGCGUAAUAGAUAGAGUGGAGAAGCAAUUGGAUUGCUAGAAAAUUAAACAAGCUCUGUUCAAUCGGGGGAAGGCAUAUAUGUUCUUGUCAACUCUAUAUCAACCAAUCUUGCCAUAUAUUAUUUUUCAUAUUUUUGUAUUCCUGAUUGUUGGGUAUUAAAGUGCAUAGACAUGCAAGAUAAGGAGGAGUUUCCUCGGGAUAGAGAAAGCGGAAAAGGAAUCCAACAGUGGGCUGUGUUUAGUGAAUUAGAAGAGGGUAUGUAUGUAAGAGUAAAAAACAUGGUGGCUUGGGGAUUCUGAAUUUAAGAGAGUUUAACUUAGCAUCACUUGCAAGGUGGUGGUGGAGACAUGUACUUUCUGUCUUUAGUUAAAACUAAAUGGAAAGAGCUAGGAAAAGGGAAUUACUUUAAGACGUACAGCAAAGCUUUUCUCAUGCCACAUACCAAGGAGCAGAAAAACUUCUUAGAUCAAGUUCGACAAUUUUAAGAUUGGGAAUGAAAAUAGCACCAACUUUUGGACUGACAGGUGGUUGGGGGUGGCAGCUAUAUAUAGGUUUCUACUUUUUCAAAUCUUUAUAUAGAAAGCAGCGGAAGUUUUCGAUUCGUACCUUUUUCGAAAGCGAUUCGCGCAACAACGCGAUGAGCCCGGAUCGUUUAGAUUGAUUCACGUGUCCUCGGAUGAAGAGCGACGCACGUCCGGUGUGCGCCCGGCGCCCGGCGCUCGGCGCGCGCCACACGUCCGGCGCUCGUGGGGCGUGCCCGACGCCCGGCGCCCGUCGCGGUCCGGCGCCCGGUGCACGUUUGGUCCGCGUCCGACCCGGUCCUCGUCCAGGCGUCAGGCGCCCGGUGCACGUUUGGUCGCGCGUCCGAAGCAAAAAAGACGUGUAAAAAAAUUAUUUUAACAAAUUUGCUUAAGCUUCAAAUUAUACGUAUAGUCUAUAUAUAACGUAUGAAAACACUAAAUUAUACGAAAAUACUUUAUAUUACGAACGUAAAUAAUACUACUCAUAAUAUAACGGAAAAUACUACGUACCUAUUUAAGAAAUCCGUAAAAUAUAAAAAUUUACGUACGGAAUAGAUCACCCUCAGAAAAUUAAAUACCAUCUCAUUUAAUAUGCAGAAAUGAGGGAUUAUAAAACACGUAGAAUUAAUUUAUUAAUUUUUAAAACUGUAUACCACACACUACACUAAUACUCGUAUCGCUUUAGAAGGAAAUGCGUAGAUACUAGAUUAAAAAUUAAAUAAAUUAAUCUCUACGCCGUUUUAACUUAUAUACAUAGCACAUGAUUAAAAUUUUAUAGGAAGAGACGCGUAACGUACUUGUUUCACUCUAAAUUACCGAAGGUUUGUUUAACAACGCCUAAAUUUGUUCCCGCUCUUUAACCUACCACUGUUAAUACUAUAAACCGUGGCAUUUUAAGUUAUACAAGAGCGACUCGUUCUCCAGGACCUUUUGGACUCGUUAUUUUACCUGGUUGGGUGCCUCCCGUGAUCACGGGUCCGAGCGGCUCUAUACCUUCGGAUAUUAUUAACCGAAUUCUUCCUAGCGUAACGAGCGUAGUGCAACGAUUCGUCAUACGUCUUACUAGAGAACACGCUCACACUCGUCAUAGGCUGACGCAUACUGUACACCCUCCGAGAGUUUCGUUUUAAACCACGUCGAAGCCAAUGUUCCAACGCGUCAGACUGAUACGCCAAACUGUCAAUAUUCUUCGCACAGCUAGUCUGAUACUUCGUCGUGCAAUCUUGUUACAGUUUAUACUAAGUGCUCAAUUUCAGCCGACCGCCGUGGAACUGACUACUCGUCGUCUAGGUUCGAUGCUAAGCGAGAGAAAGGUUAAGCACCCUUGUAUACGCUCAUUUAAACUGGGUAUUGCUGUUAUAGUUUUGAAAACUCCUACAACGCGCCGUAAACCUCAACCUCCUCCUCGCGGAACUCCGACAAUUUUGAGGUUGACGGUUACAACGACUCAAUUUGAAAGCGUCCUGUAGACCCAAGUUCGCUUUCUCUUGAUGACCCCGAGUUUAACAUCGCCUAGGCGCGGAUUCUUACGCUUCUUGUGAUUUUCUUUCUCUUCGUUUGCUCCACCGUUCUUUCUGUUCAGUUUCUACUGAACAAAGUUGACAUUAGUCGACCCUGUGAAGCGAGCACUAACGUGACUCGGCUUCUUCCAUGCUGAGAUAAGGCUAAGAGCGAGAAAACAAAGAAGAUUUUGCAAACAACGACUUAGAGAGGGACACACCUAACAUCUGAGUCCUCGUUGUCUGGUGCAUCGCUCCCUAGCCUACCCUAAGCAGCUUAUGGCAGCGCACGGACGACCCGCACGGACGACCCUCGUCUUCUCAUAUGUACCCCUUACUAAGUUCACAGCCACAAUCCGCAACCGUGUAUGUUCAACUAGUACAUUCCACCAGCUUGAAAUAUAGAUGUACUACAUGAAAUACGAGGUCUUUAAGCCGCCUUGAACAAAAGAUAAGAACGAUACGAUGUCAAUCCGAAAAGAAAAGCAAAACUCUCACUACAUCAACUCUAAGUAGAACCUUGAUAAAUAAUACCAUCUCCAAAAUAUAGCUUACCAAAAUACCAAAACCUGUAACUAAUAUUAUAAUUAUUAUCACUAAGAAAAAAGGACGAUAGAAGACAAUUCUUACUAGUGUUACAAAGUUAAUUUACCGUACGUGCAGAACCAGUAUAACCCGUCCUAUCUUACUGAUCUAAUCAAUCUCUGUCCAAUAACUCGAGCGAGUGAUUUCAGCUGGAUGGGUGAACACUUAUAACAAAUCGCCCUUUUCGCUGGGCUUUUGGUAAAUUAUUUCGAAGUUACCGUCUUAAAGGAAAUGUUAAUUAGGUAAGGCUGUAAACACCGGGUUACUCACACUCCCGUUCUGUACCACGAAAAAUGAAGUAGUGUAAAUAUCUACUGGUAUGCGCGAAGCCAGUACAAAUAGACUAGAGGGUAUUCAGACUUCGUAACCUAACAAAAUCUGCAAUAUAAUUACUCCAACUCUUAGUCAAUCUAUACUUUUAAUUUACGAAUUCUUGACUAGCUCCGGCGCUCAUAGAUAGACUUGUUAAAUUCCUUAACACACUACUUUUCCCUUAUUAGUCUGUCGACUGUUAAGGACCGUGAGGCGUCGUUUUACCACAUCGCCUCUCUUCUUUAGCGUGGAACGAACUGUACCAAUCCAGUUACUACCGCGUUCGUUUAAACGGACAGAGGAAAACCCCUCUGCGUAAUAAUUGACGACGGAUAUAAGAAUUAGCACAUGGGAGGUUUUGUCAUGGAAGGUGGGGAAUACUUAAUACCUGUCCGUCCUUUGGUUUAAACCUCGAGGACGCAGGAACCCCAAGCCGUCGAAUACAUGUAUUAUGAAGAGUGUUCCUACCUUUCAACCCAGGAUCUCCCUCUUUCACAUAGAAAUAUUCUAUGAGACUUGUGGGAUUCCCUAUGCACAAGUAGCCUUUCGUCGGACUACCUUCAAACUGACUCUAACUCAGUGCUCUACAACUUAAGGAGCUCCUCCUAAAAGGAAUAUCUUCACUCCAAGCUUUACUUUGACUCAAGGUACUCUACCUACUGAGACUGUAACCGCGAAGAUAAGCGAGUCAACUCCGUCUCCUCCGUUGAGGCUAUGAAGGACCCCUAUCACCCUCGCUGAAUAGAAAUCUACACCUCGGAGUUGAAGCAUCCUCGCGUGCACAUCCGUAAGGGGCAGCAGCAAAACUCUAACUCCCCCUUCGAAAGUAUCAACGACGUGUACUACUACUACUCGGAUUUAGGAAGGUUCUCCGAGAGAGUAAUGGAUGAGUAUUCCUUACCUACCUACAUUACUACCUCCUUUAUCUUAGCUACUUCAGUUUAGUACAGACCCUGAACCAACUGAACGGUGUUCCCGCGUUUUGUUAACCCUUAUUUACCCAAGAGUUCUAAUUCGCGUUCCAUCUGCCAAGAUAGCUAUCCAUGUUCCGAGCGGAUCAUCGUUUCCCAAAAUGGGUUGCUCUUCCGCAACUAAUGCUUCUUUGAAAAAGAGGACAACAUUCCAAACAAAGCUAGGCAGACUAGAACCGGUAACAGCGUAAAAACCUAAACCUUGAAAUGGUUUACCUGCAAUUUUGACGUAAAGAGUUAACCCUUGACCUACUCCUCUAGAUAUACCUAGUCGGACGACCGAAGAGACAUUUCCCACUACUCGUAUUUCAAACAUUCGAGGCUGCUAGGUAAAUACCUAACUUCGUCAGGAGGUCUGUCACCAUAUAAGCUAAAGUAGCUCGGUAGUGACUUCUACCUAAAUGCUACUAACUUCUUCUAGUGACACACAUACAAUUUGCCAGGUUUCCUAAAAAGAUUAGGAAAGAAAUAUACAACUACUAUAGGAUAACCGGCCCUUAUUAUUCCUCUACUAACAGCGGUGAGUCUGCACCGACAGGAGAUUAAAACUUUACUUCCUGUACCCACUUCGCUUAAUACACGAGCCUCAAUUCUAGGAUGCUCUAGUAAGUUUCUUUGAAAAUCCAGACAGAGUUCUCUGAAUGGAUUCUUUUCAAAAUCUUGCUAAAGUAUACGUUUUAACGUUUGGGUAACUGUGAGGAUAACGAUUUCCACUCUCAAACUUGGAAUUUGUCACGGGAUUUUGAAGACUUCUCUUCCUGUUCUACUUAGCCUAAGGUAUACGAUUACGCCAGCCCUCGGACUACAUACGAUACUACACAUGAGCCGGACUAUAUACGAUACGGCACCCGGACCAAUCGGUAAAAGGCAGGUUAGACCCUAACCUGGUGAGCUUCCGUCACCGCGUCUUCUUUUAUUAGGACCUUGUGUAUAGAUGCUCAGCGCACCAACAUCUAAGAGAUUGAUUCGGAUAACAAUCUCUUAAUAAAAACCCGAGUACAAUUUCGAGAACCUGAGGCAUCCUAAACUAACACAUCUGUCAGCUAAUAAAAAAUAUUAAAAAACCAAUAAAUUAAUGUUUAAUAAUAAGACCUUUUCUAUAAACCAUUUUAAUCAUGUGUACGUAACAAUAAUUUGACUAACUAUCAUACAGCGUCCGGCUAACCGGGAGAGUGUGCCCGUUAGUAUGGAAAGCCGCGACAUCUCUCGCUCGCUUUUAACUCCGUAAUUACCUUCGGCGGAACCAACCGUGGUUCUACUCCAGUAAUUACUCUGGCGUAUGCUUUUCAGGGUGCUAAGCAUACCGGACGUAUAACUCUCGGCCUACACUCGAGUGGCAAACUGCGAACUCUAUCGCUCGUUUACCUCUUGAGUCCGAUCUGUGAAGCCCUCACUGACUCGAUUCUAGGCAUACUAUAACUCUUUCUGUAUGCGAAUAACCCUAAGAGACAAUAUCGUACAUAAAGUAUGAUGUACACGACCCGCUGAUUUAUUUCUUCUACUCACUUACCUAGGGACGAAGGAGUAGCACACUCAAGAAUGCCCGUAAAAAAAAACUCUGCUACAGGAUAUAUACUAUCUACGGGAAUCAUUGAAAACUGAUACAGUAAUUCACUUUCUUAACUACAACGAUGAAACCGUACAAUGGAUGCCGAUACUCACUACGCCGAAAUGCCCCGUAACGACCCUUUCGUUAGUCAAGAGUUGAGUCACCGUACUCCCGAGUUCCUUCUGAUCAACUUAAUGUGAUUUGUGAAACUGAGUAACAGCUGUCCAACAUAGCGAAGUCAUAUCGCUUUAUUAAUACUCAUAUCACAGUAUUACACGCGUUAACGCCAAUCGUACCGAGAAACUCCCUAAUCUCUACGACUUGGACUACAUUAAGUUACCAGAUCCCGUAGUGCUCAGAUUAUAAAAAAAAAGAGAAAAACUCCCAACUACAGAGAUACGACCGGCCUACGCCAAAGAUCAUAUCUCGAGGGUUUUACGUCCAACUGAGCCGCCAGCGUGACAAGUAAAGGGACAUACUUAUCUUAAUUAUCACCACACUACAACUCCUUCACCAAUGCUACCGUAGCUAGGGCAGUACACGCUCACCCUCUACAACCGUAAGCCAAUUUAGCUUAGCCCAUGCGAGUAUUCGCCCAAGCUAGGCUGCCUAUAAUAUAGAUUAACCUAAUCCUAAUUAGAGCGAAAGUUUAACCUUUCGAUUAAUCUCUAUUUAGAUUAGUAUAAUCCUAUUGUUUAUUAUUAGCUAAACCGGAAUAGAGAUUGCGAUAAUCCUAAAACCUUAAGGAAUAUUUAUCUGCCCGCUAGGGUGUACUUUGCUACAUGUUUUUUCCUUGCUUUUUUCUCUCUCUUAUUCUUUUAUUAUCUCUCUUUGGUGUAGGAGGUAACUGGAUAAUAAGAUCUCCCUGAACGUGCCACCUAAACGCUAGCGCGAGCAAACAUCAAGCUAGGUGGCGCUCAAGCACCUCGCACUCUUCUGUAAGUUCCUGCNACACCAUAUGUCAAAAUUUUUAAUUAUUUAAUUAAGAUGCACAAAAUAUUAGGGAGUAAAGACGUAUAAUUUACUCUACCAUAAAUUAAAAGACUCCCACUAGAUAAGGCAUGCAUUUAAAAAUAUAAAAUGCCUAAAGAAUUUAUCCAUGCAUCAUAAAAGGCAAUAUAAUACUCAUCAUAAUAAAUGCAAGCAUUAUAUUUCAUAAAAGCAUAUUAAAUCACAAAAGUAUGCAAUAUAUAUCUGAUAUGCAUAUUAAACUUCGAAUUCGUUUAAACAAUUUUAUUAAAAAAAUGUGCAGAAAAAACGAAGCCUGCGCGCUGGUUUGCACGUGGCCCGCGGACUGCGGACCUGCUCCUGGCCCAGCCUGCGCCUGGUUUGCACGUGGCCCGCGGCCUGGCGCUGCCCGCGGCCCGCAGCCCGUGCGGGGUGCUCGCGGCCUGCACACCGCGCGCGGCUCGCGGCCCGCGGCCCGCGUGUGGCCUGCACGCAGCGAGAAGCCCGCAAGGGCCCUGCGGCCCGCGCGGCCCGCGCGCUCGCGAGGCCCGCGCGUGGCCUGCGCGGCCCGCGGCCAGCGCGUGGCCUGCGCGCAGGGCGCGGCCCGCGUGGCCUGCGCGGCCCGCGGCCAGCGCGUGGCCCGCGCGCUCGCGAGGCCCGCGCGUGGCCUGCGCGGCCCGCGCGUGGCCUGCGCGGCCCGCGGCCAGCGUGUGGCCCUCGUGCUGGCGAGGCCCGCGCAUGGCCUGCGCGCAGCGCGCGGCCCGCGUGGCCUCCGCCGCGCGCAAGGAGAGCGCGGCCCGCGUGCCCGCAGCCUGCACCGCGCGCGGCCAGCAAGGGACGGGCAGCCCGCGUGGCCCGCGGCCUGCGCUGCAGAGCGCGGCGCGCGUGGCCCGCGCCGCCCGCAAGGGGUGCGCUGCCCGCGUGGCCCGCGGCCUGCGGCCUGCGCACACGGCCCGCGUGGCGCGUGGCCUGCGGCCUGCGGCCAGCGAGCGCGCCCACGCGGCUUGCGCGCAGCUUCCCUGCUGCCCCAAGCCGUGUUGACGGCACCCAAAAAAAAAAUAUUAAACCUUUUUUUUUUUAUGUUUAAAGAUAGUGAAUCUUUAAAAAAUCAUAUCUUUAGAUUUGGAAAACCGAAUCAUGCAAGAAAUAUUUCAAAAGAAACUUUUAGGUUUGUCUCAAGAGACUUCCCUAAGAAAAGUUUUAGAGCGAUUUCAGAUGCACAAUUACAAAUCCAUUAACACUCCUAUUGCUAAGGGUGAGAGUUUGAACCUUAUACAGUGCCCUAAAACUUCCAAAUAAAGAAGGAUAAGAUGAGUCGGAUCCCAUAUGCUAAUGCGGUCGGAAGCCUGAUGUAUGCUAUGAUGUGUACUCGGCCUGAUAUAUGCUAUGCCGUGGGCUUGGUUAGCCGUUUUCAGUCCAAUCCGGGAUUGGACCACUGGAAGGCUGUUAAAAGGAUACUUCGUUAUCUCAGAGGUACGAUAGAUUAUAUGCUGUGCUAUCAAGGUACGGAUUUACGUCUCAUCGGUUAUAGCGAUGCGGAUUGGGCUGGUGACCUAUAUGAGCGUAAGUCGACCUUAGGAUAUGCGUUCUUACUUGGCAAUGGCGCCAUAACUUGGAGUAGUAAGAAACAGACCUGUAUAGCUCUUUCCACCAUGGAGGCGGAGUUCGUGGCGUGUUCUGCAGCAGCCCAGGAGGCUAUAUGGUUGAGGAGGUUUCUUCGAGAUAUUGGGAUUGUCACUUGUACUUCCGUUCCUGUGACGAUCUAUUGUGACAGUAUGGUAGCGAUUGCAUACACGAAGGACCCGAAAUAUCAUGGCAAGACAAAGCACAUCGACUUAAAGUAUCACUUUGUUCGUGAAGCAGUGGCGCAGAAAGAAAUAAUCCUGGAACACAUCUCUACGAGUCGCAUGGUUGCAGAUCCUCUGACUAAGCCUAUUGUUAGAGAAUUCUUUUUGGCUCAUGUUAGAGCUCUUGGACUUCGUAGGAUUUGAUUGUGUAGACAGUCGAUUAUUUUUUAUAAUUUUUUGGUUAUUUAAUUACAAAUUAUUAUUCUGGAAAAGAUAUUUGGUAAAAUUAGUACACAUGCAUUGUUAUUAAACUGAUUGAUAGUAUGUCNUGUAUGUAAGAGUAAAAAACAUGGUGGCUUGGGGAUUCUGAAUUUAAGAGAGUUUAACUUAGCAUCACUUGCAAGGUGGUGGUGGAGACAUGUACUUUCUGUCUUUAGUUAAAACUAAAUGGAAAGAGCUAGGAAAAGGGAAUUACUUUAAGACGUACAGCAAAGCUUUUCUCAUGCCACAUACCAAGGAGCAGAAAAACUUCUUAGAUCAAGUUCGACAAUUUUAAGAUUGGGAAUGAAAAUAGCACCAACUUUUGGACUGACAGGUGGUUGGGGGUGGCAGCUAUAUAUAGGUUUCUACUUUUUCAAAUCUUUAUAUAGAAAGCAGCGGAAGUUUUCGAUUCGUACCUUUUUCGAAAGCGAUUCGCGCAACAACGCGAUGAGCCCGGAUCGUUUAGAUUGAUUCACGUGUCCUCGGAUCGUCCUUGAAUGUCUUCUCACGCUCCACGAACUCGCGGUGGAUCGAACUACAAACGAGCGCGAUCGCAAAUCCACCGUGCAAGUCCCUCUAGAAUAAUAGGUCAAUGGAGGAUGUGGUUUCUCUCUAUUAUUUUCUUAUUCUCUCUCUUUUUUCGUUCCUUUUUUGUACAUCGUUUCAUGUGGGAUCGCCCGUCUAUUUAUAAGGAAUUCCAAAAUCCUAAUAGCGUUAGAGAUAAGGCCAAAUCGAUUAUUAUUUGUUAUCCUAAUAUGAUUAGAUUUAUCUCUAAUUAGCUUUCCAAUUUGAAAGCGAGAUUAAUCCUAAUCCAAUUAGAUAUAAUAUCCGUCGGAUCGAACCCGCUUAUGAGCGUACCCGAUUCGAUUUAACCGAAUGCCAACAUCUCCCACUCGCACAUGACGGGAUCGAUGCCAUCGUAACCACUUCCUCAACAUCACACCACUAUUAAUUCUAUUCAUACAGGGAAAUGAACAGUGCGACCGCCGAGUCAACCUGCAUUUUGGGAGCUCUAUACUAGAAACCGCAUCCGGCCAGCAUAGAGACAUCAACCCUCAAAAAGAGAAAAAAAAAUAUUAGACUCGUGAUGCCCUAGACCAUUGAAUUACAUCAGGUUCAGCAUCUCUAAUCCCUCAAAGAGCCAUGCUAACCGCAAUUGCGCACAUUAUGACACUAUACUCAUAAUUAUUUCGCUAUACUGAAGCGAUACAACCUGUCGACAAUGAGUCAAAGUGUUUAGUGUAAUUCAACUAGUCUUCCUUGAGCCCUCAUGCCACUGAGUUGAGAACUGAUUGCUUUCCCAGCAAUGCCCCGUAAAGCCGCAUCACUCAUAGCCGUAGGUAACAUGCCAAAGUAGCAACAUCAAUUCUUUCACUUAAUGACAUAGUCAAAAGUUACUAAGGGCAUCUAUCAUAUAUAGGACAUCGUCUCAAAAAAAAAUGCCCGUAAGAACUCACACGAUGAGGAAGCAGGGAUCCAUUCACUCAUCUUCUUUAUUUAGUCGCCCAGCACAUGUAGUAUGAAAUACAUGCUAUAACAGAGAAUCCCAAUAAGCGUAUGUCUUUCUCAAUAUCAUACGGAUCUUAGCUCAGUCACUCCCGAAGUGUCUAGCCUGAGUUCUCCAUUUGCUCGCUAUCUCAAGCGUCAAACGGUGAGCUCACAUCCGGCUCUCAAUAUGCAGGCCAUACGAAUCGUGGGACUUUUCGUAUGCGGUCUCAUUAAUGACCUCAUCUUGGUGCCAACCAAGGCGGCUUCCAUUAAUGCCUCAAUUUUCGCUCGCUCUCUACAGCGCCGAAAGGUAUGAUUGCCCGUGUGAGAGGGCCAAUCGGCCUGCGACAUACUAUCAAUCAGUUUAAUAACAAUGCAUGUGUACUAAUUUUACCAAAUAUCUUUUCCAGAAUAAUAAUUUGUAAUUAAAUAACCAAAAAAUUAUAAAAAAUAAUCGACUGUCUACACAAUCAAAUCCUACGGAGUCCAAGAGCUUUAACAUGAGCCCAAAAAUAAUUCUCUAACAAUAGGCUUAGUUAGAGAAUCUACAACCACGCGACUCGUAGAUAUGUGUUCCAGGAUUAUUUUCUUCUGCGCCACUGCCUUCGAGUGGUCCAAUCCCAGAUUGGACGGAAAAUGGCUAACCAGGCCCACGGCAUAGCAUAUAUCAGGCCGAGUACACAUCAUAGCAUACAUCAGGCUCCCGACCGCAUUAGCAUAUGGAAUCCGAUUCAUCUUGUCCUUCUCUUCAGAAGUUUUAGGGCACUGAUGCAAGAUUCGCAAUAAGAUAUCCAUCACACAUCAAACAAGACACCUCACAAAAUCGAUUUAGGGUUUCGUUUUUCUUAUAAAACACAAAACCAUAUUAAAUCAAGCUUUGUAAAUUUAAUCUUUCAACAUAGGUGUUUUAAGAUGUGUAAAAAUCAUACAAAGAUGUCCACCUUUGAAAAAAGGCCAUUAACGCUCAUAUACAUGCAAAAUAAAAUCCAAAUUUUGAUAGAUUUAAUUUUUAACGCAUGUAAUCUCGUUAGAACAUGAUUUAGGGCACGAAAUCAACCAACAAGGCUCUGAUACCAAUGUAGAAAGCAGCGGAAGUUUUCGAUUCGUACCUUUUUCGGAAGCGAUUCGCGCAACAACGCGAUGAGCCCGGAUCGUUUAGAUUGAUUCACGUGUCCUCGGAUCGUCCUUGAAUGUCUUCUCACGCUCCACGAACUCGCGGUGGAUCGAACUACAAACGAGCGCGAUCGCAAAUCCACCGUGCAAGUCCCUCUAGAAUAAUAGGUCAAUGGAGGAUGUGGUUUCUCUCUAUUAUUUUCUUAUUCUCUCUCUUUUUUCGUUCCUUUUUUGUACAUCGUUUCAUGUGGGAUCGCCCGUCUAUUUAUAAGGAAUUCCAAAAUCCUAAUAGCGUUAGAGAUAAGGCCAAAUCGGUUAUUAUUUGUUAUCCUAAUAUGAUUAGAUUUAUCUCUAAUUAGCUUUCUAAUUUGAAAGCGAGAUUAAUCCUAAUCCAAUUAGAUAUAAUAUCCGUCGGAUCGAACCCGCUUAUGGGCGUACCCGAUUCGAUUUAACCGAAUGCCAACACUUUAUAGACCGUCUUACUUCAAAAAUUAUUCUGUAGCAGCUAUUUUUAAUGGGCUGACUAGAAGGAAAAAAAAAAUCUAAAAUGCACCAGUUAUAUUGCUGACGUGGUAUACCCAACCAAUAAGAUUGUAUCCCUUGGGUCCACCUAUUCCCAUCAUAGUUAAUACUUGAGAGAGAUGUGUUUGGCUCGUUACUGAUAAUGUAGUGCAAGUGUGACACAGUAGACUUUCUCGACGGGAAGAGGGCCCUCUAAAUUAUAAUUAAGCAAAAUUUUUAGGGGCAAGUACAUGUUGAUACUGUAAACUACUACUGGGUUGGUUGGCCAACGUCCCUCUAAAUAGGGAGGACGAUAUAGCUCAAUGGAGAUGCGCUACUAAUGGAAAUUUUUCUGUUAAAAUCCUAUGCAAAGUUCUUAAUAAUGGAGGAAUGAGAUGUCCUAUUGGUCAAAAAACUUUGGUUUCCCUUAUUCCUCUAGAAGUGAAGCUAUUCAUGUGGUUGGCUCUCAAUAAUAGAAGUGAUGAUCAAGAAUUAAAGGUUGGAAGAUCAAUAGGAGAGGAUUUGUUUUCUGCAGCAGUGGAGAAGAAACCACUAAUCAUAUCUUCUUCAUUAGGUGCAAUUUUGUUAAAUCCAUUUAGUUAACGAAGAAGCAUAUAUAGUAAUUAAACUCAAAGGUUUGAUCUUCCGUUUGAAAAUUUUGUGGAUUGAUUGGAGCCCCAGGAAUGUGAAGGAGCAUCUAAGCACUUCGUGGGACUUGGUAGUAUUGGCUAUGUGCUGUUGUCUAUGGAGAGAAAGAAAUGGGAUAUUCAAUGGAAAUUAAUUCCUACUCUGCGGUCUCUUUACUUGCAAAAAUCAAUCAUUUUAUAUCUAUAUGGACUGAUAAUCUUGCUACAGGUAAGAAAAGUAAAGAGCGUAGAUGGAGACUUAAAUAGGAAAAGAGUGCAUCGAUGAUAGCUUUACGUUAUUAACAACUGCAAAGUGAUAGGUGUUUUGAAUGCUGACCGGAAAAGAAUUAAUGGAGAUGUUAUUAGCUUUUCACAAGAUGUUAAUCUCUUUCUAGUUUCAGUUGUAUUGUGAUCUGUCUAAUUUUAUGUUAUAUAUAAUGUGAUGUACGACAGAUUGAGAUAUCUAUGUUUUGGUCUUCUCUUUGCAUUUUUUAACUAUGUAUUCUGCAAUAUGUAAAUAGCUCACAAUAAAAUUGGCGGGGUAAUUUUUUCUCUAGUUUUUACUCACAAAUAUAUAUAUAUAUAUAUAUAUAUAUAUAUAUAUAUAUAUAUAUAUAUAUAUAUAUAUAUAUAUAUAUANNNNNNNNNNNNNNNNNNNNNNNNNGGUGAGAUCGAACUACAAACGAGCGCGAUCGCAAUAUCACCGUGCAAGUCCUCAUGAAUAAUAGGUCAAUGGAGGAUGUGGUUUCUCUCUAUUAUUUUCUUAUUCUCUCUUUUUUCGUUCCUUUUUUGUACAUCGUUUCAUGUGGGAUCGCCGUCUAUUUAUAAGGAAUUCCAAAAUUCUAAUAGCGUUAGAGAUAAGGCCAAAAUCGGUUAUUAUUUGUUAUCUAAUAUGAUUAGAUUUAUCUUUAAUUAGCUUUCAAUUUGAAAGCGAGAUUAAUCCUAAUCCAAUUAGAUAUAAUAUCCGUCGGAUCGAACCCGCUUAUGGGCGUACCCGAUUCGAUUUAACCGAAUGCCAACACUUUAUAGACCGUCUUACUUCAAAAAUUAUUCUGUAGCAGCUAUUUUUAAUGGGCUGACUAGAAGAAAAAAAAAUCUAAAAUGCACCAGUUAUAUUGCUGACGUGGGUAUACCCAACCAAUAAGAUUGUAUCCCUUGGGUCCACCUAUUCCCAUCAUAGUUAAUACUUGAGAAGAUGUGUUUGGCUCGUUACUGAUAAUGUAGUGCAAGUGUGACACAGUAGACUUUCUCGACGGGAAGAGGGCCCUCUAAAUUAUAAUUAAGCAAAUUUUUAGGGGCAAGUACAUGUUGAUACUGUAAACUACUACUGGGUUGGUUGGCCAACGUCCCUCUAAAUAGGGAGGACGAUAUAGCUCAAUGGAGAUGCGCUACUAAUGGAAAUUUUUCUGUUUUAAAUCCUAUGCAAGUUCUUAAUAAUGGAGGAAUGAGAUGUCCUAUUGGUCAAAAAACUUUGGUUUCCCUUAUUCCUCUAGAAGUGAAGCUAUUCAUGUGGUUGGCUCUCAAUAAUAGAAGUGAUGAUCAAGAAUUAAAGGUUGGAAGAUCAAUAGGAGAGGAUUUGUUUUCUGCAGCAGUGGAGAAGAAACCACUAAUCAUAUCUUCUUCAUUAGGUGCAAUUUUGUUAAAUCCAUUUAGUUAACGAAGAAGCAUAUAUAGUAAUUAAACUCAAAAGUUUGAUCUUCCGUUUGAAAAUUUUGUGAUUGAUUGGAGCCCCAGGAAUGUGAAGGAGCAUCUAAGCACUUCGUGGACUUGGUAGUAUUGGCUAUGUGCUGUUGUCUAUGGAGAGAAAGAAUGGGAUAUUCAUGGAAAUUAAUCCUACUCUGCGGUCUCUUUACUUGCAAAAUCAAUCUUUUAUAUCUAUAUGGACUGAUAAUCUUGCUACAGGUAAGAAAAGUAAAGAGCGUAGAUGGAGACUUAAAUAGGAAAAGAGUCAUCGAUGAUAGCUUUACGUUAUUAACAACUGCAAAGUGAUAGGUGUUUUGAAUGCUGACCGGAAAAGAAUUAAUGGAGAUGGUUAUUAGGUUUUCACAAGAUGUUAAUCUCUUUCUAGUUUCAGUUGUAUUGUGAUCUGUCUAAUUUUAUGUUAUAUAUAAUGUGAUGUACGACAGAUUGAGAUAUCUAUUGUUUUGGUCUUCUCUUUGCAUUUUUUAACUAUGUAUCUUGCAAUAUGUAAAUAGCUCACAAAAAAAUUGGCGGCGGGUAAUUUUUUCUCUAGUUUUUACUCACAAUAUAAUAUAUAUAUAUAUAUAUAUAUUAUAUAUAUAUAUAUAUAUAUUAUAUAUAUAUCAUCAUCUAAGUGAGCUCCUCAAAAAAUUCUGUGAAAAAAAGGUUUGACCAGCGGAAAGAUUUUACUCUUUUUUUUUUUUUUUUUUUUUUUUGUUCUCUUCCACAUCGUACUCAAAAUUAUCAUAACUCCAAUUUUUUCUCAUUUAUUCUUUCAGAAACUAGUUAAGUUUUUUUUUUCCUCUUUCAUAUCCUACUCUAACUUAUCCAAACUAUAAUUUUUCAUCAUCUAUUCUUUCAGAAACUAGUUAAGUACUAGAUAUGUGAUACCCAAUAGUCCUAUAUCGUAUAGAAAUAAGAUUGUGAUUAAAAAUAUAAGAGAACAGGGAUCUUAGUAAUAAUAAUUUGGCAUAAGUAUUUUAAACUAGUAGUUUAGUUCCAACAAAUUAGUAUUACUAGUGGGCCGAAUCGUUACAUUGAUAUCAAAGCCGGUUCACCAACGGGAAGUGUGAGGCGGACCUCAUUUCGCUCGAUGAUAUUGGGUUGUGUAUGUGAUUGGACUAACGAGGACGUCAGGGCCAAAAUGGGGAGAGUUUGUAGUAUCCCAAUAGUCCCAUAUCAAAUAGAAUGAAUUGCAUUUGUUAAGGCCAAAACUGGAAGAGUCUAUGACACCCCAAUAGUCCAAUAUCAAAUAGGAAUGGGAUUGUGAUUGGGAAUUUGGGAAUAUAAGAGACCAUUGUCCUAGCCUUAGUGUUGUUGUUCACAAAGCUGUGCAGUGCUCACCUUUCUCCGCAAAAAUGGGCAAGCCUUUAUCCCUGUUGGUAGCCCAGACCUUCGCGUCCUACGAAGUAUGCAAAGGGAAGAAAAGAAAGAUAUUGAGGUUAAACAAAAAAACUGAGUACUCUCAAUUACUUAGAAAAGUGGAUUACAACAUACACAUUCUUUUAUUUUUUGGCUUAGCCACACCCAUUAUUUAUAGGCCUAGAGAUACAAUGAAUCUAGCUACUAUAACUCACCAACUAACUCACUCAUUAACACACAGAAUGAGCCCUCAUAAAAGGUAAGCCCAAGAGUCUCUCCAUGACUAAUGGUAGUUUUUUUUCUAAGAGAUAAUAAGGCAUAAAGGCAACAGUUUUGCAACCUUUACUCUCCCAAAGUGGGUUGGAUUUAGGUUUCAUUAACAAUCCGAUUCGACCCACUUCAGCUUGCAGAGUUGGGCCAGGGACCGGACUGCGCAAAAUUUUUCCAAGUCCCUGACACCAUUGACACCAUGGACCCUAUAAUAAUCCACCUCUCACUUCUAGCUGGUGAUUGAUAAUAUAAGAGACCAUAGACAGUAAUAAUAAUCCACCUCACAUUUCUAGCUAGUGAAUCUGCUCUUAUACUAAAUAUAACGACUCGGCCUACUAGCAAUAAUAACUCGUCGUUCCUAUCCGAUGUAAGACUAUUGGAGUGUCACUAUAUAUAUAUAUAUAUAUAUAUAUAUAGAGAGAGAGAGAGAGAGAGAGAGAGAGAGAGAGAGAGAGAACUAGGCUGGUAUACUAUCGGUAGCACGGCGGCCUCCAUGCUACUAAGUUGUUUUCGAUGAUGCGGCUUUUAAAUCAACGAUCGGCUUCGUUAGACUUGAUCUACACUAUUGAAAUUAUUUGGAAACUAAAUUUUAUAAUUUUUUGAUAUUAUUUGGCUAAUGAUCAAAAAGUCUCAAAAAUGACAAUUUUAAUGGCCCAUGUGAUGCGUUUGUAAAUUUAACGGUGUAAAACAAUCCAAAUAUGAUAAAAUUUUUAUAGAAUGUUUUCUUACUAUUUAGAGUAAGAUCAAUACCUCUGAUUUUAAAUUCAAGUCUUUUGUAAUCAUUUUUUAUGAGAUUUUUAUUUUCAACCGUUUAUUUAUAGACUACUUGUUUGAUACGUAAAUGAUGUCGAAAAAUUAUAAAAUUUAGUUUCUAAAUACUUUCAAUAAUAUAGAUCAAGUCUAACAUAGCCGAUCGUUGAUUUGAAAACUGCAUCAUCAAAAACAACUUGGUAGCACAGAGACCGCUGUGCUACCGAUAGUACACUAGCCAGACUCUCUGCUCGUGCUACCAAUUUUUAUAUAUAGGCUCUUUAUUAAACAUUAUAGUUCAAAUGUAGAGUUGAGCUAGGAUACUUCAAAAAGUAUAGACUAUUCCUUUUUAACACAAAAUACAAAGCAAAAUCUAAGGGUGGCAAGCGAAACUCCUGUCAAGAGAGGGAAGACUCAUACUAGUGAAUGCUGUUCUUACUAAUCUUCCCAUUUACUAUCUAUCAGUGUUCAAGGCACCAAGAUGGGCAAUCAAUAGUAUUGAGGCAUUACGAAGGGACUUCUUUUGGAACGGAGGGCACAACUCACCUGGCAACGGAUGUCUAGUUUCGUGGAAAAACGUUUGCAGGAGGAAGAAACAGGGAGGAUUAGGCAUUCUGGAUAUAGCCAUGAUGAACCAAGCUCUUCUUGUCAAAUGGUGGUGGAAAUUUCAUACCUCGCCCUAGUUGGAGUGGAACAAGUUAAUACACGACUUAUACUAUGUUAGAAGAAGACCAUUAAAGGAGGGCUGGUCCUUUAAACCUCCCUCUUUCUGGUGGAGAGGAAUUCUAAGUCAAAAAGAAAUCUUCAAAUGGGGCGUUGCUUAUAAAUUGGGCAAUGGUUGUAGUAUCGACUUUUGGGCAGAUCGCUGGUGUGGGGACACCACGUUACAAUCGUCAUUCCCGAAGGUGUACCACCUAUCAAAUCGCAAAAAACUAAAUAUCAGUGAGUGCUUUAGAAGCGACGGAUGGGAUUGGCGCAAGAUCUUGGGAUGCGAUACAACUAACGAUAAUCGAUUAAAUUCUUGCAUUACAUCACUGAAGACAGAGAUCUCCAAUUUUAGAAUCGAACAGGGACCAGACAGUGUGCAUUGGAGAUGGAAUUCCGACGGACGCUUUACAGUAAAGUCAACCUAUUCUGGGCUGUGCGAUGGGGGUACGAGGGACGCCCAUGCUAGUCAGAUUUGGAGAAUUCGCAUACCAUUAAAAGCAAAAGUGUUUUGUUGGCUCAUCCUCAGGAAGAGGCACCUUACUGCAGACAACCUACUUAAGAGAGGAUGGAUGGGUAACACAUCCUGUGCUUUGUGUGGGAUAGAGGAGGAAACAGUGGACCACCUAUUCGCUCGGUGCGUGUUUUCUAGAUUUCUUAUGGUCAUAGCAUUGGAAAAUGUACAGACAAGAGACUUGGGUGAUGACGUGACUAUCGUUUGGGAUAGAUGGAUAAGUAGAAAGGACUCGUCAUCCCCUCUUUCGGAACCAACCGGUUUAAUAGCUUGUUGGUGGAUCAUUUUGGAAGCUAGGAACAGUACAAUGGAAGCACUAUCUGUCAUUAAAUUUGCACCACUGUAAUCGCUAGGAUUCUUUCUUUUUUUCUUUUUUUUUUCUUUUUUUUUUUCUUUUUUCAACUCUUUCGAGGCCCGUGUUGCCUCACCUCUGUAGCUUAGUUCACUNCUCUUUCAAUGAAUGAAACAGAUAACGCGCUACCUAUUCCUCAAAAAAAAAAAAAAAAAAAAAAAACAUUUUAGCCCUCAGAUUCAUAAUAGUACUAGCACCCAAAAGUAAACCAUAAAAAGGUUAAAAGUGAAGAGUGCAUAAUUUUAAAACCAAAUAUAUUCCUUUUUAGAUAUUAAUCAUCAAAUAUUGAGUGCAGUGAAUGAGAUUGACAAAAACAUUUUGUUCGAUGACAUGUCAAAGUAAAGCUAUAAUAUUAAGUUAUUGUCACAUCUUAUACUUUCGUGAAAAAUAGAUGGCCAUCAUUACAAGUUAAGACCAUCCCUAGAGAGUCUGGCACUUGAAAAUAAAAUAAUUAUUGAAAAUAAUACUUGCAUGUACACGCCCAAAUUAGAUGCAUAUCUUACACUUCACCCAUCAAGGAGUCGAAACAACUCAUUUAGAUGGUAUUAAUGAGAUAAUAUUGAUCAUUGAAUAGAUGAGGUCUAAAAUUUACACCAACUUUUGGAUACAUAGGCAGGGCUAAUCAUUAUUUAUUAGAUUAUCUCUGGUGUAAUGCAUUAGUUUAAUAUGCUAUAAAUAUAAUAAUGACAUUUUACAUAGCUCGACAAGAAUAACAAAAGUAAAGGCCUAAUGGACUAUUUGAUACAGUAAAUAGAUGCAUUAAUGUUACAACUCUUCGAAAAUUGGAGGGACUUAUCCAAGACCCCACCACCUGCGGACCGAUUCGAUGGUAGCCUCUCUCUUGAAAAUCUAGCUGUAACAUGAAGAAAGAAAACUUUACUCGGAAAAAUCCCUCUUCGAUGAAUCAUCGUCCUACUUCACGAUUCGCGGUAGAUCGGCUGCGGCGACCAUUUAAGAAGUAAGUUCAACUUUCCUGAUUUUGUGCCUUCUAAGGGAAAACUUUCCUCGUACUGUUCCUCCAUUAUAACUCUUGUCAGAGUCAUGAUGCACCUUCCCAUGUAAUCCUGAGAUGAUAAAUGAGAUCUCUUAUAUGAAUGAAUAUUAUAUGAUUCAACAAUCAACACAAAAAAAAACUUCUCUGAUGCAUUUGACAGUUAUAUUGAGUUGAAGAACUGAAACACAGAUGGUUGACUAAGAACAACUGUCGACUAAGUAUGCUUCGUUCACGUUUGACAUUAUUUCUCUCUUCUUCCUCUUUUCCCAUUUCGUAUGUGUAUAAGAAUGACAUGCUUUCCAUAUUCGCAAUAACAUGUUUAGCAUCAACAAUCGCUUUGGCUUGAACACAAAAAUAAAUAUAUGGCAGCAAAAACUCCCCCUUUUAAGAACAGCAGCAACAUUUGAGAAGAAGAGUGAGUAAUAAAAGCAAGAAAAGUGUAAAUGUAUUUUUAACCUAAUUUAUGAGAAGUGUAACCAAACACAAAAAAAUGUCCUUUUUUUUCGUCAAUCUCAUGUCUUCGCAAUGAACAACACCUUAGACGAGAAGUUCAUUAUUGUUUCAUCUAUCUUAUUACUCUAUACUAAAGUCCGUGGGGUAUUCUUCUUUUAUUGAUAUGUGUCCGGCUCAACUAUUCGGUACACCCGGUGCAUCGUAGACCAUUGAUUGUGGACAUAUGUAUGGUCUAUGGGAGAAUUUUGGGCGCAUCUAAUCUACUUCUAUCUAUUCUUUCUUCUACAUUAAAGGAGGGUUUGGGGGAUAACACAUGUCCCCCAAAACCCUCCCCUCCUCUCUCUCCCUACCUAUAUAUAUAUAUAUAUAUAUAUAUAUAUAGGGUUUUAAAAUUUUAUAUUAUAAAAUUCCAAAUUUUGGAUAUUGAAAUUUUAAUUUAUUCCCAAAUUUUCAACGUCAAAAUUUAAAAUUUUAAAUCCUAAACUAUAUAAAAUUUUGAGCUAUUUUUCUAAAUUGGUUUGCUUCAUUACCUACCCAACUACUAAACCAAUUAGAGUACUCCAUUUUGUUUGUCAUUUAUCUAUUGUAAGUCCAAAUUUUAGAACAAAUUGUAUCUAAUUUCUUCACAUUGGUGCUUAAUUUUGCUAAAUUUAGAAUUUCUUACAAAAUUAAAUAUAUGUUCAUAAAUUCUAAAAAAAAUUAUAAAGUUAGUCAAUUAAAAACCUACGAAUCAAGUAACUACUUUUUAUUUUAUCAUAAUAUUUUCAAUUCUCGAUAUUGCUUGCAUGGGUUGACAAAAAUGAUCUGAAUAGAGUUAGAAGAAUAAGAAUUUAAAAAAACACAAAACGAGAAUAUAUAUAUCUUUUGAACAAACUUGCCUAAAAAUAAAAUAUUACAAACUUUUCCUUUUUGCUUCAGAAAAUUUUGAAAGUGUACAGAACCCCAAAUUUUAGGAACUAUCAAAUACCUAGAGACAAAAUCUGUAACAAAAUUUUAUAUUUUAGAAUUAGAUAUGUUGAUACAAAUAUGUGUUUAAUAUAUAUAUAUAUUUAAUAGAAAUAUGUACUAAUAUUUUAUAAAUAUAAUUAAGAACAUACCUAUCGUACCCGCGGCAAAACGCAGGUACAUCGCUAGUUAUUGUUCUAUUCCAAGUGCUUAUACCUCAAAAUUUGCUGGAAAAAAAAAAGCAAAAAUCUUAAACUACACCAAAUUUGCACUAAAUGAUCUGUUUUUUAUUCUAUUCAAUUACUAGGAGGUCUCACGACCAUAAAUGUGCAACAGCUGACAAAGAUGAUAUUUCACCGGCUAAUUUCACAUAAUGAGUAUAGUGCCGACAUAACAAGUAUAAUGCUCUUACCAUUGCCAACUGAUUGAGAACCUACAUUCAAUGGCUCUAUAAUUUCCAACCAUUAAACAUAUAAGUUCAAUAUUUGAAGUAAACUUACCUUUCCGAAUGUAUCAUGAUCCCAGACUUCCAAAAUAAGCAUGUCAUGUAGGCCGUCUUCAACAACAAAGUCAAAAGUCUGAUCCCACAUUGGAUUUAAGCUCUCAUUCACAACCUGGAAUAAGCCACAUUACUCUCACACUUGACAGAAAUACAACUUUUCAAAGCUCAGGGAAUGAGGAAUUACCCUUGUCUUAUACUUCGUUUUUGUUUUCUUCAUUGUAAGCACAACAUAUGGGUCAGACUUUCCAGUCAUAUCCAUCGCGGGCAAAUCUUCUCCUGAUAUUACUGUCACAGAAAGCACUCCCCUCAUGAUAAUUUCCUUUUUCUUGUGCGAAGCUAUCUUCUUGAAAUUGGUUACAAUUGUUCCAUUUUCCGCACUCCUGAUGGUCUUCUCCAAAGAAGUCAUAGUGAACUGCUUCUCGAAAGGAUUAUGGAAUCCAUUCUGCAUGUUAUAGGGACAGUACAAGAGCUCCAGAUGCACCUAAUUAAGUUGGAUAAUGAAACAAUAAGACAUCACAAAUUAGAAAGACAAUGCAUGUGUGUGUAUACAAAGACUUGGACUGGAAUGCUUUCGGAAGCAUGGAGGUCUACGUGCUUCCACUUUGUUUUCGAUGAUUGACAUCCGAAUCGAUGAUCCACUGCUUUGGACAUGAUACACACUUUUCGAAGUAACAAAUUAUGACAUUUCACAAUUUUUCAGCACCAUUUGCCUAGAAAUUUAAGGGUCUCAAAAUCGACUAAUUUAAUGGAAGGUAUGACUUGUUUGCAUGUUUAACAGUAUAAAAAAUCCAAAUCCAACAAAAUUUUGAUAGAAAAAUGUUUUCACAACCUAGAAUAAGUACCUCUGAUCUGAUCUAAAAUUUAAUUCUUGUUUUGUUAUAUUAUAUAAGAUUGUUAUUCUUAGGAAAAUGUCGAAGAAUUAUAAAAUUCGGAUUCUAGAUGCUUCCAAUAAUGUAGAUCAAGGUCUAAUAGAGCUAAUCGUUGAUUUAGACAUCCCAACAUCAAAAACAAUUUGGAAGCAUUGAGGCCUCUAUACUUCCAAAAGUAUUAUAGUUGGACAAUCCCUCCCUCCCUCCCUCCCUCCCUCCCUCCCUAUAUAUAUACUCUCUCUCGCUCUCUCUCUCUCUCUCUCCACACACACACUCCCCCUAUAUAUAUAUACAAGCACACAUAAUAGAAAGCCCCAAAANGCCCUCUCUAUAUAUAUAUAUAUAUAUAUAUAUAUAUAUAUAUAUAUAUAUAUAUGUAUAUAUAGAGAGAAAGAGAGUACUGGAAAUCUAGUACUCGUCUUGAUACCAGAUUUUGAGAAUCCGCAACCCGCUCUGAUACCGACUGAUGUUGAUCCAGUACCAAUUGUUGGGAUUCCGCAACGGAAGCGUCGAUUCGGAUUUUUACCAUAAACCCGUCUCCUCAGCAAAAGCUGAUACAAUCAUAAAAGAGAGAAAACCAAAUAAAAAAUAUGCAAGUAAAAUAAGAUUUACCAAAUAAAAGAAGGUUAUAAAUAACUCCUCUACUGUAACAGAGUAGCUUCAAAUCUGAGCCUUCUUUCUGAAUCUCUCCUACCCAAGGUUUUAAGUGCCCGUCAACACGGACCGUAUCCACCGUGCUGUACCGUACCAACAAGAUACCGGCACAAUACAGACCCCGUGCCGAUGGCCUCAAAACCCUCUAUUCUUUAAAUUAGUAUGUAAUUUCCUCAAUAAAGUUCAAAAGAUGUGAUAAAAAGACAUAAUAAAUAGUAAGAAUAUUUUGUUGUUAAAGAAAAUAAAUAUUCAUGCUAUUAUGUGUCAACAAACAAGAAUUUUUUUUACCGGCACGCAUCGGCACGGCUCAGCACGCACCGUGCCGGCAAGUUUCCGGCACAACCCGUGCCACAGUAUUUAAAUCCUUGCUCCUACCCUUCUCUCGUCUUUUAUAAACCUAAAAGACAACUCUCUUUUUCUCUUUAAUUUUUAUGCACCCGUGCACAAGAUGCACCAAACACUUGGCUAGCUUUUGGUAUGGACUUCCAAGCCUCCAGCCGCACACCCACUAAAGCUUCAGUCGUCCUCUAUCAGGCUUUCAACCCUCUUAAGCAUUAUAAAUAAUGCUCCACUAAAGCGUACCCCAAUUCUAGUAUAAUUAGGGUUUAGGGUUUGAUAUUUAAACCUAUAUUUAGUUUGUCUCCAAUAGAUUUAAGUAUUUAUCAUAUUCUAGUUAGAUUUAUACUCUAAUUAAUAUUUAAAUCUUAAUUUAUCUCUAAUAAAUUUAAAUAUUAAUUAUUAUCCAACUAGAAAAUCAACUACAAAUCUAGCCAAAUCCUAACAUAGAGUCCCCAGCUACAAUGCUAUCAAUAGCACAAAACAUUUAGUGCUACCAAGUUUUCCGCCGAUUGAUCUACCCCUUUGACCAUUUCCACCCCAUAGAUCAUACUAUUUCACCAACCACCCACUAAACCCUAGAGGACCACUAUCAUCCUAACCACACAUCUCUUCAUCCAAGAGCCGAAACUAUUAAGAGUAUUCUAACUUUAUUCUCUCUCUCUCUCUCUCUCUCUCUCUCUCUCUCUCUCAGCUAGGCUGGUAUACUAUCGAUAGCACGGAGACCUCCAUGCUACCAAAUUGUUUUCAAUGAUGUGCCUUCCAAAUCGACAAUCAGCUCCAUUAAACUUGAUCCACUAUUAAAAGUAUUUGGAAACUAAAUAUAAUGAUUUUUUGCCAUCAUUUGGCUAGUGAUCGAAAAAUCUCAAAAUUGACAAUUUUAAUGGUCGAUGUGAUGCAUUUGUAAAUUUAACGGUGUAAAACAAUCCAAAUCUGAUGAAAUUUUUAUAGAAAAGUCUUUUCACUAUUUAGAAUAAGAUCAAUACCUCUGAUCUUAAAUUCAAAUAUUUUAUCAUUAUUUUUUAUGAGAUUCUUAUUUUCAGCCGUUCAUUUUUAGACUACUCGUUUGAUAGGUAAAUGAUAUCGAAAAAUUAUAAAAUUUAGUUUCCAAAUACUUUCAAUAGUGUAUAUCAAGUCUAAUGGAGCCGAUCGUCGAUUUGCAAGGCGCAUCAUUGAAAACAACUUGGUAGCACGGAGGCUUCUGUGCUAUCGAUAGUAUACCAACCUAGCUCUAUAUAUAUAUAUAUAUAUAUAGCAAAAUGUCCUUUUUACUAUCAAGUUUUUAACCCUUGGAUGAGAAAUUGUAGGGUUAGGAUGAUAUGAUGAUAUUACUCCCUUAGGGUUGAGUGGUCCCCCUAGGGUUGAGUGGUCCCCACUAGGUUAUAAUAUUUAAUACAAUGGUUAGAAAUGAUGAAAACAAUUGAUCCAAAGGCUGAAAACUUGAUAGCAAAAAGGGUCUUAUGCUAUAUAUAUAUAUAUAUCUAUCUAUAUAUAUAUAUAUAUAUAGGACUAGGCUAAUAUCCUAUUAAUAGCAUCAAGUCAUUUGUGCUACCAAGUUUUUGGCCAAUGGAUUAAGAGAUGUGCGGUUGAUAUGAUGUGGAAUACCUAGGGUUAAGUGGGUUCAUUUCUGGUUUAAUAGUAUUAUCUAACGGAUUAAAUUGAUCAAAAUGGUCUAGAUCUAACGGCGGAAAUCUUGGUAGCACCAAGCUAGCUUCUUUUUAAGGUUGAAAUUAGGUCAUAGUAUCCGGACUUUGUAUGUGUGUGUGUGUAUAUAUAUAUAUAUAUAUAUAUAUAUAUNCCAAAUCGACGAUCGACUCCAUUAAACUUGAUCUACACUAUUAAAAGUAUUUGGAAACUAAAUUUCAUAAUUUUUCGACAUCAUUUGGCUACUGAUCGAAAGGUCUCAAAAUUGACAAUUUUAAUGGUCGAUGUGAUGCGUUUGUGAAUUUAACAGUGUAAAACAAUCCAAAUCUGAUGAAAUUUUUAUAGAAAAUUCUUUUCACUAUUUAUAGUAAGAUCAGUAUCUUUGAUCUUAAAUUCAAGCAUUUUAUUAUCAUUUUUUAUGAGAUUCUUAUUUUCAGUCGUUCAUUUUUAGACUACUCGUUUGAUAGGUAAAUGAUGCCAAAAAAUUAUAAAAUUUAGUUUCCAAAUACUUUCAAUAGUUAGAUCAAGUCUAACGGAGGCGAUCGUCGAUUUGGAAAGCGCAUCAUUGAAAACAACUUGGUAGCACGGAGGUUUCUAUGCUAUCGAUAGUAUACCAGCCUAGCUAUAUAUAUAUAUAUAUAUAUAUAUAUAGAGAGAGAGAGAGAGAGAGAGAGAGAGAUAGAGAGAGAGAAAGAGAGCUAGGCUGGAAUACUAUUGAUAACAAAAGGUCCUUUUUGCUAUCACGUUUUUAACCCUUGGAUGAGAAAUUGUAGAGUUAGGAUGAUAUGAUGAUAUUACUCUCUUAGGGUUGAGUGGUCCUCCUAGGGUUGAGUGAUCCCCACUGGGAUACAAUGGUUAAAAAUGAUGAAAGCAAUUGAUCCAAAGGCUAAAAACUUGAUAACAAAAAGGGCAUUUUGCUAUCAAUAGUAUUCUAGCCUAACUCGGUAUAUAUAUAUAUAUAUAUAUAUAUAUAUAUAUAUAUAUAUAUAUAGGCUAGGGCUACUAUCCUAUUAAAAGGAUAGUAGCACUUGUCCUAUCAAGUUGUUCUUGAUGAUAGCCGAAUCGAUGAUCGGAGUUGUUGAAGUUGAUCUACAGUAUUUGAAAUAUCUAGAAACUAAAUUUCAUAAAUUUUAAAAAUUAUUUACAUGGUGAUCAAAGUGUCAUAAAAUCGACAAUUUUUUACGGCCUAUAUGAGCCGUUUGCUUGUUUAACAGUGUAGAGCAAUCCAAAUUGCUUGAAUUUUUUAUAGAAAAUUCUUUAUAUUAUUUAGAUAAUGUUUGAUAUCUCUGAUUAUGAAUUGAAAAAGUCUUAACGUCUAUUUUAAGAAGGUUAUUCAUUUAUGACCGUUCAUUUUUCAACUUUUCGAUGAACUUGAUAAUGAUUUUUAAAUAUUACAAAAUUUGGUUUCUAAACAUUUCUAAUUGUGUAGAUCAAUUUCAACGGUGCUGACUAUCAAUUUAAAGUUCCGAUCAUUCAAAACGGCUUGAUAGGACAAUGUCCUCAAUCCUAUUAAUAGGAUAGUAGAUGGACUCUAUAUAUAUGUAUAUAUAUAUACAUAUAUAUAUACAUAUACAUAUAUAUAUAUAUAUAUACAUAUAUAUAUAUAUAUAUAGCAUAAGUAACAUAAUAUAUUAAUAUUACAUUACGUACACCAUUAUAUAUAUAUAUGUAUAUGUAUGUAUAUAUAUAUAUAUAUAUACAUAUAUUUAUAUAUACAUAUAUAUAUAUAUAUGAGCUAGGCUGGUAUACUAUCGAUAGUACCAAGUUGUUUUCAAUGAUGCGGAUUCCAAAUCGACGAUCGACUCCAUUAAACUUGAUCUACACUAUUAAAAGUAUUUGAAAACUAAAUUUCAUAAUUUUUCGACAUCAUUUGGCUAGUGAUCGAAAGGUCUCAAAAUUGACAAUUUUAAUGGUCGAUGUGAUGCGUUUGUGAAUUUAACGGUGUAAAACAAUCCAAAUCUGAUGAAAUUUUUAUAGAAAAUUCUUUUCACUAUUUAGAGUAAGAUCCGUAUCUCUGAUCUUAAAUUCAAGUAUUUUAUCAUCAUUUUUUAUGAGAUUUUUAUUUUCAGCCGUUUAUUUUUAGACUACUCGUUUGAUAGGUAAAUGAUGCCGAAAAAUUAUAAAAUUUAGUUUCCAAAUACUUUCAAUAGUGUAGAUCAAGUCUAAUAGAACUGAUCGUCGAUUUGGAAGCCGCAUCAUUUAAAACAACUUGGUAGCACGGAGGCUUCCGUGCUAUCGAUAGUAUACCAGCCUAGCUCUAUAUAUAUAAUCCAUCUAGAGUUCUUUUGUAAGUCUUCUACUUACAACUUUUUAGCUCUUGGAUCUCUAGGGUUUACUAUUUAAUGGUUGGAAUAGUAUGGAUCUAAGCGCCCAAAGGUUGGAAGUAGCAACUUCCAAAAGUAUACGAGUUUAGAGCUUCUAUAGUCAUAACUGAGUAUUUGUUUUCGAUGAUAGAUCUUCCAAAUGGACAAUCCAUUCCAUUAAAUAUGAUCUAAAGCAUUUGAACUACCUAAAAAUCGAAUUUCGUAAUUUUUUAGAAAUUAAAAGAGUCCAUCAAGUGGUAAGAAAAUAAAUGGUCGAUUGAACGACCUCCUAAAAAUAGAGCACCCUGUUCUUCUAUUCAAGAUCAGAGUUAUUGACCUUGAUCUUGACAGUGAAUAAAAUUUUCUAUCAAAAAUUCAACUAAUACCAUUUCUUCUACACUGUAAACUAAAAACACCCCAUACUAGCCAUCAAAAUUAUCAAUUUGGAGGCCUUUUGAUUGUACAAUAUAUGAUAUUAAAAGAAAAAAAAAAUCAUGAAAUUCGAUUUCUAAAAUGUAUAUAUGCUCUAAAUUAUAUUCAACAAUAUGGAUCAAUUUGGAGGCUCUAUCAUCAAAAAUGACUUACGAGCAUAAAGGCAACCGUACUCAUAAAAAUACUCUCUCUCUCUCUCUCUCUCUCUCUGUAUACAUAUAUAGUAGGAAUUGUGUGCUUUUAGGAGCACAGAGGCCUCUGAUGGAGCUUCCGAAUCGACGAUCGGCUCCGUUAGACUUAAUCUUGCGUAUUUGAAGUAUCUAGAAAAUAAAUUUUAUGAUUUUUCGAUAUCAUUACCUAGCGAUCGAAAGGAUUCAAAAUCAACGGCUGAAAAUAAAAAUCUCAUAAAAAGUGAUGAUAUAGCACUAUAUAUAUAUAUAGUAGGGCUACUAUACUCUUAUGAGUAUAAAGCCCUUUGUACUCAUAAGUUGUUUUUGAUGUUGGGGUUUUCGAAUCGACGAUCCACACCGUUAUACAUGAUCUAGAGUAUUUGAAACUUCUAAAAAAUAAAUUUCAUAAUUUUUCGAAAUCAUUAUAAAGUCCAUCAAGCCGGUAUAAAAUGAACGGUCAAAAUCGAACGACAUCCUAAAAAUGGAUGAUCGGAUCCUUCAACUGAAGAUCAGAGUUAUUGAUCUUUAUGUAGGUAGUGAAUAGAAUUUUCUAUCAAAAAUUCAAUCUAUUCUGAUUCUUUUACACCGUUAAACUAGCAAAUAUCGCAUACUGGCUGUUAAAAAUUGUCAAUUUUGUGAGCUUUUGAUCGUAAGGUAAAUGAUAUCGAAAAAUUAUAAAAUUUAAUUUCUAAAAGUUUUAAAUGCUCUAGAUAAUGUUUAACGGUAUGGAUCGUCGAUUCAGAAGCUCUAUCAUCGAAAACAACUUAUGAGUACGAAGGCGAUUGUACUCACAAGAGUAUAGUAGCCGGACUCUAUAUAUAGCUAUAUAUAUAUAGAGAGAGAGAGAGAGAGAGUUGAGCUGGAAUGCUAUUGGUAGCAAAUGGGCUCCGUUGCCACCCAUUUAUUUUCGAUAAUGGAGCCUUCAAAUCGACGAUCGGUACCGUUGAAUAUAAUCUAUACCACUUGAAGUAUCUAGAAACCAAAUUUCAUCAUUGACCUAAUGACCAAAGGGUUUUAAAUUUUAUAAUUUUAAGGGUAGAUAUGAGACAUUUUCUCGUUUAACGGUAUAAAGCUAUCCAAAUCAAUUGAAUUUUGGUUAGAAAAUUCUUUAAACUAUUUAGAACAAAAUCUAUACUCUUGAUCUUGAUUACAAAAUUCCUAUCAUCACUUUUUUGAGGAUAUUCAUUUUCAACCAUUCAUUUUUACGCCCAUUUGAUGGACAAGAGAACGAUAUCGAAAAGAUUUGAAAUUUGGUUUCUAGAUUCUUCAAGUGGUAUAGAUCAUGUACAACGGUGCCGAUCGUCGAUUUGGAGUCUCCAUCAUCGAAAACAAAUGGGUGGCAACGGAGCCCGUUUGCUACCGAUAGUAUUUCAGCUCAACUCUCUCUCUCUCUCUCUCUCUAUAUAUAUAUAUAUAUAUAUAUAUAUAGAGAGAGAGAGAGAGAGAGAGAGAGAGAGAGAGAGAGAGAGAGAGAGAGAGAGAGAGAGAGAGUAGAGCUAGUAUGCUAUCGGAAGAAUAGAGGAUCUGGUGCUUCCAAUUUUUUGGCCCUUAGAGCAACCCCCUUAAUCAUUUCUAACCUUUGGAUUAAUACUAUUAACCUGUGGGGACCAAUCAACGCUAGGGAUACUACUCAACUUGGGGGGACCGCAAUCAUCCCAACCGUAUAAUUUUUUAUCCAAUGGUCAAAAAGUUGGAAGCAUCAGAUCCUCUAUGCUUCCGAUAGCAUAGUAGCUCUACAAUAUAUAUAUAUAUAUAUAGGUCUUGUGUGCUAUUAGGAGCACGGAGGCCUCCGUUGUCCUAAGCUGUUUUUUAUGAUAAAGCUUUCGAAUCAACGAUCACCUCCGUUAGACUAGAUCUAGCGUUUUUGAAGUAUUUAGAAAAUAAAUUUUGCGAUUUUUCGAUAUUAUUCACCUACCUAUCAAAAGGAUUCAAAAUCAGUAAUUUUUAAUGGUUGAUAUAUAUCAUUUGCAAGUUUAACGGUGCAGAAAUAUUCAAGUCAGAUAAAAUUUUGAUAGAAAAUUCUUUAUACUAUUUACUGUAAGAUCAAUAUCUCCGAUUGAAUAUUUUAGUGCUAUAUCACCACUUUUUGUGAGAUUUUUAUUUUCAGCUGAUUUUGAACCCUUUCGAUCGUUAUGUAAAUUAUAUCGAAAAAUCGUAAAAUUUAUUUUCUAGAUACUUCAAAUACACUAGAUCAAGUCUAACGGAGCCGAUCAUUGAUUCGAAAGCUCUAUCAUCGAAAACGUCUUAGGAGCACGAAGGCCUCCGUGCUCCUAAUAGCACAUAAGACCUACAAUAUAGAGAGAGAAAGAGAGAGAGUUGAGCUAGAAACUCCCAAAAGCACCAAGGGUAGAUGCUUUUGGGUUUGUAGCCCUUGGAUGGAGUGAUGUAAGGGUAGGAUAAUGGUGGCAGGUGGUGAUAGGUGAAAUAGUGUUUGAUCCAUAGGCUAUUAGUAGUCAAAAGGGAGAUCUAAGAGUUAGAGUUGGUGCUUCUAGGUGUAUUCUAGCUCAAUUAUAUAUAUACAUAUAUAUAUAUAGAGCAGGGCUGCUGUUCUCUCAGGAGCACGGAGACCUCCAUGCUCCUGAGUCGUUUUCGAUGAUGGAAUUUUCAAAUUAACGAUCGGCUCCGUUAGACUUGAUCUAGGGUAUUUAAAGUUUCUAGAAAGUAAUUUUUGCGAUUUUUCGAUAUCAUUUACCCAGUGAUCGAAAGGAUUCAAAAUCCAUAAUUUUUAAUGGUUGAUAUCUGUCGUUUUCAAGUUUAACGGUAUAGAAGUAUUCAAAUCAGAUGAAAUUUUGAUACAAAAUUCUUUAUACUGUCUACAACAAGAUCAAUAGUUUUGAUCGAAAAUUUUAGUACUAUAUUGCCACUUUUUAUAGGAUUUUUAUUUUCAGCCGUUAAAAAUGAUUGAUUUUGAAUCCAUUCGAUUGCUAAGUAAAUGAUAUCAAAAAAUCGUAAAAUUUAUUUUCUAGAUACUUCAAAUACGCUAGAUCAAGUCUAACGGAGCCGAUCGUCAAUUCGAAAAUUCUAACAUCGAAAACGGCUUAGGAGCACGGAGGCCUUCGUGCUCCUGAGCCGUUUUCGAUGAUAGAAUUUUCGAAUUGAUGAUCGGCUCCAUUAGACUUGAUCUAGGGUAUUUGAAGUUGCUAGAAAAUAAUUUUUGCGAUUUUUCGAUAUCAUUUACCCAGUGAUCGAAAGGAUUCAAAAUCCAUAAUUUUUAAUGGUUGAUAUCUGUCGUUUUCAAGUUUAACGGUAUAGAAGUAUUCAAAUCAGAUGAAAUUUUGAUACAAAAUUCUUUAUACUGUCUACAACAAGAUCAAUAGUUUUGAUCGAAAAUUUUAGUACUAUAUUGCCACUUUUUAUAGGAUUUUUAUUUUCAGCCGUUAAAAAUGAUUGAUUUUGAAUCCAUUCGAUUGCUAAGUAAAUGAUAUCAAAAAAUCGUAAAAUUUAUUUUCUAGAUACUUCAAAUACGCUAGAUCAAGUCUAACGGAGCCGAUCGUCAAUUCGAAAAUUCUAUCAUCGAAAACGGCUCAAGAGCACGGAGGCCGUGCUCCUGAGCCAUUUUCGAUGAUGGAAUUUUCAAAUUAACGAUCGGCUCCCUUAGGCUUGAUCUAGGGUAUUUAAAGUUUCUAGAAAAUAAUUUUUGCGAUUUUUUAAUAUCAUUUACCUAGUGAUCGAAAGGAUUCAAAAUCCAUAAUUUUUAAUGGUUGAUAUCUGUCGUUUUCAAGUUUAACGGUAUAGAAGUAUUCAAAUCAGAUGAAAUUUUGAUACAAAAUUCUUUAUACUAUCUACAACAAGAUCAAUAUUUCUGAUCGAAAAUUUUAGUAUUAUAUCACCACUUUUUAUAGGAUUUUUAUUUUCAACCAUUAAAAAUUAUUAAUUUUGAUUCCUUUCUAUUGCUAGGUAAAUGAUAUCGAAAAAUCGCAAAAAUUAUUUUCUAGAAACUUCAAAUACGCUAGAUCAAGUCUAACGGAGCCGAUCGUCGAUUCGAAAAUUCUAUAAUCGAAAACAGCUCAGGAGCACGAAGGCCUCCAUGCUCCUNNNNNNNNNNNNNNNNNNNNNNNNNNNNNNNNNNNNNNNNNNNNNNNNNNNNNNNNUAUAUAGAGAGAGAGAGAGAGAGAGAGUCCAGCUAUUAUCCUCUUAAGAGAAUAGAAGCCUUUGUUCUAUCAAAUCAUUUUGGAUGAUCGGGACUUCAAAUUGAUAAUUAGCACCGUUGAAAUUAAUCUACACUAUUAGAAAUAUUAAAAAACAGAAUUUUGUAAUUUUUAAAAAUCAUUAUCAAGUCCAUCGAAGAGUCGAAAAAUGAACGGUCAAAAACAAAUGACCUUCUGAAAACAGAUGUUAGACUUUCCCAAUUUACGAUCGGAGUUAUUAAACAUAAUCUAAAUAGUAUAAAGGAUUUUCUAUCAAAAAUUCAACCGGUUUGGAUUACUCUUCACCGUUAAACAAGCAAAUGGCUCAAAUAUGCCAUCAAAAACUGUCAAUUUUGCAAUCCUUAGAUCACUAUGUAAAUAAAUUUUAAAAUUUAUAAAAUUUAGUUCCUACAUAAUUCAAAUAUACUUUAGAUCAACUUCAACGGUUCCGAUCAUCGACUUGGGAUCUCUAUCAUAAAAAUCGAUUUGAUAGGAUGAGGGUCCCUAUCCUUCUAAAAGGUUAGCAGCUAGAUUCUAUAUAUAUAUAUAUAUAUAGAAUUAGGCUGGAAUACUAUUAGUAGUAAAACACUCUUUUUACUAUCAAGUUUUUAACCCUUGGAUGAAAAAUUGUAGGGUUAGGAUGAUAUUAGUCAGUUAGAGUUGAGUGGUCCCCCUAGGGUUGAGUGGUCCCCACUGGGUUAUAGUAUUUAAUCCAAUGGUUAGAAAUGAUGAAAAGAGUUGAUCCAAUGGCUAAAAAACUGGUAGCAACAAUAGAAUUUUGCUACUAAUAGUAGCCCAGUCCGACUCUAUAUAUAUAUAUAUAUAUAUAUAUAGAGUUGGGCUGGAAUACUAUUGAUAGCAAGGUUUUAAGUGCCCGUCAGCACGGGCCGUAUCCACCGUGCUGUAUCGUGCUAACAAGAUACCAGCACGAUACAGACAUCGUGCCGAUGGCACAGCUCAAAACACUAUUCUUUAAAUUAGUAAGUAAUUUCCUCAAUGAAGUUCAAACGAUGUAAUAAAUAGACAAAAUAAAUAGUUAGAAUAUUUUGUUACUAAAGAAAAUAAAUAUUUCAUACCAUUAUGUGUCGACGCACAAGAAUUUUUUUGAUCGGCACGGCUCGUCACGCACCGCGCCGUACCGUGCCGGCAAGUUUCUGACACGACCCUAUGCCACGGCACUUAAAUCCUUGAUUGAUAGUAUUUGGCCCUUUUGCUAUCAAGUUUUUAACCCUUGGAUAAGAAAUUGUAAGGUUAGAAUGAUAUUAGUUUCUUAGGGUUGAGUGGUCCCCCUAUGGUUGAGUAGUCCCCUUAGGGUUUAGUAGUCCCCACUGGAUUAUAAUAUUUAAUUCAUUGAUUAGAAAUGAUCAAAGGAAUUGAUUCAAAGGCUAAAAGCUUGAUAGCAAAAAGAGGCAAAUAUUAUUAAUAGUAUUCUAGCCCAACUCUCUCUCUCUCUCUAUAUAUAUAUAGUUGAGCUAAAAUGCUAUCGGUAGCAAACGAACUCCAUUGCCACCCAUUUGUUUUCGAUGAUGAAACCUCCUAAUUGACGAUUGGCACUGUUGAACAUGAUCUAUACCUGUUGAAGUAUCUAGAAAUCAAAUCCCAUGUUUUUCUGAUAUUAAGAAGAGAAUUCAAAUUCUUCUUAUUCUUUCAAUAAUGAAUUACAAAGAUAUAUAUACAUAAAUGUUUCUAUAAUAAGAUAUUUAAUAAGGAAAGAUAUCUAAGGAAAAAUGCCUAAAACUACGCUAGCUAAAUAGGAACAUAAUAUAUACAAUUUUGACUUCCCAUAACACUCCCCCUCAAGUUGGAGCAUAAAUAUUAAUCAUGCCCAACUUGUUACAAAUGUAGUCAAUCCGAGCUCCAUUCAAAGCUUUUGUGAAGAUAUCCCCUAACUGGUCUCCAGUCUUGAUAUACCCUGUUGAAAUGAUCUUCUGUUGCAUCUUUUCACGAAUAAAGUGACAAUCAAUCUCAAUAUAUUUAGUUCGCUCAUGAAAUACAAGAUUAGAGGCAAUAUGGAGAGCAGCUUGAUUAUCACACCAUAAUUUAAUGGGUUGUGGAUUCUUAAGACCAACCUCAUCCAAUAAUUGUUGUAUCCACAUUACUUCACACACAGAUUGUGCCAUAGCCCUGUAUUCCGAUUCAGCACUAGAACGGAGACAACACUUUGCUUCUUACUUCUCCACGACACCAAGUUACCUCCAACAAAAACGCAAUAUCCUGUAGUCGAUCUCCUAUCAACCUUUGAACCCGCCCAAUCUACAUAUAAAAAGCAUUCAAUAUUUGAAUGUCCAUGGUUCUUGUACAAGAUACCACGCCCUAGAGCUCCCUUCAGAUAACACAAAAUGUCCCAAAGCUUCCCAAUGAGUAAUAGUCGGAGAAGACAUAAACUGACUUAACACAUUGACGGAGUAAGAAAUAUCUGGCCGAGUCACUAUAAGAUAGUUCAAUUUGCCAACUAAUCUCCUAUACCUUUCUGGAUCUUCAAACAAUUCAUCAUCAUUAGCUGUAAGUUGGAGAUUAGGAGCCAUUGGUGCACUGCAAGGUUUAGCCCCUAAUUUUCCUGUUUCUGCUAAUAAGUCAAGCACAUAUUUUCUUUGAGAUAAGAAGAUGUCUCUUUUGCAUCUUGUAACUUCAAUACCCAAAAAAUACUUCAACAUCCCGAAGUCCUUUGUCUGAAACUAGGUUGAAGAAAAAGCUUAAGAGAUGAGAUUCAUAUGGUAUCAGUCCCAGUGAUGACAAUAUCAUCCACAUACACUACUAAUAGAAUUAUACCAGUCUCAGAAUGUCUAUAAAACAUAGAAUGAUCACACUGACUCUUCUUCAUACCAAACUCCUGAACUACUUCACCGAAUCCGCCAAACCAAGCUCGAGGACUUUGCUUCAAGUCAUAUAAAGAUUUUCGAAGUCUACAAACUCGACCUAACUCUCCCUGAGCAAGAAAACCAAGUGGUUGCUCCAUAUAUACCUCUUCUUGAAGAUCACCAUGGAGAAAAGCAUUUUUAAUGUUCAGCUAGUGUAAAACCCAAUGAGAGGUGCCGCCAACAAAAUAAAUAAGCGAAUAGAAGCAAGUUUAGCCACAGGAAAAAAAGUGUCGGAAUAAUCAACCCCAUAAGUCUGAGCAUAGCCUUUGGCAACAAGGCGGGCUUUUAGGUGAGCUACAAAACCAUCUAGAUUCAUUUUCACAAUAAAUACCCAUUUGCAACCAAUAGCUCGCUUAUUGGCAGGUAAGGGUACCAAUUCCCAAGUACCAUUAGUGUCUAAAGGCAUCAUUUCCUCUUCCAUUGCAACACGCCAGACAGGAUGAGACAAAGCUUCCACAACAGAUUUAGGAAAAGAAACCGACUCCAGAGAGGUAAUAAAACAACAAGAAGAUGAUGACAAACAGUCAUAAGAAACAAACGAUGAAAUAGGGUAAGUACACGUACGUUUGCCUUUGGGAAAAGCAAUGGGAAGAUCGCAAGGUCGGUGAUAGUAGUGACUAGAUCUUCCGACGAAGAAGCUGGUGGAGGAUCUGAGUCAGGAGUCGCCAAUCUCCUAGAAUAGACAUGAACAAUAGGGGGGUCGAACAGUUGCCGAUGGAGCAGGAAUAGGUGUUGCAGGACUAGACACUUGUCUGAUAGUGUAAACAAGGAGAUCAUCUACCUCCCCCUGACUUUCAUAAAUAGAUGAAAGAGGAAAGAAUAGAGUAGAUUCAAAAAAUGUAACAUCUGCAGACACAAUAUAUCGAUCGAGAGUAGGAGAGAAGCACCGAUACCCUUUUUGCAGAUGAGAAUACCCAAGGAAGACGCACUUAAGGGACUUUGGAUCCAAUUUAGUUACCUGUGGUCGAACAUCUCGCACAAAACACGUACUACCAAAAAGACGAGGUUCAAUAGGAAAUAAUGAUUUAGAUGGAAACAAAACAGUAUAAAGAAUAUCACCAUUCAAGACAGAUGAAGGCAUGCGAUUAAUCAGAAAACAAGCUGUGGAAACUGCAUCAGCCCAAAAGUGUUUAGAAACUUUCAUUUGAAAAAGAAGGGCACGAGCUACCUCAAGGAGAUGUCGGUUUUUUCUUUCAGCAACUCCAUUUUGGGAUGGAGUGUCAACACAUGAAGAUUGAUGAAGGAUGCCAUUCUGUGUCAUAUAACUGUGAAAAUUUUCUGAAAAUAUUCUUUGGCAUUGUCACUUCGCAAUAUACGCACAGAAACAUUAAAUUGUGUUUUGAUUUCAAUACAAAAGGCACAAAAAAUUGAGAAUAGUUCUGAAUGAUUUUCAUUAAAUAUAACCAAGUAACACGAGAAUAAUCAUCCACAAAAGUAACGAAAUACUUAAAUCCUGAUUUGGAAACAAUAGGACACGGACCCCAAAUAUCAAAAUGAACUAACUCAAAAGGAGACGAUGCCCGUUUAUUGACUCUAGACACAGAAGGUAAACGAUGAUGCCUAGCAAACUGACAUGACUCACACUCUAGACUGGACAAAGACUGAAACUGCGGAAACAAUUUCUUCAAGGUGGAUAACGAAGGAUGACCCAACCGACAAUGGACCUUAAAAGGAGUUAAAUUACUGGAGCAAGCAAGAGACCUCGGCACCUGGUUGUCAAGGAUAUAGAGACCUCCAGACUCAUGUUCUCUACCAAUAAUCUGCUUCGUCAUAAGAUCCCGAAACAAACAAUGAUCGGGAAAAAAUGAGACAACAAUUUAAAGCUCGGGUGAGUUUACUAACAGAUAGUAAAUUGAAAGAAAACUGGGGUAAACAUAAAACAGAUGACAAAGAAAUUGAUGAUGUUGGGUUUCCAAUGCCAGAACCCAUGACACAAGAGGUAGAUCCAUCAGCUAAAGUAACAGCAGAAGAUGUUAUAUGAGACUGAAAGGCAGAUAAAAGACUAGAGUUACCUGUCAUAUGGUCUGUAGCACCAUAAUCAAUGACCCAUUUGGAAUGGGAAGACACAAGGCAUGAUGUGGAUUUACCUGACUCGGCGAGUGCAGUGACAGGGAAACUGGUGGGCUUUAAGGAUGCCUGAUAUUGGGAGAACUGUGCAAAUUCUUCAGCUGACACCAAAACAGUUUUCUCUGAGGAUGGGGUUUUCUCCCAGGAUGGGGUUGUAUACUCCCCGGUUGCCAUGUUGGCCAUCUGAGAUCGUUGGUUCUUAUUUUGAAGUUUCAAACAUGUGCGCUUUGUAUGACCAGGUUCAUGACAGUAAUAGCAAACAACUCCAAAAUCUCGAUUAGAGGUAGUCUCUCCAUGACGAUGAUUAGCUCUAUUGGCAGUAAUCCCUCUAUUGCCCCCUCUACAAUUAUGCCGUCCAUUAUCAUUGCGACUCACAAGCGCGCUAUUAGUAGAUUGAGAAAAUUGAGGAGUCUCUACUCGGGUGAAAGUAUCAUGCAAAGAGGAAAUCUCGAAGCUAGAAAGAAUCUGAGAUUUAGCUAUUUCAAAUUCUGGGGGUAAACCAGCAAGAAAACUCAUAAUCGCCAUUCGCUCGCGUUGAACCUGCUGCACUUUUACAUCAGGACUAAAGGGUAACAAAACAUUAAGCUCUUCAUAAACACGUUUAAAGUCCAUAAAAUAGGCUGUGAGAGACCUAUCCUGCUUCUCAGAUCGAUAAAAUGCCUUAUAAACAUCAUAUAUGCGGGAGAGGUUCUCUUUGCCAGAGUAUAAAAAAUCUAAUAAUCCAUCAAUUCUUUCACAAACUCACAAUGAUUAAUUAGACUAAUUACCUCACUUUGAAUGGAGUUCCUUAGUUGUAAGAAUAACCGAGCAUCUUCCCUCAACCAAGUGUGCUUUGUAUCAUCGUUCGGUGGAUCGCUAGUUAGGUGAUCAUCCUUAUCAAUGCUUCGUAGAUAAACACGAACCGUCUUGCCCCAUUUGUAGUAUCCCUAGUGUUUGGUUGCCCGUGAGAUUUCAGCAUAUGAGGCUUGUCGACACAUUUGGAAAUUGUCGAGACAAGUCGGAGUCGUUUUGGCGCGAAAUGAAUGCAAAACGGACUCAGUGCGACGCGAAAGCAGAGUUUUGACAUUGAAAUCACAAAGUGCAGGUUUUCAGUGUUGAGUACUGGUACCCUGUGUGUGAGCUUAUGGGCUGAGAGGCUGAGUACCGGUAACCAAAUUGGGUACCGGUACUCCAACUGUAUUUUUUUGAGUUGGUGAAGGUACUACUGUCAAUAUGUUAGUGGAUAGGAUUGCCACCUCACCAUCCCUCAUACCUAUCCACUUAAUUAAUUAGCUGAGAACUUCUCUCUCUCUCUCUCUCUCUCUCGUGGUGGUGGUAGCGACUCGGGCUCGGGUAGAUCGACGUCGACAGUGCGCCGGAGAGCCGCUCUAGCAUGCGGACGUCGCGGUUGCGCCGUUGGAGGCCGGACGAGCGCGUGAUUUCCUCUCCUUUUGAUUUCUCGCCGUAAUUGAACGAGCUUUUCGAGGUGGGUUGAAGUUUACCGAAAUCGUCGGAAUAUCUUCUAAGCUUGAGCAUUUGUCGACAUGUACGGGACACAACCGUCCCGCCUGUCGAAGCUACACUAACUAUCACCACGCUGGAUCGUCAGUGGAGAGCGAGUCCAAACAAGACACAACGACAACAACGCAAAAGCACAAAGCCAGACUCCGGAGUGGCACUCGUGGGCGCCACCCAACCGAAUAUGCAAGCGCGUCUCUGCGAAGCUCAAUCAGGCUCUCACAGGCUAUAGUCAAAGCAAAAGGGUCUAACUGGUCCUACAAUCAAAACUCACGUGCCCUUGGCACAAUCCGAUGCAAAAACAGCAAACCGGGUCCACCGUCAACCGCGACGGCAUCCGACAGUUCGGAACAGUACACACUACUCUAAAAUAAACUCGGCAUCUUAGCACGAGCGUAAAUUCAUUCUACACUAUUCUGGAUAUCCACCGCAUACAAACUGCGGCGAUACAAACAAACUACAGCUCCUAAAGUUAAAUCUGGUAGUUUUCAAAAAAUGACAUUGUAGAAGUAAUAGUUUUCUCCUAAGUCAAAUCCAAGUCCAACAUGUAAAACUAUACUACUAGUUUAACUCCAAAUUCAGAUUUUAAACCUAAUCCAUGAAUUCGAGUACUAUCAAGAAAAUAAACGCAUGAUACAUGUCGACAAAUGCUCAAGCUUAGAAGAUAUUCUGACGAUUUCGGUAAACUUCAACCCACCUCGAAAAGCUCGACCAAUUACGGCGAGAAAUCGAAAUGAGAGAAAAUCACGCGCUCGUCCGGCCUCCAACGGCGCAACUGCGACGUCCACACGCUCGAGCGGCUCUCCGGCGCACCGUCGACGUCGAUCCACCCGAGCUCGAGCCGCUACCACCACCACGAGAGAGAGAGAAAGAGAGAGAGAGAAAGAAGCUCUCAGCUAAUUAAUUAAGUGGAUAGGUAUGAGGGAUGGUGAGGUGGCAAUCCUAUCCACCAACAUAUAUAGUACCCUCACCAACUCAAAAAAAUACAGUUGGAGUACCGGUACCCAAUUUGGUUACCGGUACUCAGCCUCUCAGCCCACAAGCUCACACACAGGGUAUCAGUACUCAACACUGAAAACCUACACUUUGCAGAUUUCAAUGUCAAAACUCUACUCUCGCGUCGCACUGAGUCCGUUUUGUAUCUAUUUCGCGCCAAAACGAUUCCGACUUAUCUCGACAAUCUCCAGAUGUGCCUCAGAUGCUGAAAUCUCACAGGCAACCAAACACCAGAGAUACUACACCAUUCCAGAUAGUUGGAGCCAUUGUGUUUGUGUUCUGUGAUUUUAGUCAUUACCGAGAUUACAUCGGCAAUCACAGAUUUUGGCUCACUCUUCAUAGACACAGUUUCAAACAUAGCGUCUUGGACAACGAGAUCAAGUCACAAAGCAGCUCGCAGGGCUGCACUCUACACCACGCUGUGAGGCAAAUAAAACAACCCUAGGUAUGUCACUUAAGGAUCAAAACAAGAACCAGAUGCACGAACCUUAAACUGCAGCAGCAGUACUGAUACUGUAGUGCCGUACUCUAACAAUACUAUAGCGCCGUACUGUAGCAGUACUGUAGCACCGUGCUGUAGCAGUACUGUAGCACCGUGCUGUAGCAGUACUGUAGCACCAUGCUGUAGCAGUACUGUAGCAGUAUGUAGUGGUAGAGAAAAGAAAAAAACGAGCAACGCCGAUGAGAUCCGGUGAGGGACAACACUGGAUCGCUAUACCCUAGAAUUAGGGUUUAGCUCUGAUACCAUGAAGAAGAGAAUUCAAAUUCUUCUUAUUCUUUCAAUAAUGAAUUACAAAGAUAUAUAUACAUAAAUGUUUCUAUAAUAAGAUAUUUAAUAAGGAAAGAUCUCUAAGAAAAGAUGCAUAAAACUAUGCUAGCUAAAUAGGAACAUAAUAUAUACAAUUUUGACUUCCCAUAACAGUUCUGUUUUCCAUCAAGUAGACACAAAAUGAACAGCUGAAAAUGAAUAUUCUUUAAAAAGUGAUAAUAGAAAUCUUGUAAUCAAGAUCGAGAGUAUAGAUCUUGUUUUAAAUAGUUUAAAGAAUCUUCUAACCAAAAUUCAAUUGAUUUGAAUAUCUUUACACCGUUAAACGAGAAAACGCCUCAUAUCGACCAUUAAAAUUACAAAUUUUGAAACCCUUUAAUCAUUAGAUCAACAAUGUCAAAAAGAUUUAAAAUUUGGUUUCUAGAUACUGCAAGUGGUAUAGAACAUAUUCAACAGUGCCGAUCGUUGAUUUGGAGGCUCCAUCAUAAAAAACAAAUAGGUGACAAUGGAGCCCAUUUGCUACCGAUAGUACUAUAUAUAUAUGUGUGUGUGUGUGUGUGUGUGUGUGUGUGUGUGUGUGUGUGUGUGCAUAUAUUGAGCUCUAUGCAAAAAAGAAAAUCCCCUUUUAUGGUCACAACAAUUAGUUUUCCAAUUCCGAAUACACUGAUAUGUCAAAUAAAUACAAUUCAUCUCAUUGUGCACUUCCUCUUAUCAAAAGUAGUACUUCUAAUAAUACUGUACGAGCCCAAAUUAGCAGCAUAGAUUCCUUCGCUUUUAAGUAGUGAUGAUAGUAAUACUUUGAGGAAAUAAAACUUGAAGAUGACAAGAUAAAUAAAGUUUCCUGAAGAAAAACAAAAUGGUAAAAUCACUGAAUUCAUGAAAUCACAAACUAACCUCGCCCCGAUCUUUCUUGUCUCUUUGCACUUCCAAAUCCUUUACAAGUUUCAACCAGAUAUCCUUCACUUUACCUGGUUGAAGAUCCUUCAAUCUUACUUGAGCACAGCCAAUUAGUUCAGAUGCCUGAACUCCAUCAUCAUCGUAAAUCUUCACUGUCAAAUUCUGCGUAUUUAUAUCUUCAACUAUAAAUUCAAAGUGCUCGUUCCAGAUAGGAUUUAAAUCAUUGUUCUGCAAGAAGUUAAAUUCAAUUAGAAAGAUCAAAAGAAAUAUUUGUUUCUCCAAAAGCUGCAGAAUUAAUAUUUGCAUAUGCAUAUCUCUCCCUGCAAUAUCUCAAUUUUCACAUAUGCUCUUCGAAAGCUUAGGUCCUUACAUAUAUCUUUCCUAAUAUAAAAUCAAUUUGCACUUGAGUUGUAUAACUCCCCAGCUGCAGAUAAGGGUAUUUCUAUAAGAAUAAGAAUCCAGAAUCCACACUUUCAUGGGGUCCAAGUAUAAAUCCAGAUUGUAAAGGGGCAUACAAGUAAAUAGAUGAUUUGCAAGGACAUAUUUAAAAUCCCCACAUUAGAAAACUGAAAAAGGUUCUUUGGAGACUUACGAUAAUUUUACUAGUCUUCAUUCUAUCACGCAAAGGGCGUAUGUACAAAAUUGCAAAUGGAUCAGAUUUUCCUACGAGGUCUUUGUUUGUCAAGUCUCUUGCUUGCACAAGCUUCACUUCCAAUGUCCCAACAGGUUUCAACUCCAGAUCACUAAGAUUAUUACCCACAGAAAGUUAAAGAACUGUUACUAUUAUUCUGGAAACACAAUAACUCCAAAAUGUAUGUUUUAUUGUUGCACAAAGUGUACCUAUAAUCUCCAGGUAAUAUUGGAACAACUUUACGGACAGGCCAUGUCAAAGUGUCUUCAACAGCAUCACGAAUAGUUCUCUGGACAGACAAACACAUUUUAUUGGCAAUUUGACAUUAAUUAAUUCAUAAUUUAAGGUAUGGACAAGGAAAAAGCAGGAAUACUGAACCUCAAUAGCAUCAGAAAUUCCAGGCAAAGAUGAAAUUUCCCCACCGACAACCUUCAACUUGAAAUCCAGCUUUUUCUACAACAACUCUUUAUAUCUUAUAUUUCAAGUGACUGCCAAUGAAAUAAAGAGAAAUAACCGGAUACGCAAGGAUACUGCACCUUCUCUCUCAAAGAAUAACAGACUGCCCCAAAGCAUGGAAACUGAUCCACUAAAGGCCUAAAGAUUAAGCGGAAAACACCCGUGAAGCCAAUGUCCUUUACCUGUAGUACAAAAUAGAUAGGUAAGGAUUUAAAGUAAAAAGCAAUAAUAAUAAUGUUAAGUAGGACAUACAAGAUAGCAGAGACAACCAAUGUUCUCCAAAUACUUAAGCUACCAAACAGUGUUUUUCUAAUAUUAUAAAUUCAACACUCUCUCUCAUGUCUGGGCUCUAGAUAUUUUGAUAAACCCAAAAGGUUGAUGAAUUAAAUGGGAGAAAAUUUAAUGAGAGUAGGGGCUUAGUGGGAAUCGAACUUAGGACCUCCUGCACUAGUACCACGUAAGAUAAUUUGAAACAACCGAUGUCUCCAAUAGCUUAAGCUACCAAAGAACAAUUUUUUUAACAUUAUAAAUUGAACAGGGAAAACAGAUUGGUACUAUUACAAUAAUAAAAAACUUCAAGAGUCUAAACAAAAGGUAUCCCAGGUUUUCAUCAAAUGAACAUAUGAGUCCAAUAAGAAGUUUGUUUUAUUGUUUCUAGUCUUCAAAUUUGGUCCUAACUAGAGCAUUAUCAUUUUCCCUAAGGAACACAUCAAAGUCCUAACCCUACUCAUGGUCAGUGGAGUAUCAAGUGAUAAUCUAGAAAAGAAACAUAUAUGGUUAUUCACCACAAGUAAAAGUGAUAUCUGCUAACAAAGAAUAGCAAUUAUGAACCAAUAUAACAGAGAGUGACAAUUUUUCAAAGUUCUCAAGCUUCAACUGGUCCAACAAAGAAAGAUCUAAUUAUAUGCUUCAACAUCUUUUCCUCAUGUACUAAACUUCGACAUUUGGCUGGUAUGUUAUCACUUUCUGUCAAAGUAUUGCUCAAAUUUUGAUUUCUUCAAAAAGCUAUAUCUUAUGAAGUAAGUCUUCGAGAUUGAUAAUAGAAGAGAUGCUGAGCGAUGAUGCUUAUAUGUUGAUAUAUCUAGCUUGCUCUUGUACAUGAAGAUACUGAUGUAUAUGUGUGAGGUUGAGACUAAUGUCACACAUUCACAUAUUACUGUAGAUUUAGUUCAUUUAGAUUUAUAUUCUUUUAGGUUCAUAUAUGUUUUCAGUUUGAUGUUCCCUCAACUAGUUACUUUUUCUUAUUUACUACUUUGCUUGCAUUGAUUAUCUCACACCCGACAAUGGUACCUGUUACUAUAGCAUAAUAAAAGAUUAUUGCUUGUGGAUAUGUGGCAUCCUGCUUCCCCUUGGUCUAUGGCGUAAAAUUAAUAAUGUGGUCCCAACUUGCAAAAGUGGAAAAUAAGUGGGUUUUCUUGUUGGGGAAAGGCCAUGAAACAAAAUAUGUUUGAAAUUAAUAGUUUGUCAAUCUUCUCAAACUUUCUUUAGGGGACAAAGGUUUCUGAGAUAUGUAUGUGCUUGGAAUCAUAAAUUCCAGUUUUCAAUUCAACAUAGUAACAUAACGCAGCAGGAUUGUUGAUUCCUUGGCAUCUCACAUCCACACGAAAAGUGGGAAUUUAUAAACUAUGCCUCAUCUUAGAAAUCUUGCACUCCCACAGUGAUCGAUGCUUCUUGGGCAAAUAUGCCGUUGGCAAUACUAAAAAAAAGCAAGGAACACCACCUCUGCACUUGUUGCCAAAAACAUCGCCCGCUACCACUGCCACCACCACAACUACUGCUAUCGCCGUGAUCAUUACCGUCACAAUUCCACCACCAUCACCACUAUCGUUGCCACAACAACCCCAAGACCACAACCUUUGACGGCAUUAUAGCUUCAGCCACCAUAACCAUUACCACCAGCUCGUGUAUUAUUGCCAUCACCAUUGAAGCCAUGAUUAACUUUGGCAUCACCAACACUUGUGCCAACAUAAACACCACCAGAGCCAUCACCACUGACAUCUUCACUACCACUAGUUCACUAAUCACUUCUUUACAAUUAUCACCGGCAUCAUCUAAUAUCAAUAUCACUAAACUUUGCCUUUGAACUUGUUAGGAUUUGGUUAGAUUUGUAGAUUAAUUCUAGUUGGAUAAGAAUUAAUAUUUAAAUCUGUUGGAGAAAAAUUAAGAUUUAGAUAUUAAUUAGAGUAUAAAUCUAACUAGAUUAGGAUAAAUAUUUAAAUCUAAUGGAGAUAAACUAAAUAUAGAUUUAAAUAUUUAUUAGAGUAGGAAUCCUAAAUAUACUAGGAUUUGGGUGCGUUAUAUAAGCACCAUGUGCGGUGCUUUUGGAGGGGGAGUACGGCGAAAAAGUUGAAGCUCUUUGGUGGGUUGUACUAGAGAGAGAGAGUUGGCCGAUUGCAUGCACCUAGUGCAUGGGUGCAUGUGAGAGAGAGAGAGAGUUGCCUUUUAGAUUUAUAAAAGACAAGAGAAAGGUAGAAGAGAUUCAGAAAGAGGGCUCGCGUUGUAGCUGCUCUGUUGCAGAAGAGGAGUCAGGUGUAUUAUUCUCUUAUUUAAUAAAUCUUAUUUUACCCGCAUAUUUUCUGUUUUGGUUUUUUCUCUCUUUUGUGAUUGUAUCAACUUUUGCUAAGAAGACGAGUUUAUGGUAAAAACCCGAUUUGACCCUCCCGCUGUGGAAUCCCAACAAUCGGUACCGGAUCCACAGCAGUCGGUAUCGGAGCGGGUUGCGGAUUCACAAGAUCCGGUACCGGGGCGAGUAUCGGAUUUCCAACAAUUGGUAUCAGAGCUGAACGUUACCGAUCUACUGGAGAGAUCGACGGAGAUGGCCACGAAAUUCAAAAUCAAGAAGUUCGACGGCAAGAACAAUUUCGGAUUGUGGCAGAUUAAAGUACGGGCGAUCCUCGUACAACAAGAAUUAGAUGAGACGUUGAACGAGAAAGAGGCGAAGCCGGCGGAGGUCACGGAUGCGGCAUGGCUGAAGAUGGAGCGGAAGGCAUUGAGCACGCUUCAUUUAUCAUUAGCAGAUGAGGUUCUUUACAACGUAGCCAGCGAGACGACAUCGACAAAGUUGUGGAAGAAAUUAGAAGAUCUGUACAUAACCAAAUCCUUGACGAACAGGUUGUAUCUGAAGCAGCGACUGUUUACGCUGCAAAUGCAAGAAACGGCGAGCCUACACGAGCAUCUGAACGAGUUCAACAAGGUGGUAACCCAGUUGACUAGUAUCGGAGUCAAUUUGGAUGACGAAGACAAGGCGCUGAUUUUAUUAUCUUCGGUACCGGCGACAUAUGAGCAUCUGGUGAUCACGUUACUUUAUGGCAAGGAGACCAUAAGUGUGGAGGCGGUCACAGCAGUGCUUCUCUCGAACGAGAUGCGAAAGAUGAUUAAGUAGUCCGGCACGCAGAGCCGUGAUACUGCUCUAGUGGUGAGAGCAAAGAAGGAGGUGAGAAUAUCGGUGACUGGAGAUCGACAGAAAAAGCCGCUAUCCGAGGUGGAGUGCUUUUACUGUCAUAGGAAAGGGCAUAUCAAGCGCAAAUGUCAAAAACUUCAGGAUGAUUUGAAGGAGUUAAAGCGACAGAAGGAGAAAACUAUUGUGAACCAGGAUGAGACGGUAUCAGUGAUGGCGCAGGCGGUAGAGUCGGAGAUGAUCGAUUCUGAUGUGCUGUAUGCGGCGACUGGAGGUGCGAACAUUUCGGAUGAUGCGUGGGUGCUCGAUUCGGCGUGUUCCUUUCACGUAUGCCCGGAGAAAGAGUCUUUUGCCACCUAUAAAGCGAUCAAGGAUGGAAAAGCUCUAACGGGUAACGGGACGGCGUGCAAAGUUUUGGGAGUCGGCACGGUGAAGAUCCGAAUGCACGAUGGGAUCGUGAGGAUGCUAACAGGUGUACGGCACGUUCCUGGAUUGAAGCAAAAUUUGAUCUCGUUAGGCGUGUUGGACUCGAAAGGUUGCGAUAUUUCAGCUUCAGGUGGAACUAUGAGGGUCCGAAAACGAGAUCGGGUCGUGUGUGAGGCGAAUAAGUGUGGGAACUUGUACGUUCUGAACAGGAACACAGUCAGAACGGGAGCAAAGACGGUUUGGGUCCCAAAAGUUCGCGGAGGUGCAGUCGCUCGUGGCGGAGCGACAGAUGUGGCGACAUCGAGCGGAAGAGACAAGCUCAAGAUGGAGCUUGCAUGGUGAGCUCAACGCAGCGAUUGAAGACUACAAAUCCAACAAAGGUGGAGAUUGUUAGGAUUUGGUUAGAUUUGUAGAUUAAUUUUAGUUGGAUAAGAAUUAAUAUUUAAAUCUGUUGGAGAUAAAUUAAGAUUUAGAUAUUAAUUAGAGUAUAAAUCUAACUAGAUUAGGAUAAAUAUUUAAAUCUAUUGGAGAUAAACUAAAUAUAGAUUUAAAUAUUUAUUAGAGUAGGAAUCCUAAAUAUACUAGGAUUUGGGUGCGUUAUAUAAGCACCAUGUGGGGUGCUUUUGGAGGGAGAGUACGGCCAAAAAGUUAAAGCUCUUUGGUGGGUUGUACCAGAGAGAGAGUUGGCUGGUUGCAUGCACCUAGUGCAUGGGUGCAUGUGAGAGAAAAACAGAGUUGUCUUUGAGAUUUAUAAAAGACAAGAGAAGGGUAGAAGAGAUUCAGAAAAAGGGCUCGGGUUGUAGCUACUCUGUUACAGAAGAGGAGUCAGGUGUAAUCUUCUCUUAUUUAAUGAAUUUUAUUUUACCCGCAUAUUUUCUGUUUUGAUUUUUUCUCUUUUUUGUGAUUAUAUCAGCUUUUGCUGAGGAGACGGGUUUAUGGUAAAAACCCGAUUUGAUGCUUCCGUUGCGAAAUCCCAAAAAUCGGUACUGGAUCCACAGCAGUCGGUAUCGGAGCGGGUUGCGGAUUCACAAGAUUCGAUACCGGGGCGAGUACCGGAUUCCCAACAAAACUAACACCAGAUCCACUGCUGUUGUUUAGUCGUACCAAAUGCCACUGCAGCCACGGUUACGACUUGAGUUCUUAUUAUAUUGUGCUACUACAACUUUUUCCACCACCAACACCACCUCUGAUGUCACCAUUCUCAUUGCUGCUGUUAAACUGUGCCUUUUUAGGCACUAAGAGCAUUAAGGUAACUUAUAUAAGCUCAUAGUGUGUGACACCUUCGAUCCUAUAUAUGAGAUAUAAUAGGACUAAACCACUUAACCCAGCUAUAGAAUUUUGGGCAGUGGCUAGGGUCAAGAGGUUAAGAGAGUUAAGAGUGCUAGGAUUAGAGUAGUUCUAGAAUGUGUGACCCCUUGGGAAGAAGUCGCCACAUAGAGUUAAAAGAUUCAUAGAAUGUAACAUAGAGCUACCAAGUCCAUGGAGCUUUUUUAGGGACUUGGUGUUUUGCAACUAGCGGGUUAUUUUUUGAGGUACUUGGUUUCCAAGUCUUUAGUACAAGUGGUUUCCAAGUCUUUAUUACAAGUCAUGUUUGACAUGGAGCAAGUGUGAGGGUUUAAGUGCCCAACAGCACGGGCCGUAUCCACCGUGUCGUAUUGUGUCAACAAGAUACCAGCACGAUACAACCCCAGUGUCAAUGGCACAGCUCAAAAUCCUCUUUUCUUUAAAUUAUAAAAUAAUUUUCUCAAUAAUUUCAAGAGAUUUGAUAAAGAUACAUAAUAAACAAUUAAAAAAUUUUGUUGCUAAAGAAAAUAAAUAUUUCAUCCCAUUAUGUGUCGGCACAUAUGUAUUUUUGUGACCGACACUCAUCGGCACUGCCCAACACCCAUUGUGUCGUACCAUACCGGCAAAUUUUCAACAUGACCCCGUGCCACGACACUUAAAUCCUUGCAAGUAUCAUAGCAUAACCUAUAUAUUGAUGCACUUGGGGAUAAUUAAGUGCAAGCGUGGCUAAUUAAUUAAAGAUCGGUUUCUUGUAUAGGUUUUUCAUACGAUGUUGACCCCAAGGGCGUCGAAGAAAAGUGCGGCCAACUAAGAUGUUCUAGCUCAAAUCUCGAUGCAACAGCAACAUGAGUAUCUGGUUGUGAUAAAUUAUUAUCCUUAAUAAAUUCUCUUCUCUAGUUAACGUAUAGAAAAGUUCUGCCCUGACAUUUUCUUUAAGACUUUACAUAGCACAACAGAAGGGUGGGUUUCCCUAUAAGGCUCAUGAUUUUGGUUUUGAGGAACACAUAAAGUUGAAAGGUAGGGAUGGCAAUAGGGAAGGGGGAACGGGGCCUUUCCCUGAUAACAGGGGAGGGGGGACAGGGCCCUUCCCCAUCCCUAUUCCCCUUUUCCACGAUUUUUUAGAAUCCAUGUCCUUGCCAAAUCCCCGCGAAUAGGAAAAAAAAAUUUCCACCCAUCCCUGUCCCUGUCCCCGUGGGGACCCCACAGAUUUUUUAAAAAUCAAAUAAAUUAUUUUUUAUAAAAUAUAAUUUAAUUUUUAAUUCAAAUUAGCUUAAAUUUUAUCCAAUUAUUAAGUUUAUUUUUUUCAAUGUCAAAUUAUUAAACAUGGCUCAUCAAAUUACUAAAAACGUAUAGCAAUCUAAUAUUAUUUAACUAAUGCAUUAUAUAAAAAAAAUAAAUAUGUUUAACAUAUUUAACUAAAUUUAAAACAUAUUAAAAAUAAUAAAAUUAGCAAAUGAGCUGGAAUGUUACUAGUAGCAAACGAGCUAUAGAGUUGAGCAGGAAUGCUACUAGUAGCAAACGAGCUAUAGAGUUGAGCUGGAAUGCUACUAGUAGCAAACGAGCUUUGUUGCCACCCAUUUGUUUUCGAUGAUAGAGCAUCCAAAUCGACGAUCAACACCGUUGAAAAUGAUCUAUACCACUUGAAGCAUCUAGAAACCAAAUUUCAUGCCUUUCCAAUAUUGUUCUCUUGUCCAUCAAGUGGACACAAAAAUGAACAGAUAAAAAUGAAUAUCCUUUAAAAAGUAAUGAUAGGAGUUUUGUAAUCAAGAUCAAGAUUGGGGAUUUCGCCGUUAAAUGAGAAAACAUCAUCAAUGGCCUUAUGAUCGUCUAACUAAAAUUCAAUUUAUUUGGAUAUAUUUACGCCUUUAAACGAGAAAACAUUCAUAUUGACCAUUAAAAUUAUAAAUUUGAAACCCUUUGAUCAUAAGGCCAAUGAUGUCGAAAAGAUUUGAAAUUUAGUUUCUAGAUAUUUCAAGUGGUAUAGAUCAUGUUUAACGGUGCCGAUCGUCGAUUUGGAGGCUCCAUCAUCAAAAACAAAUGGGUAACAACGAAGCCCGUUUGCUACUUAUAGCAUUCUAGCUCAACUCUAUAAAUAUAUUAAUAACUAUAAAAUACUAUAGUGUAUUAUUUUGUAGGGAUUGGGGAUUUCACAGAGCAGGUAGUAUCCCCGUCCUCACCCUGUUCCCAUGAAUAUGGGGAACUUUUCCCCUAUCCCCGUCCCCGUGGAGUCAAAAUCCUCCACAUCCCCAGGUCCACAGAGAAAAUUGCCAUCCCUAAACAAAUGCGACCACCGCCACCACUAUCAUCAUUUACCACCAUCAAAUUUUUUGUUGUCACGGCUAAUAUCACAAGGACACAUUACCACCUUUAUCUUCGUAGUCACCACCAUUGGGGUUAUGAUUCAUGUGUCUUAUCUUAAGUGUUAUAAUGAUUGAACAAAACACAAAUAAUUUAUUAGAGAACUUCCUAAACUGCAGACCAAAAUACAUAUUCCAAUAAACUAGGAAUCUAAUUCUUCAAACAAUUAUUCCUAGAGAAGUGAUUUCACGUGUGUGACUUUGAUUUCAUAAACCAAGUGGCCCAUGAGAUUAUUUAGAUCUUUCAGCUCAAAAUCAGUUAAUUUUUUUUCGAUUUUAUCAAUACAACAGUUGUACUGUGUUGAUAGGCAUGAUGCUAUGCACCAAGUAACACAAAUAUCAUGGAAAUCUUCGAGUUCUACAUUAUGUUCCUAAUGCUUCACCUAUAAAAUGCAAACAGAGGGUAAAAAAUUCACCUGUAUUGGAAGUGACAAACCAAGUUUUGUUCGAAUAUCAAGUACAAGAUUUGGGUUUGCAUCCCAGUUUAACUCUAAGUCCAUGGUGAUCCCAGAUUCAUCAUCUUCAAUUAUUGAAACCCCUAAAUAUAUAAUACAUGCAGGUGGUUUUAGUGUUGUAAUAAAACUACAAGUUAUGGCAGGAGUGUUCACUAAGUAGUAAUUCACAUAGUAAUAAGUAAUUGAUUAAUGUAAUAUCAUGUAUAAUGUAUAUGUCAUUACACAAUUCUGGUAAGUUCUCACAAGAUUAAAAUGAUAAUAUCGCGGGGAAAAAAGAAAAAGAACACAAGAUAGUGCUUCAUUUGGCAAGUAUAAACUGUAGAUGUCGUUCCAAGUUCAAACCUAUUAGAACCAAUAAGAGUAGGAGAAACCUUAGGUUUCUAAGACAAAAUAUCAUAGAAACAACAAGUGCUUUAAUUUAAGCUUCCUACAGUUUCCAUGAGGCCCAGAGAAAGUAAAAUAUUGUAGAAAUAUUUAUCAUCCUUACGUAAAAAGAAGGUAAACUUCAAUUUGCCCCUUCUAGCUCAACCGAUUUGCGCAUCGCCACCCUAAGGUUUGAAAAGUUACACCUUAGUUUUCUUUUUUGCUUCAUUACAUGCAGAUAAAAACUCUCAAUAGUGAGUGAACUAAAGAGGUCAUCUGAACUUCUCAAAUCAUUAGAAAGUUAAUCAGAAUCCUUUAAUAAAAUAACUUGUAGAAGUAUGAGUUGUACUACGAUCUAUCCUUCUUAUGACUUGAAAAGGAAAGGACUGAAUUGCAUGUGAGCAAAGUCACAGUUCAAGCAUAGCGUGCACACAAUCAGAGGUAAAACUGCACCUAUUACAAAUGGGUAAAAAACUGCAUGCCUACAGUGUAAUUGGAGGGAAAAUCUGCAGGUUGAUGAUUUAGAAUUAUAUGAAGAGUUCAAGGCGUACAAGUAGCUUGUUUAUAGCUUUUUAAGGAACUAGCAUAUUAACGGAAGCAUAAUUCAUGUAAACUUUAUGAUUAAAUAUGAGAUAUCACUCUGCAAACAAUACUUGGGAAUAAAUAUGAGUAAAAUAGAUAUGACUACACAAACCAGGAAAGGUUCAAAACCCACCAGUGAAUUGGGGAGCAACAGUACCAAGAGUUAACUUUGAAAACUUGAGGGAAUCUAAGAUGGCAGAUCUAUAUUGUUCAAGAACUGGCUCAACGGAGCUUCUUAUCAACUCUGAUGCUGCCUGCAGCAACCAUAAAGCAAAUGCAACAAGAUUGUAAUACAUGAAUUACAGUUUGGUAUUUCACCAACUACACUAACACUAACAACACACAGAAACACCUAAGGGAAGUAUACAAAAUGCAGAUGCAACAGACGCUUAAGUGCGUAGAUCCUAAGUUGCAAGAUAGAACAAAGGAGCACCUCAUUCACGUAAGGCCAGAUUUUUAUGAGCUCUUGAUUAAGCCAUUUCAACUGCAAGAUGUAAAAAACCACUAUCAAUGUCUAGACAGGCCUCAGAAAAUGAAACACAAUAACAAGCAGAAGAUAACCAACAUAACUUCUGACGGCUUGAGAAAACAACCCAUGAAGGGCACAAAUCAGCAGGAAGGAUCUUCCUUGAAUCUUCUACAGUCAUCUUUGAAAAUCUUGCCAACGUAGCAGCCUAAAUUAAAAGAUAGGAGACAUGUUUAGUUAUUGCAGCUUAAACAAUAAAACAAAAUUCUCAUGCAAAAUUUUGAUGUCUUAUGGUACAAGAUGCAACAAUCAAAUCCACUACAGUAAUCUGCCUGCCAGAAAUUUACUGGAACACAUUUGUUAACAAGAAGUUUGAAGAACGUCUCUUCAUCAACAAAGGCCUAGUUUCCAAAUGCAUUGUACAAACAUGUCAAUUUUCUGCUUUAGACGCAUACAGGAGUCCUCUCACACCAUGAGCACAAGUCAAGAAGCAAAACUAUUUUUUGUAAUUAUCAAGAAUAUCAACAGAAAACGUGCAGAUGUAUUUUCUAAAGCAAUCGUAAAAAGUCGAUUGAAAUAAUGCUUCGUCACAAGGAGAGCAGCUGAUAUUGGAAUUUGAGAAAUAACAGAUAUCCUUGAAAAAAUGAACUUGAAAAGUGUUGCUAGAAUUCAUGCCCUAAAAUGCUCACUUAAUUCCAAGGAUGCACAUGUUUGCUGUAUAAUUUUUUGUCUUAACUAACAAAUACCAUUAGUUGAUCUUCUAUCUGAUAAGAUAGCUAUUGGCUGCAAAUGGGUUUAUAAGGUAAAGACACGCCCUAAUGGAACAAUUGAGAGAUAUUAGGCUCGACUAGUAGCAAAAGGCUAUUCACAAGAGUAUAGCAUUGACUAGGAAGAAACCUUUGCUCCAGUUGCUCAUUUGCCAUCAGCAGGAGCACUUUUGGCAGUCGCCUCUGCCCAUCAAUGGCGAUUGGCGAAUGCAUCAAAUGGACGUUAAAAAUGCAUUUCUUAAUGGAGAACUUGAGGAAGAAGUGUAUAUGAAACCUCCACCUGGAAUUUCUCAUCAAUCUCAUAAAGUCUGUCGUUUGCGACUUUGCGCCGAGCGCUGUAUGGACUUAAGCAAGCAUCACGAGCUUGGUUUGCCAAAUUUAACUCCACGAUUGCUACACUUGGUUUACACAAAGUGCACAUGACUCUGCACUUUUUCUUCAGUGUACUCCAAGAGGUAUCAUUUUGCUUUUGCUAUAUGUUGAUGAUAUGAUCAUUACUGGAGAUGAUUUUGCUGGCAUGUCAGUCUUAAAUUGUUCUCUUAAUAAAAGCUUUGAUGAAAGAGUUGGGCUCUAUCCGAUAUUUUCUUGGCAUUGAAGUAACUCCUACUUCUUAUGGUUAUAUCCUUCCUCAAGUCAAGGAUGCAUCAGAAUUGAUUUCUCAAGCAGGUAUUUACUGAUGAUAAUACAGUUGCUACUCCUCUUGAGAUUAAUGCAGAGAUUACAUCUACAGAUGGAAAGCCUCUCAAGGAUGCAACACUUCAUCGUAAACUUGUUGGUUCGCCUCUCAAGGAUGCAACACUUCACCGUAAACUUGUUGGUUAGUCUUAUUUAUUUGACAGUAACUCGUCCAAAUAUAGCUCAUGUUGUACAUCUCGUCAGCCAAUUUAUAGCAAAUCCUCAAACCCUUCAUUCUGUAGCAGUCCUUUGCAUUAUUUGUUACCUUAAAGAUCUCUUUUUCAACAGUUACUUCUUUCUAAAAAAUCUUCACCCAAAUUAUGAGCUUUUUCAUAUGCUGAUUGGGCCAGGGAUGUUAAUGAUCGUUGCUCUACAAUUGGAUAUUGUUUGUUUAGAGAUUCGUUAAUCACCGGACAUAGUAAGAAACAACCUAUUGUUGCUUGUUCAAGUACAGAAGCUGAAUAUUGGGCUUUGGCUGAUAAAACUGCAGAAAUCAUUUGGUUGUACUGGCUACUUGCUGAUAUGGGUGUACAUAUUGACAUGCCAGCAUCACUUCAUUGUGACAACAAAAGUGCAAUUCAAAUUGCUUAGAAUGAUGUGUUCCACGAAAGAACAAAGCACAUUGAGAUUGACUAUCAUUUUGUUUGUGAUCAUGUUCAUCGUGGGACAAUUAACUUGCAACAAACGGCAUCAGUACAUCAACUUGCAGAUCUUUUUACCAAGUCUCGAUCAUCUUCUCAUCUUCAUAUUUUGUUAUCCAAACUCAAGAUGAUACCUCGACCACCAUCUUGCGUUUGAGGGGGAGUUGUUAAUGUACAUAUUUAAAUAUAUAGUAAUAUUAAGGCAGUGUUUGGUUCGAGAACAAGGGUGGAAUAAGCCCUUGGUCCCCUUUUUGUUCCCAAACGAGAAUUUUCGUACCCGAGAACUACUCCUAUAAUAAGCUGGUAUAAGGCUGGAACUCCAGUUCCAUCUUUUUCCCUAGAACAACCUUGUUCCCAAGUAGGAACAAGGUUAAUUAAAGCCUAAAUUUAAUUUUAAUUAUGAUAUUAAAUCAUUAAUUAAUUUAAUUAAUAUAUUUAAGUCAUUAUCCAUUGCUUAAAAUAAAGUAAUUAAUUAAUUUAUUACUUAUAAUUAAUUAUCUAAUUAAUUAUUAAUAAUUUAAUAUGUUUAUCUAUAAACUAAUAUUUAUAUUGAUCAAUCAUUAAUAUUUUUAUUAAUCUAAUUAAUUUUUUUACUAGUUAUCUAACUAAAAUAAUUUACUAACUAAUUAAAAAGUUAAAUUACUUUUUAUAUUUAAUUAAUUAAUUAAUAUAUUUUUAUUAUCUUAUACAAUAUUCAUAGUUAAUAAAAAAUAAUUUUAAUUUAAAAGUAUAACUCUUAUUCCCCUUGUUUCAAUCUAACCAUCCAAACACUAUUAACUUAUUUCUAGGAACAACCCAAUUUUCAUCCAAACACAAAAUUAAUCUAGUUCUUGCUUAUACCUGAACUUGUACCUAUUUUUGGAAUAAACAAUUCUUACGUAUACCCAGACCAAACGCAGCCUUAAUGUACCCAAUAUUUACACAUCUAUAAAGGAGUUAGUGUUCUCUUUUCAGUAUUCGUGUUAGAGAGUAGGGAAGUCCAUUCACCGGCGUAUCUAAUUACAUAGAAAUUUGCGUUUGGACAAAAAAAAAAAAAAAAAAAAAAGAAAAAAAUGACUAGGCCUACAGUGUCGAUGAGUUAAUCAAGAAUCAGCAGCAAGUAAAAGUAGUGGAUUAAACAGAUGGGCAUCAGUAGCGGAGAGGAUCUUGAGAUCCAUUACCAGCUCGCGGCGUUGCGCGGAUCGGGAGUUCUGGGAGCGAGCGAAGGCGAUGACGAGCCCGAUUCCGAAGGCGACCCCCAGAACCAAACCAAGGAAGAACGACAUUACUCGCCCCACCACCUCUCUCUCUCUCUCUCUCUCUCGCGGAACAAGGAAGAAGAGGCAGGGAGAAUUAGUAAGAGAAAAAAAAAAAAAAAAAAAAAGAAAAAACCGUCGUACUAAAUAAAUUAAGUAAAGUGGAGAGAAACUGAUGGUGCCUUCCCCGGCCAAUGCCGGCGAGAGUAGGAUUGGAUGAAAAUAGUACGAGUUUUAGUAAUUGUAGGGGGGUUUUUUUUUGGAGUACUUGAAAAGGGCGACGGAAAGCGAGAGACGGUGAGAGAGAGAGAGAGAGAGAGAGAGAGAGACAGGGCGGACUAAACGCCCUUUUGACAAGUGCCAAGUGAGAGAAAGGAUGAAUGGGGAAGUAGAGGGUUUUGCGGGAUCUUGUAAUGGAAGAAAUUAGGGCUUUUUUUGGCUGGCCCCCUUGGAAAACAUGGUAUGGAACGGGCCGUUUGGCCUAGCUUCUGCAAAAAUACUUUCGAAAAGAGUAAAUUUGAUUUGGAGAUAUACUUUCGAUUAAAAAGUGUAGAGUGUUUGGCUAAAUUUAGAUAAAAAUAAUUUUUCAGAAGUUAUUUUGAAAAAACUGUUUGACAAAUUUUUUUUAUGUUUGCAUAAAUUAAUAUUUUUAUUAAAUUUUAUUUUAAAAUAAUUUAAAAUCUAAAUUUAUAUUUGAAUUAAAAUUAAAAUUUUUAAUUUUCAAAAUUGUACAAAAUUUAAAAUUUGAUAUUUUAAUUUAAAAAAUAAUUUAAAUUUUAAAAAUUUAAAUUUAAAUUUUAAAUAUUUAAAAUUUAAAAUAAUUAUGAAAUUUCAAAUAUAAAGUUAAAUUUUACAAAUUUAAUUUUAAAUUUUAAAAUUUUAAAUAUUUGAAAUUUAUAUUUUGUAGAUUAAAUUUGUAAUUUAAAAUUUUAAAAUUUUAAAAUUUUAAAAUCUAAAAUUUCAAUUUUUAAAUUUUAUCUUAAAUUUGAAAUUUAAAAUAUGAAAAUUUAAAAUAUAAAAUCUAAAAUUUGAGAUUUGAAAUUUAAAAUUUAAAGUUUGAAAUCUAUUUUUCAAAUUUUAAUAUUUAAAAGUUAAAAUUUAAAAAUUCAAAAAUGAAUCUGAAAAUUAAAAUUUAAAAUUAAAUUUAAAUUUAAAUAUUGAAUUUAAAAUUAAAAUAAAAAUUUGAAGUUUGAAUCCAAAAUCAGAAUCAGAUUUCAAGAAGCAGUUUUUUUCUGCUUCUAAUUUUGGGCCUUCAAAAUCAGUUUUCUGAUUGUGAGAAGCAGAAUCAGAUUUUAAAAAUGAAGUUGCCAAACGCUCUAUUGAGCUGAAAAUCAGAUUUUAAAAAUGAAGUUGCCAAACGCUCUAUUGAGCUGAAAAUCACUUUUUAACCCAAAAGCGCUUUUUAAAAGUUAGGCCAAAUACCCCUAACGUGUUGGUAGACAUAGUCGAGGGACUAGGAGAAGAAUAUGACAUUAUAUUUUUGUAAAUUUUAAAUUACUCCGAACUUUCUAUAUUAUUGAAAAACUUGCUUUAAUUUUUUAUAUUCUGUUGUGAUGAUCUGGUAUUGAUGCUUUAUUGAUGUUCUGUUGGAUUUGUUGUUGUAUUGUUAAUGUUGAUUUCUUGGAUUAUUGUAUUGAAUUUGUUGUUGCGUUGUGAUGUUGUAUUUUAUAGUUUAUUGCGCUGAAAAAUUUCUACUGAACACGGUGAAUGAUUCACCAUGUCCAUUUAUUGUGUCUAGACACAGUGAAUCGUUUCCCGUGUCUAAUGCAUUACCCCUGCGGCCUCUGCCUAAGUCCAAGUAUAUGGUAUAUACAGAUUGGACACGGUGAAUCACCGUGUCCAACACGGUGAACCGUUAACCGUAUUUAGACACGGUGAACCGUUCACCGUGUUUAGACACGGUGAACCGUUCACCGUGUUUAACUUAACAGACUGGCCCCAGCCGAGCCUGCGUGGCGCUGACGUGGCGCUCGCGUGGCAGGGUCAGGGCCAUUUUUGCAAAUAUAAAUUUGCUGGGGUUAUUUUUCAAAAUAAUUUUUUUAAGGGAGCCAAUUGCAAAAAAAGACCUAAAAAAAUUAUUUUAUGCGCACAGUACACCAUUCUCACCUACUAGGGAUGUCGAUACGCACGCAUAUCCAAAAUAUUAUUGGAACUCAAAUACAAAUGGGAUGGACGUGGUGGAUUUAUUCGGUACUAGAGAGAUAUAAUUUUAAAUAAAAAUAUAAAAAAUAAAAAUUUGAUGGAUAAAUUCAGCUAUGAAUUUUGUACCUAUCAGAUCUAAACCCAAAUCCGAUUUAAACCCGAAUUGAUUUUACAUUAUAUAAUAUAUAUAUGAACGUUUGAUAUUACAUUUAAACUUGUAUUUUAAAAUUUAUACCUUAAUACCGACCGUUCCUAGUGCAACUGCCAGAUGAUUUGAUGGUUGGUAUCCGAGGUCUCAAGUUUGAAUCAUAAUUGAUUCGCAUUUCUAGCUAAGUUUAUUUCUAAAUAAAAUAAACGAAGAGGGUAACAUGCUAUCUAUCUCUAAAAAAAAAAAUUGAUUAUAAUAUUAUAGUGUUCCAGAGGUUUGGAUAGGAUUGGCUAUAGUACUAGUGACUGAUCGACACAUAUGGAGAGUGUCGGACUGAGCCGGAGUCGUUUCUGCACGAAAUGGCUGCAGAAAUGGACUCGGCGCACUCAAAUAGGCAAAACUGGACUUUUGCUAAUUUAGGGCGCCCAGAAAUGGGUUUAGGGCGCCCAAAUCUUGAGUGCUCCAGUUUAGGGUGCCCAGAAAUUGGGUUUAGGGCACCCAGAACUUGAGUGCUGAUUUGAGCAGAACUGGAAGCCAAUUCGGAUCCUAUAUUCCGGGCGCCCAGAUGUGGGUCCGGAAGUUUACUUUGGAAAUAUCGAUUGUGUUGACACGUGGGAUGUGGUAGGUGAGAUCUGCCGGAAUCAGAUAGCGGUGUAACAGACCAACCGAGGUACUGUUUGUGCAGGCUGGAAGUUCUGGGCGCCCAGAACUGGGUUUAGGACGCCGAGAUCUCGGUUCUUCUGCAAUAGUGCAGUUUUGCAGCAUUUGUUCCUGAGAAUUUUUGGACCCUUCCAGCACACUAUAAAUAGAAGGAACUCGACCCCUGUGGCCUCUUUUCUCCCUCUCUUCACAAUGAAGGCUAUUUUUUGCAUCCAAAUCCCUCUAAUUUCUCCAAAAUUGCUCAAGUUCACCAAGUUUUCGUUGAGGAGUGCUGUUCUAGUAGUUUUCCCGCAGCGACCUUCGGCGUUUCGGCUCGUGUGCGACGUAGGAAGCUCUGUUUUCCACAAAACUUAGUUUGUUGGAUUCUAGACUUCAAGAGGAAUCCGUGGAGCCCAAUUUGAUAGAUUUUGGUUAAGGUUAGCUUGGUCAAUUCCUCGUUUUACUUUGCUGCUUGCAGCAUUGAGCUGAAUGUAUGAUUUUUGGAUUUUCUUGAUGCUAGUUUUGGAGGGAAUGGGAUUUUGAACCAGAGAAGCUUCCUCCAACAUUUUUCACUGGAUUUGAGACAUUCCUCACCUGAUUUGAAGGUGAUUAGGUGAGUUUUGACAUUGUAGUUGGUGGAUGUAAGCUUAAGUGCUGAAAUUUGGGCUAUUGAUGCAUUUUUUAUGCUUUUGUGUUCAGAUCCUUGGAGGAAGUUUAGUUUGGACCAGAGGGUGAUAUUCCAUCUUGGUUUACUGGUUUUGGGACUGUGCUACACCUGAUUUGGGAUUUGAAAGGUGAAGUUAGCAUUGUAUUUGAGGAAAAGUUAAGCUUAAGUGCUGAAUUUCGUAAGUUUGAUGGAAUUAUAGUAUUCUCGAUAUGUAGAGCCUUGGAGAAGUAUUGUUACUGUUGCAGCGUGAUCUCGGCUGAACCUCCUAGUGUUUUCGGGACCUUCUUGCUGCCGUGGAAUUGCUUUGGAGGUGGGUUAAUUAUCGGUUUUGCCUCCUAAGCAUACGCAUAGUAGACAUGUAUAGUUUCAGCUUCUGUAUAUUAUGUUUUAGCUCGAAUUCAUUAAUUAGCAUAUUAAAUAAAAUCUGAAUUUGGAGUAUGCUGUAGUAAUUAGAUAAAAUAUACAUGUUGGACUUAGAAAUUUGACUUAGUAGAAAACCGGCGAUUCUAUCCCGUCAUAUGCUUAAACUACUAGAUUUAGCUCUAGGAGCCAUGGUUUGUUGUAUCACCGUAGUUUCAGAGCGGUGGAUACCCAGGGUAGUUUAGAAGGCAUUUACGCUCGUGCGGGAUGCCGAGCUUGGGUAAUAUUCAAUUGUAGGUUCUACACUGUCUUUUCUGUUCGCUCCUUAAGCUUUUGUGUUUCGUAUCCACGCUGUCAGUGCGCAUUUGAUCCUCAGAUAGCUUCUGAAGCUGUUGUGCUUCGUAUCCCAGCUGUUAGUGCGCAUUUAAUACUCAGAUAGCUUCUGAAACUAUCGCGGAUAGUAUCCACACUGUUGGGUGCAUUUGAUACGCUGAAAGCUCAGGAGCUGUAGUUGAUCUGUAUCACCGCAGUUUGUUGGCGGUAGAUAUCCGGGAUAGUGUAGAUUUCAGUUAUGCUCGUGCUAAGAUGCCGAACUUAUUUUUACAGCAGUGAUUAGGCUAUUUUGGUAUGUCGGGUGCCAUUUAGGUUGACGGUGGACCCAGUUUACUGUUGUUGCAUCAGAUUGUGCCGAUGGUACAUGAGUUUGGUUGUUAGACUAGUUGGACCCUGUUUACUUGAUUAUAGUUUGUGAGAGCCUGAUUGAGCUCAGUAGAGAUACGCUUGCAUACUCGGUUAGGUAGCUCCCACGAGUGCCACUCCGGAGUCGGGCGUUGUGCGUUUGUGUUGUUGUAGCGUCCUGGUUGGACUUGCUCUCCACGGACUGAUUAGUGUGGAGGUAGCAUUUAGGAUUCGACAGGCGGGACGGGUGCGUAUACAGUCCCUGGGAUAGGUGUGUUCACAGUCCCUAUGGAUUUGGGUCUGAGAUUGCAUUACUCUACAGAUAGUAGUGCUGGAUCAUGAUAGGAUAGUGGCAUAUAGCUGUAGAUUUGUUCCAGCUUCCUUUUCUAUCACUGAGCAUAGAUCUGUAGACUUAGUGGGUGAGCCGAUAAGUUUGAGGGCGGUACCCACUGAGGACAACUUUUUUUGCAGUAGUUCUCACACCCAAUUGUUACCCAUGUUUUUGUAGAGCCAUUGCCUUCGGCUGCUACUAUUACUGAUUCAGAUCGUGGCGAGGGCGUCGCGAGUUAGAGCUCUUCCAGACGAGCCAGAGCUAGAGGAGUACUAGCUACAGGUAGUUGUAGUUUUUGGUUCUUUACAUACUGAUAUUGUACCUCGCCGGAGCGAGUGUUUUUGUACCAGGAUGAUAUGUAUGUAUCGAACCACUGUUUUAUAUAUGAUUUAGUUUCCUAGCAGCUCUAUACUACUGUUUGUAGUAUUAUUUGAUUACAGAUACUUUUACUGUUUCGCUUCGUAUACAGAGGAAAUUCCUAUGUAUACGGCGAGUCUGUUAGCGUGCCCGGGGGAACGAGUAAUCCGUGGCGUGACAAAUAUAUUUUGUAAUAUUGUAAAAGAAAAUAAUUAUUUUGGUUCGUAUUUUCGAUUUGGGAUAUUUGGUAGUUUGGUCAUAUUGAAUAUGAAUUUUUAAACUUUGUCAGAUUCGGAUUCAAAUUCCAAUUUUGGAUUCGGAUUUCGGAUUUGGAGUUUCG
This 124048-nucleotide long non-coding RNA is filed under the name Ananas comosus (pineapple). RNAcentral describes it as "long non-coding RNA (ACOM_LNC003153)". The record is from RNAcentral. Lineage: Eukaryota; Viridiplantae; Streptophyta; Magnoliopsida; Poales; Bromeliaceae.